This 126681-nucleotide long non-coding RNA is filed under the name Coffea arabica (coffee). Its description in RNAcentral is "long non-coding RNA (CARA_LNC007267)". The stretch from base 118938 to 119044 matches the Rfam family "Plant small nucleolar RNA R71". The record is from RNAcentral. Lineage: Eukaryota; Viridiplantae; Streptophyta; Magnoliopsida; Gentianales; Rubiaceae.
CUCCAGAGCAUUCACCUCCACCACCGCCUCCAGUUUACAAGUCACCCCCGCCACCUUACCACUACUCCUCACCACCACCUCCAGUGCAUUCGCCUCCUCCACCACCUUACCACUAUUUAUCACCACCACCUCCAGUGCAUUCUUCUCCACCACCACCGGUUUACAAGUCACCUCCACCACUAUCUCCAUUUUACAAGUCCCCACCACCACCUUACCAUUAUUCCUCGCCACCACCUCCAGUGCAUUCACCUCCACCGCCACCAGUUUACAAGUCACCUCCACCACCUCCUCCAGUUUAUAAGUCCUCGCCAUCACCUUACCAUUAUUCCUCACCACCACCUCCAGUGCAUUCACCCCCACCACCACCAGUUUACAAGUCCCGCCACCACCUUACCAUUAUUCCUCACCACCACCUCCUGUGCAUUCACCUCCACCACCAUUUACAAGUCACCUCCACCACCUCCUCCAGUUUACAAGUCUCCACCACCACCUUACCAUUAUUCCUCACCACCACCUCCAGUGCAUUCACCCCCACCACCACCAGUUUACAAGUCCCGCCACCACCUUACCAUUAUUCUCACCACCACCUCCAGUGCAUUCACCUCCACCAAUUUCCACCAAGUCACCUCCACCACCUCCUCCUCCAGUUCCUACCAAGUGCAUUCCACCAACACCACCUUACCAUUAUUCCUCACCACCACCUCCAGUGCAUUCACCCCCACCACACCAGUUUACAAGUCCCGCCACCACCUUACCAUUAUUUCUCACCACCACCUCCAGUGCAUUCACCUCCACCACCACCGGUUUACAAGUCACCUCCACCACCUCCUCCAGUUUACAAGUCCCCGCCACCACCUUACCAUUAUUCUCACCACCACCUCCAGUGCAUUCACCCCACCAUCACCAGUUUACAAGUCUCGCACCACCUUACCAUUAUUUCUCACCACCACCUCCAGUGCAUUCACCUCCACCACCACCGGUUUACAAGUCACCUCCACCACCUCCUCCAGUUUACAAGUCUCCACCACCACCUUACCAUUAUUCCUCACCACCACCUCCAGUGCAUUCACCCCAACCAUCACCAGUUUACAAGACACCUCCACCACCUCUUCUAGUUUACAAGUCUCCACCACCACCUUACCAUUAUUCCUCACCACCACCUCCAGUGCAUUCACCCCCACCACCACCAGUUUACAAGUCUCCGCCACCACCUUACCAUUAUUCCUCACCACCACCUCCUGUGCAUGCACCUCUACCACCAAUUUACAAGUCACCUCCACCACCUCCUCCUCCAGUUUACAAGUCUCCACCACCACCUUACCAUUAUUCCUCACCACCACCUCCAGUGCAUUCACCCCCACCACCACCAGUUUACAAGUCUCCGCCACCACCUUACCAUUAUUCCUCACCACCACCUCCGUGCAUUCACCUCCACCACCACCGGUUUACAAGUCACCUCCACCACCUCCUCCAGUUUACAAGUCCCCCCACCACCUUACCAUUAUUCCUCACCACCACCUCCAGUGCAUUCACCCCCACCACCACCAGUUUACAAGUCUCCGCCACCACCUUACCAUUAUUCCUCACCACCACCUCCUGUGCAUGCACCUCCACCACCAAUUUACAAGUCACCUCCACCACCUCCUCCUCCAGUUUACAAGUCUCCACCACCACCUUACCAUUAUUCCUCACCACCACCUCCAGUGCAUUCACCCCCACCACCACCAGUUUACAAGUCUCCGCCACCACCUUACCAUUAUUCCUCACCACCACCUCCAGUGCAUUCACCUCCACCACCACCGGUUUACAAGUCACCUCCACCACCUCCUCUAGUUUACAAGUCCCCGCCACCACCUUACCAUUAUUUCUCACCACCACCUCCAGUUCAUUCACCCCCAUCACCACCAGUUUACAAGUCUCCGCCACCACCUUACCAUUAUUCCUCACCACCACCUCCAGGGCAUUCACCCCCACCACCACCAGUUCACAAGUCUCCGCCACCUCCAGUCUACAAGUAUAAGUCACCACCACCUCCUUCCCCAAUUUACAAGUCACCAUCACCACCUUCUCCAGUAUACAAAUUACCUCCACCACCUCCUCCAGUUUACAAAUCUCCACCACCAUCAAUUUAUAAAUACAAGUCUCCUCCACUACCUCCUCCAGUGUACAAGUCAUCACCACCACCUGCUUACAAGUCUCCACCUCUUCCAGUUUACAGUUCCCCACCACCACCAAUCUACAAGUCUCCACCUCCACCCUACCAUUACUACUACAAUUCUCCUCCUCCUCCUCCUCGUCACUACUAAGCAAUUGUAUGCAAGUUUUUGAGGUAAUAACGCUUAACCAAUAAACUAACUUUCGCAUGAUAAAACUUAUCUCUAUCAAGACAAACUGCCAUGUGUAUCAUGCCAAAUACGUACACCUAGAUCCAUGAAAAUGAAUGGUAGAAAAUUUUCUUAAGAACUAAGGAACAGCAUUAGUAUUCCCUCUGCUUCCAAAAACUUGUGUAUUAAAUAGAUUAAUGAAUUGUUUAACAUGCUCAUUUACUUGAAAAUACACAAUACCCAUAACCUACUGAAUUUUUUGCAGGAAAAGGGAAAGACAAUCUGUGUUUGAGAGCUUCAUGAAGAUGUUGAAGAAUAAGAAUAAAAGCCCAAUGCGAGGAUGUUUCAAGUUUUUCUAUGUUUCCACUUUAAUUUGUAAAUUGAAUUUUGUGACUCAAUUAAUUCCCUGUUUGUGGGGUACGUGUUGUUUUACGUACCAUGCCGUACAGGUUUGUAAGGAUUUCUAUCCUAUUGGCAAAAGUCGGUUCCAUACAAUUAAUCAAUUCAUUUCACUUCUAUUGGCUCUACUAUUUAUGCAUGUUACGACAUUUUUUCUCUCUUUCCCUUAUAUUUUGCCUUUAAUAUUAUUGAAUCAAUAUUAAUAAUGGGCCUUUUUCUUAAAAUUAUACUAUUAUACAUAGGUUGUUUGGUCUAACGCUAAAUUCAUGUUUGUCUUUCUUUUAUUCCCUUUACAUCUCAAAGUAUACUAUAGUUUGUAAUCAUUGUGGUGAUGAUAUUGCCAGCUGGUACUUAUAGUUUAAGGCAGAGACAUGAUAUUAACAACUAUCUCAUUGAAACAUAAAGAAAAAUCAUGACAAGUGUGAGUCUUGGUUAAUGCACAAUUUGUUAGUGGAAUUUAUAUUUAUAAAACUCAAAAAAAAAUUUUGACAAUGCUAUUACUAAUUAAUUAAGGACUUUAUUGCUAUAAUUUAUCGCUUACUAGUUUAAACUAUAAAUGAUCUCAAUACUUUUCUCCAUGAUGUCGAUUUCUUUAGAUUACGAAAGGGAAAAAUUAGUGACAUAUCCCUUACUGAUUACAACAUCAGCAAAAAUUAGUUAUAAAUUUUUCCGGUGGUUUUAAAUCCCUCGGGCACUAAGAUUUUUUGCACAUCGAGUGAAUUGAGGAACAUAGGCAAUUCGUUCUGCAUACCAAGUCCUUGUUUAAGAUGCAAGUACUAAAAUGCAUCCACUUCAUUAAUUUGGGAAAUUGCCAUAGUUUUUUUUAAGCAUUUUGAUUUUUUACAUGAUUCAAAAUUUUCUUAUUGGAUACAAUCACUUUGUAUCAAGAACAUUUUCAAUCAUCCUUUUUAUCUUCUCAAUAAGAAAAUAAAAAUUUAUUCAUGCUUUUCUAACAUAUCCAAUCAUUGAUCUGAAAAAUAAAGAAUUUAAAAAAAAAGACAUUUUCAAUCAUUGCUUACAGGGCAACUUCCCCAUGUGAACCUCUUCAAACAAAGCCAAUAAUAUGAAGGAACAUCUAAAUACACUUUUGCCCUAAAGGCUGGUUGCCUUGGGGUCAAAAUUUAACCUUCGGGAGUAUAAUUACCCUGCCAAAUUUAUUAUUUUUUAUGGGUAUAUAGUUCCAAUUUUUCCUCCUGUUAAGCUUAUAAAUAUAUUAUCACCCAGAAAAUAAAGGAAUCUUGAAUACUAACAUGUCCAUUUACUUGAGUUGUCAUCAAUUUGGCUACUUCGAUUCCAUGAGGGCAAUCCAAUUCACACUUGCUAGAGAAAAUGGUGAUAAAGGCACAAAGAAAAUUAUAUGUAAUAUUGAUUGGUAGUAACCACCUUGUAUUGAUCCCACUAUUGUGGAUACUCGUGCUCUUAUGAAAAAAAAUUAUAAAAAAUUAGCAAAAUUUAAAAGAACAAAGUAAAUUUAUUCGUACAAAUCAGUCAAAGAAGUAGCAUUUUAAAGACCAUGAUGAAAUUAAUACUUUCAAGGUCUCUAUUAGGAAGACUUCCUUUGUUGGUGAAACUACACUAGGUACGGUUACAUGCAGAUGUUUACUGUUUUGGUACCUAAUUUCCUUGCCUUGAGUUGGGUGCAGAUGUUUAUAUUACAAAUAGAUGGUAUCAUAAAUUUGUUGUAUUAACGUCUGUUCUUUUUUUUCUUCCUUAAGUUUUUUUCUUUAUUCUCGUGACUUCAAAAAUACGAACUCAAGAAAUUAACUGCUUCGACAUUAAGGUAUAACUUCACAACUAGAGCCAAUAGAAAUCGUCAAAUGAUUUUUUGACAUCCAAAUUAAGCAAUAAAUUUUGUUUUCAUUUCACGGGAGAUUUUAUAGUUUCUUUUGGGUAUCAUACCUACAAGUGAUAAUUGUCAUUGGAUAGUGAAAGAAGUGUUAAUGAUUGUAAGAUUAAAUAUUGAAAAUUUAAACUAUUUAUCUUUAUUGAGAGAUACAACUUAAAGAAUCGUAUCCAAAAGAGACUAUAGAAUUUUCUCUGUUUUUCAUCAUCUGUAGACAUAAACUUUCUACGGUUGAUGUACUAUAAGGAAAUUUUGCCUAUACAAUGUGAUACCAUUUUUUCAAAAAGACAAGAUGGCAAAUUGCCCCCUUGAACGGAAAAAAUCAUGAUCUUUCCUCAAACUAGUCUACUUGUCAAUUCUUUGAAAAAGAAUACACUGCCCCGCAGAAUUCUAGAAAGUUAGGCAAAACUAGACAAGUUGACAGCUAUAAUCAUACCCAAGAUCAGGAACAAGCAGUUACACAUUUCAAAAUUCGCUGCUGCAACAACUAAUUUGAUGACUUACAACACUAAAUGGUCAAACUUUGAAUGGCAAUGAAUCUUUUGUUGUACAUCAUGAUGUAAUUUUCAUGUUACAUAAUAGAUUGAUAUCUAUGUUCUUUAAAUUAUCAUAAUAAUUAAAUUUAACUGAUAAAAAGAACACAUAUCAAUACACAAAAGUGUGUAACGUGAAUGUUAUAUUAGUGUAUUGCAGAAGACCUAUAGUCUCUUCACAUCUCUUCCUGCAUCUUUUAUGUUUUAUUACCUCCAAAAGCCUUUACAGGGUCUUUACCCUAAAAAUCAAUUCACCGACUCGCAUUUGAUGUCAGAAAUUCUUAAGACGAAUUCUACUUUACUCAAAGAUUGACUGUUAAUAAUGAGACAACGACCAUUUUGUAUUAUUACACCGUCCUUCUUGAUAGGCAAAAGAAAUAGAGAGGAAAGCGGGUCCGUAUAUGGUCUUUUAUUCAUAGAUAAUACAACAUUACGCCAUCGAGCAUUCACACAAUAUUUCAAAGUCAUUGCAUGCCUAAAGCCCCGCUUGAUAAUCCAAUUUCAUACUUAAAUUUAAUGGAUUCAAAUUUUAACACAUUCAAAUUGUUUGAUAACAAAAAAUUGAACGUCUAAAUUAAUUAAGUAACACUAAAUUUUUUAGACAAAACUUGCUCCCAAAAUUAAGUGAUAAGCUAUAUCACUUAUCACUGAAUGUGAUAUGCAUUCAAAUGUAUUAUAUUUAAUACUUAAUAAUUUAAUAAUUUAAUGGAUUCAAAAUUCAGAUUUUAGAUUUCAGUUUUAUCAAACAUACCCUAAGUUGCAAAAUAAUACCAAAACUUGUUAUUAUAUAGCUUGAGAUUCAAAAAUUUAGAGCAUAAUUCUCAACCUAACACAAUUGAAUAAUGAAUAUUCACGAUUGUCAAAUCUAUCAAAGUACAAUUUGAGGACAACCCAUUCCAACGCGUACACAAUUUCUCACUUUUCUAAAGUUGUUGAGAGCUGUUAAAAGAGAUUUACCAUGUUUACAUCUUCCAAGUCUUGGGAGUAAAAAAUGAAGCCACCGAGUGCUAUAAAAAGGGGGCUAGAGGCUGCCUAGAAGCAUAUCAGCCUAAAACAAGAAUUUGUAGUAACAAUGGGGAGCAAAGCAAAAGCAACGGGGUCUAGGCUGACUCCUCUUCUUACCACUGUUUUAGUGGUAUUUGUCGCCCUUGGCUUGCCCUUGGAAACUGCAGCUGAUUAUUACAAGUAUUCAUCUCCUCCUCCUCCUCCUUACCACUAUUCUUCACCACCACCUCCAGUGUAUUCACCUCCACCAACCCCUGCUUAUAAGUUACCCCCACCAUCUCCUCCAGUUUACAAGUCCUCACCACCACCUUACCACUACUCACCACCUCCGGUGUAUUUACCUCCACCAUCUCCAGUUUACAAGUCACCACCACUACCCCCUCCGGUAUACAACUCCCCGCCUCCACCAGUGUACAAAUACAAGUCCCCACCACCACCUCCUCCAGUUUACAAAUCUCCACCGCCACCAGUUUACAAAUACAAGUCACUCCCACCACCUCCUCCGGUAUACAAGUCUCCUCCGCCACCUGUUUACGAGUACAAGUCUCCUCCACCACCUCCUCCAGUGUACAAGUCCCCACCACCUCCAGUUUACAAGUACAACUCACCUCCACCUCCUCCCCCAGUUUACCUGUCUCCACCUCCACCCUAUCAUCACUACUACGGUUCUCCUUCUCCUCACCACUACUAAGCAAGUGCAUAAGUUUUGAGGUAAUAAUACCUAUCCAAAACUUUAUCAACACAAACUGCCAUGUAUAUCAUGCUAAGGACGUACACUUGAUCCAUGAAAAUGACUAGUAGAAGAUUUUUUUUAAGAACCAAAGAAAUACAUUAUUUUUUCGGUCUGUUUUCAAGAAUUUGAGCAGUAUACAGAUUAAAGAGUGUUUUUUUUUUUGUAAACUUGCUUGUCAACUUAAAAAUGCACAUAGCUGAAAGCCAACUGAAUAUUUGCAGGCAAAGGAGAAGGCAAUCGGUGUUUGAGACCUUCAAGAAGAUGUAGAAGAAUAAGAAUAAAAGCCCAAUGCGAGGAUGAUUCCAAGUUUCUACGUUACCAUUUCUACAUCUAAAUUGACUUUAGCUCCUGAGUUCCAUGUUUAUGGGGUUUGUACCGUUUUACGUACCAUGCAGUACAUGCUUGCAAGGUUUUCUGUCCUGUUGGCAAACUGCAGGUCCAUAUAAUAAAUGAAUACUAUUUACAUUACGACACUUUUCUCUUUUUCUCUUAUAUUUUGUCUUUAAUAUUGUUGAUCAUUUUUUUUUUAUCAAAAGCAUCAAAUGCUUAGGUAAUUUGGUCUAAUGCUAAUUGUUUUACUUUUAUUUUUCACCUACACCCCUUUUCAACUCAAAGGAUGCUAUAGUUUGUGAUAAUUGUUUAAGACCGAAGCAUGAUACUAAUAAAUAUCUCAUUGAAAGUCAAGGAAACUAACAUUAGGAAAAGUUUAAAUCUUGAUUUGAUGAAACUAUUUAUUCGUGGAAUUUAGAGAUACAAAACUCAAAUUGUGACGGUGUUGUUGCUAAAUUAUUAAGGACAUUAUCACCAUUAUUUUUCCCUGAUCACUAGUUUCAACUGCAAUGAUCUCAAUCUUUUUGUGACUAAUUCUUUCCUUAAUAAUUUAUAAAGACAAAACUCACAAAGAAUAUGUGACUAAUUCUUUCCUUUCGUCUUCUAAAGAAAAUGCCAACUGUUAGUUUAUCAAGGGGAAAAAGGAUCGACAUCAGUUAUUAUUGAAACUAGUAAGGAAUAAAUAAUGGUGAUAAUGUCCUUAAUAAUUUAACAACAGCACCAUCAGAAUUUGACUUUGAGCUUCGGUCUUAAACAAUGAUCACAAACUACAGCAUCCUUUGAGUUGAAAAAGGAAGUAGGUGAAAAGAAAAGUAAAAAAUACAAUUAGCAUUCCCUCAAAUUGUAGAAAGUUAGGUAGCAUUAUAGACAAGUUGAUAGCGGCAAUUUUACAUUUCAAACUUCACCUAUUCAAUAACUAAUUCGAUGGCUUGCUACAUGGUCAAUCUUUGGACCCCUUCCUGCCUCCAGAUAUCCCUUUCCUCAAUCAGGGGCUUCUACAAUUACCAGUUUCAAUUGUAUGGUAUAGUGUAAAUAUCAACAAAUUAGAUGUAGAUGCUAACAUAAUAAAUGUGAAUGCUAAGACAGCAACAUACAAUCGAACCUGCAAUUGUAUGAACCCCAAUCUCGCUUCCUAGUCCACCAUCUUUCUCUAGGUAAUAAUCUCCCUUCUAAUUUAUUCACAAAAUGCACCUUUCAUCACCUCCAAUAGCGUCGACAUGAUCUUUACCCUAGAAGACUAUUCACCGACUCUCAAUUGACGUCAGAAAAUCUAAGAGUAAUUCUACUUUACCCUAAGAUUGAUAUCAACAAGACAAGGACAAUUUAGAAUUAUUACACGCCUCUUCUUAAUAGGAAAAAGAAAUAGAGAAGAAAGUCAGGCCAGGUCUAAUUUCUUUUCAAAGGCAAUACAACAUUACGAAAUCAAGCAUUCAUUCAUACAAAUAUUUCAUAGUCACCGGUUUGCUGAGUAGAAAAAUUUAGACAAAAACUUAAUAUUAUAUUGUUUAAGAGUUAACAAUUUAGAGCUUAAUCUCCUUGUACUUUGGAGUUAACAAUUUAGAGCUUAAUCUCCUUGUACUUUGGACUAAACUUGAACGUGAAAGGAAAUCCCAAAACCAUAUUGGGCAUGAAUUCACACUUAAUAUACCCAAUAAAAGAUGGCGACUGGUGAAAGGCAGUGGAGACUGGUGGAGAGAUUUGAGGAAUAGAAGCAGACGGAAAAGCAACAAAUUUUUGCCGAAAAACGGUCACUUUCAUGGUUAAUUUUGCUACUCUCCAAUUGUACUUGACCAAUUACAACAAUUUCAUGGAGUUUGAUACGUGAAAAGAAUUUUUUAUAAAUUUUAUUUUGAUCCAUAAUGUUAUCUUUACAUAUAUAAAACAUUUUACAAUUUUGAUUUUGGCGCAGCUAACUUUUGGUUAACAAAAAUGCUCAUGUUUAAAAAACCAGAAAUAAAACAAAACAAGAAACAAAAGAAAUAAGAGGGUAGCAUAGACAUUUUGGAUUUUUCCGUUAAUUUGGAUGAUUUCCACCCACGUUCUAAUUUAAUCCAAAACACAAAGGAAUUACGUAGAGGUUUUAAAUAAUCAGGGAGCUUCAUGAUCGAACCCCAAACCACGUGAUAGCAUACAAGAGUUCUAUUUCACUAUCGGUAGACAAAGACUUUCUAUGGUUGAUGUACCGUAGGAAAAAAUCUGCCUAUACAACGUGAUAGCAUUUUUUCAAAAACACAAGAUGGAAAAUUGCCCCCUUAAACGUGGAAAUUCAUGAUCUUUCCUCGAACAAAGAAUACUCACGCCUAUUCAAGAUGGAAAAUUGCCCCCUUAAACGUCUAUUUGUCAAUUCUUGAAAAAAGAAUACUCACGCCUAAAACACGGCCUCUUCAUCUGCAGAAUUCUAAAAAGUUACGUAAACUCUAUAAACAAGUUGAUAGGUACAAUCGUACCCAAGAUCAAGUACAGAUAGUUGUACAUUCACUGCUGCAAUAACUAAUCUGAUGACUUACAAACAUAUCAUGGUCAAUCGUUGAAUGGUAAUGAGUCUUUUGUUAUGCAUUAGUAUUAGUGUGUACACUCUAAUAGAUUGAUACUUAUACUCUUUAAAUUAUCAUAAUAAUACCCUUAAUUAACUUUAACUCUUAAAAAGAAUACGUGUUAAUACACGAGAGUGUGUAACCUGAAUUGUUACUUAUACAUUAGUGUGUAAUAGAUAGGGAUGGCAGUGAGGGCGAGUGCCCGCGGGGGGCUCUCGGGGCGGGGGCGGGGGAGAAUUUUUUCCCCCCGUUUAGAAACGGGGCAGGGGACGGGGGAGUAUACCCCCGCCCCAUCCCCCGCCCCGCCACCCGCAAAAAAAAUUAUAUAUAUAUAAUUAUAUAUAAUAUGUAAUUUAAUUAGUUAUAAACUUAUGAUAAUGAUAUUAUUAGUUAGAUGUAUUAUAUAAUGUAUAUUAGUGUAUGUAAUAUAAUUAAUAUUAUCAAUUAUACGAAUAAUUAGACAUGUCCACUAAUAGAGUUUAUUAAUUAGUUAUACUAAAUUUACUAAUACAUUUGUACUAAAUUUCUAAUUACACUUAAUAGAAUAACACUUUUUUCUAAAAAAAAAAGCACAAACACAAUAAUGAAUUAGUGAUUGUAUUUGUACCAAAAGUGAAAACUUAACUAUUUUAGUUGUAUUUAUUUCAUCAUGUUGGAUUGUAUUCAAAUAAUUUUUGUUUGAUUGUUUUUAUGAGUUUCAAUUGUAAAAUUAAAAUGAAUAAUAACUUGAUGAUGUGUUGAUAUUUUAGUACUUGAUUAUUUAUUGAUUUAACUAUAAUAAAAUUUUAUUUUAUUAAAAUUUAACUAUAAUAAAAUUUUAUUAACCAAACGAGUUAUUAAUCCCGCGGGGGCACCCACGGGGGAAGCGGGGCGGGGCGGGGGAGUGGGAGGCGGGGGACGGGGCGGGGGUGGGGGGAGUUGUAGGUAGCGGGGCGGGGGAUGGGGGAGGGGUCCCCCGCCCCAACCCCGCCAUCCCCCGCCCCGUUGCCAUCCCUAGUAAUAGACUGGCAAGCAUUGUGGUGGUCAUUGAGAACUUACUGGAGAAAUAGUCCUAUAAGCUGUUCAAUGAGCAAUCACAACUUGCUAAUUGGAUGACUAAUAUAGCUCUAGCUGUAAUGUUUUAAUUAAAUUACAUCACUAACGUUGGGAUGACUUUUUAACCAAAAAAAAAUGCCUUAGUUCAAGCUUUUCCCUUUAUUGUGCAUUUUUUAAAGCAUUUGAUAGGCACUGCAAAUCUGUCAUUUUGGACAUUUUAUUAUUGACUAACAAUGAAAGCCGUGACGUCUACCCAUAACCAACACAAGAUUAAAUUAAUAUUAGAAAAAAUAAUUGAGUAAUUGGAAAAAAAAAAAGAGACUCAUUUUCAUUGAAACCCACCGACAAACUAAACGUGUCCAUGGCUUUUGAAUAGUGCAUUCAACGUUUAAUUGUAUAGUCCAGUUCAUUGCAGAUUACAUGGAGUAAAGAUUGUGCUCUUUCCUUUUUCACCCCUUUUGGAAUCGAUACUGUGGAGAAUUGGGUUUUUCCCUUCUUUUUUUCUUUUCUUUCCUUCUGUGCUUUGCAAAACAUAGGUAAAAAUAUGAAAUCCGAAGCAUUCUUUAAUUGGGAUUAAGUAUUGUUGUUGAAAUUAAAAAGAAAAAAGAAAGAACAACAAAAUUCCCAAUCUGGGUUGAUUGUUGAGCUCUAGAUUGGUUGCAUCGUGCUUCCAUAGAAGCUCUCUUAGUGUGAUACACUGCUUUCAAUCAGUUUAACACGGGAAAAAAAAAAAAAGAGAUGAAAAGCAAAUUUGGUGGGGAUAAUUUCAGAAACCUCCCCUGAAGAUUUUGACUAUUCUACUGGUCUCCCUUCAGAUUUUAAAAAUUACACUAAUCUUCCUUGAAGUUAAUUAUCUUGUAACAUUUAAAUUCAAUCAAUAAUUUAAAAAAUGAUAUUAUGAGAGAGAAAAUAAUGAUUUUAUCAUUGCCCCCCAUCUUACUACAUUAUUUAAUUAAUUUAAUAGCAACCCACACAUUAAAGAAAAAUAUUAAAAUUUGUUGUUUAUCAUUAAAGAUCAAAUCGCUUAUAACAUCAAAUAAUAGUAUAUUAUUUAUAUUUUUCACUCAAUAUAAUAUCCAAAUUACUCUUUUCAAUUACAUACCCAUUGUUAGACAAUCAACAACAAAUAACCAAAAAAUUUGCAACCAAAAUAUUACAAAAAAAUAAACUUUAACAUAUAAAUAUUCUUAUCAACAUAUUAAAGUUAGUUACUGAAAUUUUUAUGCUGUUAAACUUCACUCUUUUUGGUUACAGAUUUUUUUGAUUAUUUGUUAUUAAUUAUGUUUGAUGAUGGAUUUAUAAUUGAAAAGAACAAUUUGAAACUUACAUUAAGUAAAAUAUAUAGAGUGAUAUACUAUUUUUUAUAACAUAUGUGAUUCAAUCCUUCUUGAUAGGAUUGGUAAUAGAGGUAGAGGGGGGAGCCGGCUGCAUCCGGUCUACUUUUCAUAGAUAGUACAAUAUUGCGAAAUCGAUCGCAUUCACGCAAUAUUAUUUCCAAGUCAUUGCAUGGCUAAGCUGCAAAAAAAGUACGAACACAUGUUAUUAUAUAGCUUACGAUUCAAAACUUUAGAGCAUAACCCUCCACCUAACACAAUUGAAUAAUGAACAUUCACGUUUGUCAAAUCUGUCAAAGCACAGUUUGAGGACAACCCAUUCCAACCUGCAAAAGAUUUUUUACUUUUCUAAAGUUGUUGAGAGCUGUAAAAAGACUUACCAUGCUUGCAUCCUCCGAGCCUUGGGAGUUAAAAAUGAAGGCACUGAGUGCUAUAAAAAGGGGAAUAGAGGCUGCCUAGAAGCAUAUCAGCCUAAAACAAGAAUUUGUAGUUAAGAUGGGAAGCAAAGCAAAAGCAAUGGGGUCUGGGCUGACUCCUCUUCUUGCCACUGUUUUAGUGGUGUUUGUUGCUCUUGGCUUGCCCUCACAAACUGCAGCUGAUGAUCACUACAAGUAUUCAUCUCCUCCUCCUCCUUACCACUAUCCCUCACCACCACCACCAGUGCAUAUACCUCCACCUCAUCCUGUUUACAAGUACAAAUCUCCACCACACCCCCAGUACAAGUAUAAGUCACCACCACCACCUCCUCAUCCGGUAUACAGUCUCCUCCGCCACCACACACCCAGUUUACAAGUACAAGUCACCACCACCACCUCCUCAUCCGGUACCACACCCAGUUUACAAGUAUAAGUCUCCUCCGCCACCAGUUUACAAAUACAAGUCUCCUCCACCACCACCUCCAGUGUACAAAUACAAGUCUCCACCACCACCAGUUUACCACUACAAGUCUCCACCACAGUUUACAAAUACAAGUCUCCACCACCACCCCCAGUUUACAAAUACAAGUCUCCACCACCACCAGUUUACCACUACAAGUCACCACCACCUCCUCCCCCAGUUUACAAAUACAAGUCUCCACCACCUCCUCACCACUACUAAGCAAUUGCUUCUGAGGUAAUAACACUUGUUCAAUAUACCCACUUCUGCAUGAUAAAGCAUAUCUCUAUCAACACAAACUGUCAUGUCUAUCAUGCUAAGUGCCUUCACUUCAUCCACCAAAAUGACUGCUAGAAAAUUUUUUUUAUGUUACCAAAGAAAGGCAUCAUUUUUUCCCUCUGUUAUCAAGAACUUGUACAGUAUAUAGAUUAAAGAGUAUUUUUUUAACUAGCUUAUCAACUGAGAAAUGCAUAUAGCUGAUAGCCAGCUGAAUAUUUGCAGGCAAAGGAGAAGGAAACCAGUGUUUGAGACCUUCUUGAAGAUGUAGAAGCAUAAGAAUUAAAGCCCAAUGUGAAGAUGAUGAUUUCAAGUUUUUCUACGUUACCAUUUCUUUAUCUAAAUUGGUUGUAGCGCCUUAGUUCCUUUGUUUAUGGGAUUUGUAUCGUUUUACGUACCAUGCAGUACAUGUCAUGUUUGUAAGGUUUUCUAUCCUGCCGGCAAACCGCAGGUUCCAUGUAAUAAAUCAAUACUAUUUAUAUUACGACACUUUUCUCUGUUUCUCUUAUAUUUUGUCGUCUUUAAUAUUCUUAAUCAUAUUUUUAACAAAAAUAUUCAAACACUUAGGCAAUCUGGUCUAAUGCUAAUUGUAUGUUUUACUUUUCUUUUUCACCUGCUCCCCUUUUCAACUCAAAAGGAUGCAAUAGUUUGUGAUCACUGUUUAAGACGGAAGCAUGAUACUAAUGAAUAUCUCAUUGAAACUCAAGGAAACUAACAUUGCGAAAAGUGUAAAUCUUGAUUUGAUGCAACUAUUUAUUCGUGGAAUCUAUAGUUACAAAACUCAAAUUCUGACUGCGCCAUUGAUAAAUUAUUAAUGACGCUAUCAUCAUUAUUUAUCCCUAACUAGUUUCGACUACAACUGAACCCAAUAUUUUCCCCAUGAUAAAAGUUUUUGACUAUUUUACUGGCCUCUCUUCAAAUUUUAAAAAUUACACUAAUCUUCAUUGAGAUUAAUUAUCUUGUAACAUUUAAGUCCAAUUAAUAAUUAAAAAAUGAUAUUAUGAGAGAGAAAAUAAUAUAAUUUUAUCAUUGCCCCCCAUCUUGCUAUAUUAUUUAAUUAAUUUAAUAGCAACCCACACAUUAAAGAAAAAUACUAAAAUUUGCUGCUUUUCAUUAAAGAUCAAAUUGCAUAUGCCAUAAAACAUAGUAUAUCAUUCUAUAUGUUUCACUUAAUGUAAGAUCCCAAUUGUUCUUUUCAAUUACAAACCCAUUGUCAAUAACAAAUAACCAAAAAAUUUGCAACCAAAAUAUUACAAAAAAAAACUUCAACAUCAUAAAUAUUCUUACCACCUCUAGUGCAUUCACCCUCAUAAAAUAAUUCAAGACCCUACUGUCAUAAAAUGACUGAUCAACUCCCGUAAACCUAAUUUGACAACAUUUAAAUGGAGAACUUUAGCUAAAAGAAUUAUGGUCAAGCUAAAGAAAAAACCAGUUAUUUUCCAACAUAUGCAAUCAUUGAUCAGGGAAAAAAAAAAGAGCAAAAAGACAUCUUCAAUCAUUUAAUAGCUUACAGGGCAAAUUAACCCCUAAGCGAAAACUGGUUGCUCUAGAAUCAAAAUUUUACUUUAGUUACCCAGGCAACUUUUUUGUUGCUUUUUUUUUUUUUUUCCUUUAGUUUUGCCCCCUCUGUCAAGCUUAUAAAAUUAUUAAGAUAAUAAAAGUGCCUUGAAUAGUAUUAAUAUAUCCAUUGACUUGAGCUGUCGUCAGUUUGCGAUUCCAUGAGGCCUUUUCAAAGUACUCAGAAAAUGGGGAGUCAUGAAAUCCAUUUGUUCUAUUCAUUGCUAAGAUGCUUUUCUCUAUAAAGAGACUUCCUAACGAAAAUACUUUGUAGAUUUCUUUACUCCAAGUGGUGCAUGGAAAAUUAAUAUUUUCAAUUAUCAAAUAAAAUUCCCUUUUUUCGGCGUAGAUUUCAUCCAUCCAGCUGUUAACACAUUCUAUAAAUCCGAAUUGACUAAUCUUUUCGUUUCCAUUUUCCAACUUGCGAAUACGGCAUAUAGUGUCUGCUAAACACUAUAUAUUCUCUGCCAAAUAUGAAUACAUAUCACUUUUCUGAGCAAGUGCAGAGUCAUUAUCAUUUUUAUUCCCACCUAACAAAUUAGGGAUAAAAAAGUUAAUAAUCUUUACAUGCUAUCAGGUCACAAGUUAAUAAUCUUUUAAAGAACAUGUUAAAUUAAUUUAUUGGUAUGAAUAGUAGUCAAAGAAGUAUGUUAAAGUUAGUAAUCUUUAAAAUAAUAUGUUAAAAUCAUUCGUACAAAUUAGUCAGAGAAGUAGCAUAAACACCGCGAUGCAAUUAAUACUUUCAAUCUCAAGGUCUCUAUUAUGGAAAUUUGCAUCGGUCAAUAUACACUUGGCAUAAUAUAAUCUCCCAACUCAUUUCUUUACAAAUGCACCUUUAAUCACCACCAAAAGGUGUGGACAUGAUCUUUACCCUAGAAAACUAUUCACCGACAGGCAAAUUGACGUCAGAAAUACUGAGGAAUUCUAGUUUCCUUCGGGUUCAUGCCAUGUUGUAUCCUUCAACUGUAACUCGAUUUCUAAGCUGUAAUUUGUGACAUAAUAGUCCUUAAACUAUGAAACCCUUCUUACUUAAUUACAAUGGUUAAUACAAUGCCCGUGACUAGACAAGUAUGAAGCAACCAUAACAGAAAAAAAAUCCAAAAUUAGAGAAAAGAAAGAAGUUUCGCGACCACCACCAGUUUACAAGUCACCUCCACCACCUCCUCCAGUUUACAAGUCACCUCCACCACCUUACCAUUAUUCCUCACCACCACCUCCAGUGCAUUCACCCCCACCACCACCAGUUUACAAGUCUCCGCCACCACCUUACCAUUAUUCCUCACCACCACCUCCUGUGCAUGCACCUCCACCACCAAUUUACAAGUCACCUCCUCCAGUUUACAAGUCUCCACCACCACCUUACGAUUAUUCCUCACCACCACCUCCAGUGCAUUCACCCCCACCACCACCAAUUUAUAAGUCUCCCCCACCGCCUCCCCCAGUAUAUAAGUCACCACCACCACCUCCUCCAGUAUACAAAUCACCUCCACCACCUCCUCCAGUUGACAAAUCUCCACCACCACCAAUUUAUAAAUACAAGUCUCCUCCACUACCUCCUCCAGUGUACAAGUCAUCACCACCACCUGCUUACAAGUCUCCACCUCCUCCAGUUUACAGUUCCCCACCACCACCAAUCUACAAGUCUCCACCUCCACCCUACCAUUACUACUACAAUUCUCCUCCUCCUCCUCGUCACUACUAAGCAAUUGUAUCCAAGUUUUUGAGGUAAUAACGCUUAACCAAUAAAUUAACUUUCGCAUGAUAAACCUUAUCUCUAUCAAGACAAACUGCCAUGUGUAUCAUGCCAAAUACGUACACCUAGAUCCAUGAAAAUGAAUGGUGAGGAGGGCCAUUUAGGCUCGGAGCGCCCUAGGCCUAGUUCCCCACCAUUUCCUGAAGUGCCGCCUCGGGUAUUAUCCUGGAAGGCGAUCGCGGCCCAUUUACCACCUCGGCUACAAUGUCAGGUCGUAACACCGAGGUGGACAUUGAAUGACAACUACGAAAAGGGGAGAUGUGAUCUCUGACACCUGAGCAAAGGCUGCUCUGACCCGCCGCCUGAAUCUGACAGAAUGUCCCAUCACGUCUCUUCAUGGAGACCGGUCAAGUCCACCUGAUCCACUGACUAUCUCAGAUCUUUUGGGACCCGUGCAAACAUCUCCUCUCUCCUAUCAGUCCCCUAUAAAUACACGAUACUUCUACUGAAAAAGGAGAUGACCAAUUUCUGGUAAAACACACUCCACUCAUUAUUUACUUCUCUAUAUCCGAACUGACUUAAGCUUCGGAGUUAUACCGGGGGAUCCAGCCCCUUUCUUAUCCAAGCAGGUGACUUCGUCCAAGAGAGUUGCCCAAGGUAAAGAUAUUCUUCCAAUUGAGGUGACUCACUCCUGCGGGUCGAAAAUCACCUCUUCAAUUGGCGCCGUCUGUGGGAACCGCAAAGAUAUUAGAAGAUGAAGCCUGCGCGUUCUAGAAGCAGAAAAGCUCUCACUAUCGAGGCUGGGCAAAGCAAUGCAGCUCAACAAGAAAAUAUUUCUGAAGGGCAGGAGUCCCCAAGGACUCAGCCCGCAAACGAAAAAGCCAUAACCCGUAUGGCCGAGUUUGUGACCGAGAACCCCAACAUCUUUGAAGAGUUGGGAAGAUACCUGAAGAGGCAAGGCAAACAAAAGGCCGAGUCCUCUAAAAGGAUGUCAGAUGGGUCUCUUGAGGACUCAUCUGAGGAGGAGUCGGAUGGAAGGCACUUAAGCCGAAGUGCCUCAAAGCGAGCAUUUUCUAAGGCCACUUCUAAGGUAGCCUCCCUGACCAAGGCGUUUUCCCGAGGGCUCUUGGGCCGACGACCCGAGGAAGAACCUCGGCCCUUGGGAAUACCCGGGGUGGACUGCAUGAGGGCUCCACCGUUCACGGAUGAUAUAAACGAGGAAAGGCUUCCUCCCAAUUUUAAGCUCCCCGCAGUACAAUCUUACGAUGGCCGAGGUGAUCCCGAGAAUCACAUCCAUACCUUCAUCUCGGCCUUCCAAAUAUACUGCAUCCCAGACCCUGUCAUAUGUCGGGCCUUUCCAGUAUUCCUCAGAGGAACUGCUCGAAAAUGGUUCUGAGCUCUAGAACCUAGGAGCAUUUCGACCCUGGGUGAAUUAGUGGAGAAGUUUCUCCACCGAUUUGUCUCCUCCCGACCUACGACUAGGACCUCGGCUUACCUGCUCACCGUGCAGCAGAACCCGGGAGAGUCACUCCGGUCGUACGUCCGGAGGUUCCAUGAGGAAAGCGUUCAGAUACCUGACCCCAAUGAGCAGGUAACCCUCGCUGCCUUUACCCAUGGACUCGUUGCCGGGGAGUUCAAUACGGGGAUCCAUAAAAAAUACCCCCGCACACUGCAUGAAUUGUGGUUGAAGGUUGAAAAGGGCAUACAGGCCGAAGACCUCCAUCGCAUGAAGAAAGAGGUCCAAGCCACCCGUCCAAGGGCUGAGCCCAGAAAGGGAAAAGACGCUGGCCGAACUGAAGUAGGGUCGGGAAGUGGCUUCCGAAGUCCUGGCCGAGACCGCCGCAGCGUGUUCGACAGGAUAUCCAAGGGGAAGUCACCUAUUCCCGAGUCCGAGUUGACUCCUUUAAAUACUACCCGAUCUCACGUGUUGUCCGUGAUGGAACAAAACAACCUCGGCAAGGGCCCGCCGAGGAUGUUUGGAAGCAGAGACAAGAGGAACUCGAACCUCUACUGCUUGUAUCAUCGUGACAUUGGUCACGAAACUGAGGAUUGCAACGAUCUCAAGAAGGAGAUCGAGAACCUCAUUAGACGGGGACACUUGAAACAGUUCAUCCGCAGAGGUGGAGGUCACCAACGUGACGAAAACCGGCAUGACAAAUGAGGUGACCAACGCCGAGAUGAGCGGCGGAGCUCCAGAAGCAGUUGCCGACCUCCUGAGGAUCCCAGGGAGACGAAAAGGCCUCCCCCAGACGGAUCUUCGGGACAUGGGCCAACCAUUGCCCGGGUCAUUAACACCAUUGCCGGAGGUCCGACGGGAGGGGACAGUCAGAACUCCCGGAAGAGAACCUAUAAGCAGGCUAACCCGGAUCAGGCCGAGUCGAGUUCUCGCCUGUCCGAGGUGAUCACCUACGGGCUCAGUGAUCCCAUCCCAGCUGCAUCCAGCAGUCAUGAAACCUUGGUGAUUGAAGUCCUCACCAAUAACUACAUUGUGAAAAGGUCUACAUAGACCCGGGAAGUUCAGUUGACGUCAUGUACCUCCGUACCUUUGAGAGCCUUAAAAUGGCUAAGGGGUGCAUGACCCCGCUGAGAACCCCUCUUGUAGGGUUCGGGGGACACGUGGUGCACCCCGAAGGGAUGGUGACUCUGACAGUGACCAUAGGGCAUCACUCUCGCUGUAGAACCGUCCCUGUCAAUUUUGUGGUGGUUAAGGCUGACUCCCCAUACAACCUACUUUUAGGUCGGCCUACGCUCAAUGCCUUGCGGGCGGUCUACUCCACCUACCACCUGAGCUUCAAGUUUCCUACCCCAGCAGGGGUGGCCGAGGUCAGCAGCGACGUCUGUGCUGUCCGGGAGUGCUACCUCGCCACCCUACAAGCAGCCUCCCCGUCUACCUCCGGUGCGAGGUCCGAGAAGAGGUCAAAUAUCCUCUCAAUAGAUAGCAUCGAUCCUCAGUGAGCUGAGAAGGUCCCGAGGCUGGAGACUGGGGAUGAGGUGGAAGAGAUUCCCCUGGACCCCACGAAACCUGAUCAGACAGUUCGCGUUGGUACCCGAUUGCCCGGUCCUAUCCGAAGAGGUAUGAUGGACCUCCUCAGGGAAUACCGGGACGUCUUUGCUUGGGCCGCCGAAGAGGUCCAAGGAGUCCCGCACCAUCUCAUGAUGCAUGACUGAACGUCGACCCCCAAGUCCGUCCGGUCAAACAGAAGAGAAGGCACAUCGGCCCUGAGCGCAGCCAAGCUGUUGGUGAGGAAGUGGACAAGCUUUUACCCGCUAAAAUAAUCCGAAAAGUCCAAUACCCGAUCUGGUUGUCUAACUCGGUCAUGGUCAAGAAGGAUACGGGGGCUUGGAGAAUGUGCGUCGAUUUUACCGACCUCAACAAAGCCUGCUCCAAGGAUUGCUACCCCUUGCCCAAAGUCGAUACUUUGGUAGACUCAGCAAUGGGCUACGAGAUCCUCUGUUUCUGGGAUGCAUUCAAAGGCUAUCACCAAAUUGGGAUGAGUCAAGAAAACCAGGAGAAAACGGCCUUCUACACCGACCGCGGCACGUACUGUUAUACUACCAUGCCAUUCGGGUUGAAGAAUGCCGGAGCCACUUAUCAACGCUUGGUCAACCAAGCAUUCAAGUCUCAAAUCGGCCGGAAUGUUGAGGCCUAUGUAGAUGACAUCCUCCUCAAAAGCCAGACGAACUCCACCUUCCUGGCCGACUUGAAGGAGGUCCUUGACAUCCUGCGGAAGGUGAAAAUGAUGCUGAACCCCAAGAAAUGUGUUUUUGGGGUCACCUCGGGGAAAUUUCUAGGUUACCUCGUCUCAAGGCGAGGUAUCGAAGCAAAUCCGGAUAAGGUGCGAGCCAUCCAGGAGAUGUCUCCACCCCGGUGCGUCCGCGAUGUCCAAAGGCUGACAGGGCGAUUAGCCGCCCUGAAUCGGUUCUUAUCGCAGUCGGCAGCUAAAGCACUGCCCUUUUUCAAAGUGUUGAAGAAAGCUGACCAUUUCUCCUGGACGGAAGAGUGUCAACAGGCGUUUGAGCAGUUGAAGGAUUACCUUCACUACCUUCCAACGCUCACCUCACCUCGUCCGGGGGACAAAUUAAUCUUAUACCUUUCUGCUGCGGCCGAAGCGGUGAGUGCCGUGCUGAUAAGGAAGGAAGGGGUCCAAAUGCCCGUCUACUACGUUAGCCGAGUCCUCCGAGGUCCAGAGACCAGGUACACACAAGCAGAGAAACUUGUGCUAGCCCUGAUCCACGCCGCCCGCAGACUCAAGCCCUACUUCCUAGCUCACCACGUCUGCUUGAGGACUGAUCAACCACUUCGGCAGAUUUUGACACGACCAGAGGUUUCGGGACGUCUUACCAAAUGGGCCAUUGAGCUGGGGGAGUACGACCUAACUUAUGAGCCUCGCACAGCGAUCAAGGCCCAGGCUCUCGCAGACUUCGUAGCCGAGCUCACCUUUGACGAGGUGCAAGGAUCCGUCCCGGCUGCCACAUCGGCCACAGUUGAUGUGGCCACCACUGGGCUCCAGCGGUGGAUCCUACACGUGGACGGUUCGUCAACAGUGAGGGUAGUGGAGCAGGCUUGCUCCUCGAAGACCCCCAAGGAGAAAUAUGCUAAUAUGCCUUAAGAUUUGACUUCGCUGCUUCAAACAAUGAAGCUGAAUACGAAGCCGUCAUUGCUGGACUGCAGCUAGCUCGCAAGCUCGGGGCCGCACACAUCUUGGUUUAUAGUGAUUCCCAACUCGUCGUGUGCCAGAUAUUAGGUGAGUACGAAGCCAGGGACGAGGUGAUGCAUCGUUACCUCUCCAAGGUCCUCCAGUUGGCGACUCACUUCGAGUCUUUUGAAAUUCAAAGAAUACCGCUAUCGAAAAACAGAAGGGCUGACGCCCUCUCCCGGCUUGCCUCAACCUCUUUCUCUGACCUGAACAAGACGGUUCUCGUUGAAGUUCUAGCCGAACCAGGAUAUGUAGCCGAGGUAGUAUACCCCGUCUACCCUGGGGACACCUGGAUGGGUCCCCUGACUCGAUUUUUCAGCCAGGGUGAGCUCCCCGAAGACCGAGCUGAGUCACGGAAGCUCCAACGAAAAGCAGCACGGUACAUUCUCCGACAAGGCCUUUUAUACAAAAGGUCUUACCUCGGCCCUUAGUUGCGAUGUAUCACGCCCGAGGAAGGCCAGAGAAUCCUCCAAGACAUACAUGAGGGGCUCUGUGGUGCUCACGUCGGCUACAGAAUGCUGGUAAAAAAGGCUUUGUUACUUGGGUAUUUUUGGCCCACUAUGAGGAUAGAUGCCCAGGUCAUGGUCCUUUGCUGCCCCUCCUGCCAGCAUCACGCUCCUGAGCACCACCAGCCGACCAAUUUAAUGAUCCCUAUCACCUCGUCAUGGCCAUUUGAGCAAUGGGGAACGGACAUAAUUGGCCCCUUUCCCAGAGCUCCAGGCAAUUAUACCUACGUGGUGGUAGCAGUGGACUACUUCACCAAAUGGGUCGAAGCUGAACCCCUAAAAAAUAUCACUGGUGCGGCAGUCCAGAAAUUCUUCUGGAAGAAUGUGGUUUGCCGCUUCGGCCUACCCCGGGUGAUCAUCUCGGAUAAUGGCCGACAGUUCGCCGAUAAUCCUUUCAAGGCCUGGUGUGAGAACCUCGGGGUCAAACAGCAUUUCACUUCGGUGGGACACCCCCAAGCCAACGGACAAGCCGAAAACUUCAAUCGCACGCUCCUCCAUGGCCUCAAGACCAGGCUCCACCAGGCUGGAUCGUUUUGGAUGGAAGAGCUCCCCAGUGUGCUGUGGUCCUACCGAACUACGCCGAGAUCAGCAACCCAGGAAACCCCGUUUUCCUUAACCUACGGGUCAGAAGCUGUUGUUCCAGCCGAAUUCAUCACCCCGAGUCCACGAAUGGCCGCAUAUGCUGCCGAAGUCAAUGAAGAAGAACGGCGAGUUGACCUCGACCUCGUCGAAGAGAAGCGUGAUAUGGCCGCGGCCAAAGUUGCUGUUUACAAAAAUAUCGUAGCUGGCUACUACAACGCUCGGGUUAAACAUUUGCGGUUCAGUCCGGGAGACCUGGUGCUCAGGAAGAACUCAGUCAGCCGGGCUGAACCUCAGGGUAAACUAACCCCCAAGUGGGAGGGACCAUACCGUGUUGUUGAGUCCAGCCAAAAUGGAUAUUGUAAAUUGGCAUACCGAGAUGGGUCUCUGAGUGCCCCGAACUUGGCAUGCUGAAAAUCUUAAGUUGUACUACCCUUGAGGGUAUGUGCUUUUAAUCUUGAGUUAUUUCACACUUAUUUUCAUUUCAUUAUAAGUGAAAAAUAAGGGGACAAAGUAGCAGUAAAGAGGAAAACCGAAUUUAAUUAAAAAGAAAGCAAGAAUAUGAACUCAAUUCCAUUGAAUUACAUAAAAGUAGAAAGCCGAGGUCACCUUUAAUUAGGAAGAAAGCAAGAAUAUAAACUCAAUUCCAUUGAAUUACAUAAAAGUAGAAAGCCGAGGUCACCUUUGACCUCGGCCUACAAUGACAAAAAAAAAAACAAGUGCCUCUAGGCACUCCCUACCCUGACAUCCUGGCCCCCCGUGGUCGCGCCACCCGUUUCGGCACCCUGUCCACCCUCAGCUCCUCCACCGGCCUGGUCGUCUUCAGUACCAUCUAGUUCAAACUCCUGGAGCCAUUUGUUGAAUUCGGCUCGGACUUCGGUUAGGUCUUUCUCAGUCCGGAUGCCCUCAGCCAUGCUGUCGCAUAGCUCCUUGGCAUCCUCGUUAUAGUGCGAAGUGCUCUGAAGGGACUCCAGUUGUUCAGAGGGAAGAAAGGAUGCCGCGUCAUUAAUAGCCGACGUGUACCCGAACAUGAAGCUUGGCCGGGUGAGCUCGCCGAGGUCACGGAUGAAGGACUCUGACGUCCGGAAGGCUUCCACAGCAGUGACCCCGGCCUUGUCCAUGGCCUCCCUGUUUGACUGUUCUUCUUGGGCCCUCCUUUUUUUCUCCUCAUCAAGAGCAGUCACCAGGGAAUUGUUCGCGACCUCGGCCCUUUUGUUAGCCGCCUUGGCCUUGUCACGCUCCAACUCGGUUGCCUUCAGUUUUUCUUCCAACUCGGCAAUUCUCUUCUGGAGCUCGGCAGGAGGCUCAUAGUUUUCCAUGAACUUUCCAUACCGUUGAAUCAUCUCGACAAAAAAAGCCGUGGUAGAGGCCCAUGACACCGAGGCGCUCUGCAUCAACUCCCCUGCGGAGAGCUUCCUAGCAUAAGUGCUAUCUCGUGGCAGCACUGAAUGCACCAAGAGCUCCUGAGCGACCAAAGGGUUCUUGCAGCGAUCGUUGAAAUUAAUCUCCCACUCUGGACACCAGUGUGAUCCGGGGUGUCUCUUGUCCUCCUCAGCUGCCUUGAAAGGCACAUGAUGGAGUUUGAACAAAGAUGACCCCGUGACGGGGUUCUCCGGAAAUAUGGUCACACCCUGACCCCGGGGGGGAGUGGCAAUCGUGACCCAGCGAGAAGGGAUUCCCACCGGAAUUGCCGAGGCUCGGGAACCUCCCGGAGUGGCCGAGGUGUGCGAGCCCUCGCCCACGAUCACCACGGCAGGCUCGCGGUCGCCCGACGCCGCGGUGGUUUUCUUAGCCGGCCUGGAAGAGGACCCUGCAGUGUCCUUGCGCUUUUUGGGAGCUCUUUUGACCACCUCGACAUCUCCCGAGGUUAUCAGGUCGAAAAUCUUCGUCACUGCAAAGUAGGAGACGAAGUCAGUUAGAAUUCAAGAGGGAUAAACUAAAAGGGAAGAAAUGGAAAAAUACAAAGUCUGUGAAGCCUAGUCGAGAGUAAGACAGGCUGGUCAGAGCUCGUCAAGGCUCAACUGAUCCCGCCUUCCACGAGCACCACUUCGGGAAAAUCCCAGCAGUUUAUCCUGAGGCCCGACCCCGUUAACUUCUGGAAGUUACGCUCUUCUAACUUCCCUGGAGAUAUCUCCUUGAUCGAGGUGGGAGGCCUCCACCAGAAUCCGCGAGGGAAGUCAUCGGCCGAGACGAAGAAGAAGUUUUGCUUCCACUCCUUUAUUGAGUUCGGAGCAUCAACCACCAACUUCGGAACUUUGUUUCCGAAGUAGAACCAUCCUUUUUCACUUCUGCUGUUCUUGAGUGAGUAACAGCGGCGAAAGAGGUUGACCUAAGGUUGUAUCUCCUGAUGUCGGCAAAGUAGCUGGAAGCCAACGAGAAUGCGAAUAGCGUUAGGGGUGAGUUGAGUGAUUCUCACCCCCCAGUACCUCAGGCAGUCCCGAAGAAACCUCGUCGUGGGCACUCUGAGUCCGGCCUCCAGCUGUUCCUGAUAGAUAGUCACCUUGCCCUUUGGUGGCAGUGCGGCUGACUGAUGCGGUUGGGGUAUGUAAAUACUAUAAUCCCUUCUCCAGGGAUACCUGCGGACCACCUCGGCUAUUGAGGCUUGUCCCAUACCACUACUGAAGAACGGCAUCUGGCCGUAGUCGAGAGUUGCCACGUUUGGAGGAGUGGAAGGUUCUUGUACUCCCUCGUCUCUAGGGAUCUCAAUCCCGAGGUCAUCGUUGUAUAGGACCUCGGGCUGGACCUCGAUCUCCUCGGGCUGCACCUCAACCGCCUCAGCUCGGCGUGAUGCCUCGGCACCUCCACCCUCAGCUUGGUGAGAUGCCUCAGCACCUCCGCCCUCGGACGCGGUCCUUUCCUGGGAGGGGUCAGGCCUCUCUGCCUCAGUGAGGUCAGGUCUCACUGUCUCUUUGUGCGUACGAGCUGUUCUAGCCAUUGUAUCAGAAGGGGAAGAAGUGAACUUACUUAGAAUCUGCGACUGGAAGAAGAUGCCGAAGUAGACGUGGUUUAGAAAGGUUGCCGAAGUGAAAAGAGAAAGAAACAGAGUUCUGGGGUGAUUCUUGAUUUUUGGUGAAGAGUAAAACGGUGAAAAAAGACCACUAUUUAUAGGCCACCAGGGUGAAACCCAAGAGACGGCACCCUCUCUCUUCAUUAAUGGGAGGACUGUUCGUCUGCCAACACAGCUGACAGCCGUCCCUUCAGUUAUCACUCAGUCCCAUCUAUGCGGUCAUGACGUGUCCGUGUUCCGUGUUUUAUACGCUUCUCAGCUUCGGGAAGUAACGACCACGGCGGAUGCCCAUCUCGCCCUUCUCAAAGCUUGGGGGGCUUAGUGAGGAGGGCCAUUUAGGCUCGGAGCGCCCGAGGCCUAGUUCCCCAUCAUUUCCUGAAGUGCCGCCUCGGGUAUUAUCCUGGAAGGCGAUCGCGGCCCAUUUACCACCUCGGCUACAAUGUCAAGUCGUAACACCGAGGUGGACAUUGAAUGACAACUACGAAAAGGGGAGAUGUGAUCUCUGACACCUGAGCAAAGGCUGCUCUGACCCGCCGCCUGAAUCUGACAGAAUGUCCCAUCACGUCUCUUCAUGGAGACCGGUCAAGUCCACCUGAUCCACUGACUAUCUCAGAUCUUUUGGGACCCGUGCAAACAUCUCCUCUCUCCUAUCGGUCCCCUAUAAAUACACAAUAUUUCUACUGAAAAAGGGGAUGACCAAUUUCUGGUAAAACACACUCCACUCAUUACUUACUUCUCUAUAUCCGAACUGACUUAAGUUUCGGAGUUAUACCGGGGGAUCCAGCCCCUUUUCUUAUUCAAGCAGGUGACUUCGUCCAAGAGAGUUGCCCAAGGUAAAGAUAUUCUUCGAAUUGAGGUGACUCACUCCUGCGGGUCGAAAAUCACCUCUUCAAAUGGUAGAAAGUUUUCUUAAGAACCAAGAACAGCAUUAGUAUUCCCUCUGCUUCCAAAAACUUGUGUAUUAAAUAGAUUAAUGAAUUGUUUAACAUGCUCAUCUACUUGAAAAUGCACAAUACCCAUAACCCACUGAAAUUUUUGCAGGAAAAGGGAAAGAGAAUCUGUGUUUGAGAGCUUCAUGAAGAUGUUGAAGAAUAAGAAUAAAAGCCCAAUGCGAGGAUGUUUUCAAGUUUUUCUAUGUCCACUUUAAUUUGUAAAUUGAAUUUUACAACUCAAUUAAUUCCUUGUUUGUGAGGUACGUAUUGUUUUACGUACCAUGCCGUACAUGUUUGUAAGGAUUUCUAUCCUAUUGGCAAAAGUCGGUUCCAUACAAUUAAUCAAUUCAUUUCACUUCUAUUGGCUCUACUAUUUAUGCAUGUUACGACACUCUUUCCCUUAUAUUUUGCCUUUAAUAUUAUGAGUCAAUAGUAAUAAUGGGCCUUUUUCUUAAAAUUAUACUAUUAUACAUAGGUAGUUUGGUCUAACGCUAAAUUCAUGUUUGUCUUUCUUUUAUUCCCUUUACAUCUCAAAGUAUACUAUAGUUUGUAAUCAUUGUGGUGAUGAUAUUACCAGCUGGUACUUAUAGUUUAAGGCAGAGACAUGAUAUUAACAACUAUCUCAUUGAAACAUAAGUCAAAAUCAUGACAAGUGUGAGUCUUGGUUAAUGCACAAUUUGUUAGUGGAAUUUAUAUUUAUAAAACUCAAAAAAAAUUUUUGACAAUGCUAUUACUAAUUAAUUAAGGACUUCAUUGCUAUAAUUUAUCGCUUACUAGUUUAAACUAUAAAUGAUCUCAAUACUUUUCUCCAUGAUGUCGAUUUCUUUAGACUACGAAAGGGAAAAAUUAGUGACAUAUCCCUUACUGAUUACAACAUCAGCAAAAAUUAGUUAUAAACUUUUCCGGUGGUUUUAAAUCCCUCGGGCACUAAGGUUUUUUGCACAUCGAGUGAAUUAAGGAACAUAGGCAAUUCGUUCUGCAUACCAAGUCCUUGUUUAAGAUGCACGUACUAAAAUGCAUCCACUUCAUUAAUUUGGAAAAUUGCCAUAGUUUUUUUUAAGCAUUUUGAUUUUUUACAUGAUUCAAAAUUUUCUUAUUGGAUACAAUCACUUUGUGUCAAGAACACAUUUUCAAUCAUCUUUUUUAUCUUCUCAAUAAGAAAAUAAAAAUUUAUUCAUGCUUUUCUAACAUAUCCAAUCAUUGAUCUGAAAAAUAAAGAAUUAAAAAAAAAAGACAUUUUCAAUCAUUGCUUACAGGGCAACUUCCCCAUGUGAACCUCUUCAAACAAAGCCAAUAAUAUGAAGGAACAUCUAAAUACACUUUUGCCCUAAAGGCUGGUUGCCUUGGGGUCAAAAUUUAACCUUCGGGAGUAUAAUUACCCGCCAAAUUUAUUAUUUUUUAUGGGUAUAUAGUUCCAAUUUUGCCUCCUGUUAAGCUUAUAAAUAUAUUACGACCCAGAAAAUAAAGGAAUCUUGAAUAGUAACAUGUCCAUUGACUUGAGUUGUCAUCAAUUUGGCUACUUCGAUUCCAUGAGGCCAAUCCAAUUCACACUAGCUAGAGAAAAUGGUGAUAAAGGCACUUAGAAAUUUAUAUGUAAUAUUGAUUGGUAGUAACUGAUAAGUAUAUAUUUUACGUGUUUUAAAUAUGUUUUAUUAGUUAGUUUUGGUGUGUUUUAACUACUUUUAUAACUAAUUAACUAGGAAUCUAGUGAAAAUAUGCAUUUUGUGGUUUGAAGUGUGAAAAUUGUAUUUCUAUGGAUUUUAAUGGUGAAAACUUCAUGUUUUUGUAGGUUUAAUGAUUCAAUCAUCAAAUGACAUGAUUUGAGAAGAUAAUUAGAUGAUUGAUGAUGUUUUGAAGUGAUAAAAAGAGAAUACAAAGUGCAAGAGAGGAAAUGCAAUCAAGAAUAAAAGAAGAAAAUUUUUGUAGCUUUGACAUAUUGUGGUAUUUUGGCAAUAUAUUGAGCUACAAUGAUUGGAUUAAGGUGAUUCUUAAACCAUUUGAAGCUAAGAUAUAGAUCUACAUUUGGUAUGAAGGCAUCGAAACCCAUGUCAGUCAUUUUCCUUGUCAAAAUGUUGAAAUACAGAAGUGCAACUCUGUUCUCGAAAGCUAAAACAGAGCUCUGGCUAGUCGAGGGUAUUUUCAUCAUUUCUUAGUCCACAGAGCUCCAAAUGAGAUGAUUCUUAAGGCAUUAGAACCCUAACUCAAAGAGCUACAACUUUCAUAUUUUGUACAAGAGUUAGUUCGGCCUCCAUCAUUCAGAAAAUAGUAGUUGAAGUGGUGCCAAAUGCAUAGAAGUGAAAACGCGAGCUAUCAAUACUCGACCUGAAGUCGCGUAUUCCUGAGGUCAUGCAUUCUCUUCUAUUUUCUGCAACUUGCCCUGCUUUCACAUAAUUUUUUCAUCUCAAUUCCAACUAUCAAUUUCGGCUAUAUCUGAUCAAGAAAAGUGUGGAAAGUUUGAAAGACAACUCAUAGGAGUUUCAAGAGUCAAAAAUUACAAUUAGAAACAACUCAUUUGGCUCUUGAAUCCUCUAUAAAUAGAGGCCUUUGAAGAACAUUUUCACAACUUUGGAAGGUUAGAGAAACUCCACAAAAACAUAGUCUUCACUAGAAUUUCCUUAGUUCAUUAGUUAGGGUAGUAUAGUAUAGUUAGUGUAGCUUUUCCUUCUUGUAUUUAUAGUUAGGUUUGAAUGAAGAUUCAGGAGCAAAGAUAGAGAGGUUGAUCUCAUGUGACAAGGGUGAUAUCUCUUCUACUACUUUCUCUUUUGUAUUUGAUUUCAUAUUUAACUAUACUACAAAUUUGGCUUUGUUUUUUUUUUUUAUCAUGUUUAGUUAAAGUUUAUGCCUAGAGUAUGGAUGACCUUUCUAUAUCUUGUUUGUGAUAUUUAACUGGUUAUUUGAUGAUGUUAUUUUUGAGCAAGUUAUUUAUCACUUUUGCUUUUCUAAUCGUGAUUAACUGGCCAUUAGUUGUGAUUAUCUAAAAGUGUUAAGUUUGUAAUGAGAAUUGGAGUUUAACACUAGUUCAAGGAAGUGAUAAAUUUAGGGAGUUCACUCAUGAGAGUAGAGGAACACCUUUGUGACCUAAGUGACUUGUUUCAUAUAAUUUCAUAGAAAAAAUGAACUUGUAAUUAAUUUCAUAACCACGAGAGUAAGUAUGGUUUAGCUAUAUGUAUAGUUGAUUCACUACGAGAGUAGGUUUCACAUACAUUAGAAAAUUACAUCAUAACUAGUCAAGAUAAUAUCAUUCAUUUAAUCAGUAAUCUCAUUUGCAUGAGUAGUAAGGCAUUCCAUAUCUCUAGGAGGUUUUUAGUAUUAUUUUCAUUACUUUUAUGUUUAUGGUAGUCUAGAUAAUAAUGGAGUUCAAAAACUACUAGUAAUUGAAAAUUUUCCCUGUGGGAUCGACCUUUAAUACCCUAUACUCGCUCUCGACUCGUAUACUUGCGAAAAAUCACGUGUGCGGUAUUUAGAAUUUAUAAAUGUAAAACUUGACUGUAGAUGAACUAAUUGAUAUAUGUAUACCCCGCACUCGUCAGUAACCAGCUUGUAUUGAUCCCAUUAUUGUGGAUAAUUGUGCUCUUAUGAAAAAAAAUUAUAAAAAAAUUAGCAAAAUUUAUGAUAACAAAUUAAAUUUAUUCAUACAAAUCAGUGAAAGAAGUAGAAUUUUAAAGACCAUGAUGAAAUUAAUACUUUCAAGGGCUCUAUUAGGAAGACUUCACUUGUUGGUGAAACUACACUAGCACAGUUAUAUGCACAUUUACUGUUUUGGUAUCUAAUUUCCUUGCCUUAAGUUGGGUGCAGAUGUUUAUAUUACAAAUAGAUGGUAUCAUAAAAUUGUUGUAUUCACGUUUGUUCUUUUUUUUUCUUCCUUAAGUUUUUUUCUUUAUUCUCGUGACUUCAAAAAUACGAACUCAAGAAAUUGGCUGCUUAAUCAAUAUGUCAUACAGGCUUCGCUAGUGAGGUAUAACUUCACAACUAGAGUCAAUAGAAAUUAUCAAAUGAUUUUUUAACAUCCAAAUUAAGCAAUAAAUUUUGUUUUCAUUUUAUGACAUAUAAUAGUACUACUUCAUGAGAGAUUUUAUAGUUUCUUUUAGGUAUCAUACCUACAAGUGAUAUUUGUCAUUGGAUAGUGACAGAAGUGUUAAUGAUUGUAAGAUUAAAUAUUGUUAAAUAUUGAAAUUUAAACUAUUUAUCUUUAUUGAAAGAUACAAGUUAAAGAAUCGUUCAAGGGGGCAAUUUUCCAUCUUGUCUUUUUGAAAAAACGCUAUCACAUUGUAUAGGCAUGAUAGGUUCAAAUUUGUCAUUAAAUUUAUGAUUGAUUUCCCUUUUAUUCAAGCCAAAUAUUGUUUUAAUUAUCAAAUUCUACUUAUAUUUGGUUAAUUGUACUAAUUGUAGGGCGGUAGAGCAAAAGUUGCUAAAAAUAGGUGAUUUUCUGCAAAUUGGUUGUCAAGGCUGAAGGAUUUGGGAUUCGCAUGUUCAAGGCCUGUUUCCAAGUUUGAUUCAAACUCUGGACAGUUUUAGAGGAAGAUUUGGAAGAUUUGAAAUUUCAUUAUUAGUUUUAUGGUUGAAUUAGGAAUCUUGGAAUAAUUUCUUUUGUGAUUUAUUUUUCUAUUUAGGAGACUAGUUGUUAUUUAGUAGUAGACUUCAAUUAGAAAACAAAGAGAAAAAGAAGGCCGGAAUCCCGCUUGAUUAAUACCUUGGCCAGGGAACAAUCUCGGUGGGGAGGACGGCCACUUAGCCUCUCAAUUCAUCUUGCUUUUCGUUAGUUUGAGAGGAAAACCAAUUGCAACUAGAUUCAAUGGAGUCUGGCAGAAUUUCUUCUAGGAUGCGUAGCUAAAUCCUCAAUUUUUAGUCGAAGGUCAAUUUGAAAAUUCGGUUCCAAAUAUCUGUGAAAUCGAAUUAUUUUACUUAUUUCUUUUAUUUAUUGGUAUUCGCACGUUUUCUGAUUUAACUUUUUAUGAUUGUUUUGUUAUUUGAAUGUCAAGGGUCCGAUAUUCGAAUUAACUUAAUAAUCUACUGCCAAAUUAACCGGUUAAAUCCGUAAUUGUUUGAUUGAUUAAUAUCAGUGGCGACUAGCGUGAUUGGUCCCAUGUUAGGAAAACGUCUGAUCUAAUUUAAACAAACCGUCGUAGCGUGUUUGUUGAUUAGGGUUGGACUUUUCUAAUUCUUAAUUCAAUUGAGAAAUUAAAUCUCCCGGUCGUACCUAAGAUUAUUUUUUUGUUAGCGAAAUAGUUAAUGGUCGUACCUUGACUAUCGAAAAAGUAAGGAAGAGUUGAUUGUUUAUCGCGUGUACGACAACUAUAAUCAAUCUAUUAAUGAGUAAUUGAAUUAUCUUUGCAUCAGUAAUCAGUUGAAUGGACCGUGUCUGAAAAGUUGUACCUUUGGCUAGAGUCUUAUCUGUUGUUGAUUCAUUCAUAUCUAUCUUCAUGCGUUGUUUUAAUUUAGUUAAUUAGUUAUUUUUAUAAAAACCCCUCAUCUCUGGACUCUAAAAGAAAUAAAUUAUUUCUAGUUCCUGUGGAUUCGAUCCUACUCACCGCUAUAUACAAAAUUUGUAUUUUUUUGAAUAAAUAAUUAUUAUUACACAGGCUUGACACCUGUCAAGGCAAAAUUUCCUUAACUUCAUCAUCUGUAGACGUAAACUUUCUACGGGUGAUAUAAUAUAAGGAAAUUUUGCCUAUACGAUGUGAUAGCAUUUUUUCAAAAAAGACAAGAUGGAAAAUUGCUCCCUUGAACGGAAAAAAUCAUGAUCUUUCCUCAAACUAGUCUACUAGUCAAUUCUUUACAAAAGAAUACUCGCUCCUAAACAUAGCCUGUUCAUCUACACUGUCCCGCAGAAUUCUAGAAAGUUAGGCAAAACUAGACAAGUUGACAGGUAUAAUCAUACCCAAGAUCAGGAACAAGCAGUUGCACAUUUCAAAAUUCGCUGCUGCAACAGCUAAUUUGAUGACUUACAACACUACACGGUCAAACUUUGAAUGGCAAUGGAUCUUUUGUUGUACGUCAUGAUGUAAUUUUCAUGUUACAUACAUUAAUAGGUUGAUAUCUAUAUUCUUUAAAUUAUCAUGAUAAUACCCUUAAUUAGAUUUAACUGAUAAAAAGAACACGUGUUAAUAUACAAAAGUGUGUAACGUGAAUGUUACAUUACUGUAUUGCAGAAGACCUAUAGUCUCUUCAUAUCUCUUCCUGCACGUAUCAAUUCGUUUCCUCUAGAUAAUAAUCUCCCAACUCGUUUCUUUACAAAUGCACCUUUUAUGUUUUAUUACCUCCAAAAGCCUUUACAGGGUCUUUACCCUAAAAAUCAAUUCACCGACUCGCAUUUGAUGUCAGAAAUUCUUAAGACGAAUUCUACUUUACUCAAAGAUUGACUGUUAAUAAUGAGACAGCGACCAUUUUGUAUUAUUAGACCGUCCUUCUUGAUAGGUAAAAGAAAUAGAGAGGAAAGUGGGUCCGUAUAUGGUCUUUUAUUCAUAGAUAAUACAACAUUACGCCAUCGAGCAUUCACACAAUAUUUCAAAGUCAUAGCAUGCCUAAGGCCCUGUUUGAUAGCUCAAUUUCGUAAUUAAAUUUAAUAGAUUCAAAUUUUAACACAUUUAAAUCAUUUGAUAACAAAAAAUUGAAUAUUUAAAUUAAUUAAGUAACACUGAACUUUCUAAACAAAACUUGCUUUCAAAAUUAAGUGAUAAGUUAUUCACUUAUCUUUGAAUGUGAUAUGCACUCAAAUAUAUUAAAUUUAAUAAUUUAAUGGAUUCAGAUUUCAGAUUUCAGUUUUAUUACACACCCUAAGUUGCAAAAUAAUACCAAAACUUGUUAUUAUAUAGCUUGAGAUUCAAAAAUUUAGAGCAUAAUUCUCAACCUAACACAAUCGAAUAAUGAAUAUUCACGAUUGUUUCAAAGUACAAUUUGAGGACAACCCAUUCCAACGCGUACACGAUUUUUAACUUUUCUAAAGUUGUUGAGAGCUGUUAAAAGAGAUUUACCAUGUUUACAUCUUCCAAGUCUUGGAAGUGAAAAAUGAAGCCACUGAGUGCUAUAAAAAGGGGGCUAGAGGCUGCCUAGAAGCAUAUCAGCCUAAAACAAGAAUUUGUAGUAACAAUGGGGAGCAAAGCAAAAGCAACGGGGUCUAGGCUGACUCCUCUUCUUACCACUGUUUUAGUGGUAUUUGUCGCCCUUGGCUUGCCCUUGGAAACUGCAGCUGAUUAUUACAAGUAUUCAUCUCCUCCUCCUCCUCCUUACCACUAUUCUUCACCACCACCUCCAGUGUAUUCACCUCCACCAACCCCUGCUUAUAAGUUACCCCCACCAUCUCCUCCAGUUUACAAGUCCUCACCACCACCUUACCACUACUCACCACCUCCGGUGUAUUUACCUCCACCAUCUCCAGUUUACAAGUCACCACCACUACCCCCUCCGGUAUACAACUCCCCGCCUCCACCAGUGUACAAAUACAAGUCCCCACCACCACCUCCUCCAGUUUACAAAUCUCCAUCGCCACCAGUUUACAAAUACAAGUCACUCCCACCACCUCCUCCGGUAUACAAGUCUCCUCCGCCACCUGUUUACGAGUACAAGUCUCCUCCACCACCUCCUCCAGUGUACAAGUCCCCACCACCUCCAGUUUACAAGUACAACUCACCUCCACCUCCUCCCCCAGUUUACCUGUCUCCACCUCCACCCUAUCAUCACUACUACGGUUCUCCUUCUCCUCACCACUACUAAGCAAGUGCAUAAGUUUUGAGGUAAUAAUACCUAUCCAAAACUUUAUCAACACAAACUGCCAUGUAUAUUAUCAUGCUAAGGACGUACACUUGAUCCAUGAAAAUGACUAGUAGAAGAUUUUUUUUAAGAACCAAAGAAAUACAUUAUUUUUUCGGUCUGUUUUCAAGAAUUUGAGCAGUAUACAGAUUAAAGAGUGUUUUUUUUUUUGUAAACUUGCUUGUCAACUUAAAAAUGCACAUAGCUGAAAGCCAACUGAAUAUUUGCAGGCAAAGGAGAAGGCAAUCGGUGUUUGAGACCUUCAAGAAGAUGUAGAAGAAUAAGAAUAAAAGCCCAAUGCGAGGAUGAUUCCAAGUUUCUACGUUACCAUUUCUACAUCUAAAUUGACUUUAGCUCCUGAGUUCCAUGUUUAUGGGGUUUGUACCGUUUUACGUACCAUGCAGUACAUGCUUGCAAGGUUUUCUGUCCUGUUGGCAAACUGCAGGUCCAUAUAAUAAAUGAAUACUAUUUACAUUACGACACUUUUCUCUUUUUCUCUUAUAUUUUGUCUUUAAUAUUGUUGAUCAUUUUUUUUUUAUCAAAAGCAUCAAAUGCUUAGGUAAUUUGGUCUAAUGCUAAUUGUUUUACUUUUAUUUUUCACCUACACCCCUUUUCAACUCAAAGGAUGCUAUAGUUUGUGAUAAUUGUUUAAGACCGAAGCAUGAUACUAAUAAAUAUCUCAUUGAAAGUCAAGGAAACUAACAUUAGGAAAAGUUUAAAUCUUGAUUUGAUGAAACUAUUUAUUCGUGGAAUUUAGAGAUACAAAACUCAAAUUGUGACGGUGUUGUUGCUAAAUUAUUAAGGACAUUAUCACCAUUAUUUUUCCCUGAUCACUAGUUUCAACUGCAAUGAUCUCAAUCUUUUUGUGACUAAUUCUUUCCUUAAUAAUUUAUAAAGACAAAACUCACAAAGAAUAUGUGACUAAUUCUUUCCUUUCGUCUUCUAAAGAAAAUGCCAACUGUUAGUUUAUCAAGGGGAAAAAGGAUCGACAUCAGUUAUUAUUGAAACUAGUAAGGAAUAAAUAAUGGUGAUAAUGUCCUUAAUAAUUUAACAACAGCACCAUCAGAAUUUGACUUUGAGCUUCGGUCUUAAACAAUGAUCACAAACUACAGCAUCCUUUGAGUUGAAAAAGGAAGUAGGUGAAAAGAAAAGUAAAAAAUACAAUUAGCAUUCCCUCAAAUUGUAGAAAGUUAGGUAGCAUUAUAGACAAGUUGAUAGCGGCAAUUUUACAUUUCAAACUUCACCUAUUCAAUAACUAAUUCGAUGGCUUGCUACAUGGUCAAUCUUUGGACCCCUUCCUGCCUCCAGAUAUCCCUUUCCUCAAUCAGGGGCUUCUACAAUUACCAGUUUCAAUUGUAUGGUAUAGUGUAAAUAUCAACAAAUUAGAUGUAGAUGCUAACAUAAUAAAUGUGAAUGCUAAGACAGCAACAUACAAUCGAACCUGCAAUUGUAUGAACCCCAAUCUCGCUUCCUAGUCCACCAUCUUUCUCUAGGUAAUAAUCUCCCUUCUAAUUUAUUCACAAAAUGCACCUUUCAUCACCUCCAAUAGCGUCGACAUGAUCUUUACCCUAGAAGACUAUUCACCGACUCUCAAUUGACGUCAGAAAAUCUAAGAGUAAUUCUACUUUACCCUAAGAUUGAUAUCAACAAGACAAGGACAAUUUAGAAUUAUUACACGCCUCUUCUUAAUAGGAAAAAGAAAUAGAGAAGAAAGUCAGGCCAGGUCUAAUUUCUUUUCAAAGGCAAUACAACAUUACGAAAUCAAGCAUUCAUUCAUACAAAUAUUUCAUAGUCACCGGUUUGCUGAGUAGAAAAAUUUAGACAAAAACUUAAUAUUAUAUUGUUUAAGAGUUAACAAUUUAGAGCUUAAUCUCCUUGUACUUUGGAGUUAACAAUUUAGAGCUUAAUCUCCUUGUACUUUGGACUAAACUUGAACGUGAAAGGAAAUCCCAAAACCAUAUUGGGCAUGAAUUCACACUUAAUAUACCCAAUAAAAGAUGGCGACUGGUGAAAGGCAGUGGAGACUGGUGGAGAGAUUUGAGGAAUAGAAGCAGACGGAAAAGCAACAAAUUUUUGCCGAAAAACGGUCACUUUCAUGGUUAAUUUUGCUACUCUCCAAUUGUACUUGACCAAUUACAACAAUUUCAUGGAGUUUGAUACGUGAAAAGAAUUUUUUAUAAAUUUUAUUUUGAUCCAUAAUGUUAUCUUUACAUAUAUAAAACAUUUUACAAUUUUGAUUUUGGCGCAGCUAACUUUUGGUUAACAAAAAUGCUCAUGUUUAAAAAACCAGAAAUAAAACAAAACAAGAAACAAAAGAAAUAAGAGGGUAGCAUAGACAUUUUGGAUUUUUCCGUUAAUUUGGAUGAUUUCCACCCACGUUCUAAUUUAAUCCAAAACACAAAGGAAUUACGUAGAGGUUUUAAAUAAUGAGGGAGCUUCAUGAUCGAACCCCAAACCACAAGGCGAUUUACUAUAUUUUACUCUUAAAUUUUGGUUUCAUCUCAUAGCAUACAAGAGUUCUAUUUCACUAUCUGUAGACAAAGACUUUCUAUGGUUGAUGUACCAUAGGAAAAAAUCUGCCUAUACAACGUGAUAGCAUUUUUUCAAAAACACAAGAUGGAAAAUUGCCCCUUAAACGGGGAAAUUCAUGAUCUUUCGUCGAACAAAGAAUACUCACGCCUAUUCAAGAUGGAAAAUUGCCCCCUUAAACGUCUAUUUGUCAAUUCUUGAAAAAAGAAUACUCACGCCUAAAACACGGCCUCUUCAUCUGCAGAAUUCUAAAAAGUUAGGUAAACUCUAUAAACAAGUUGAUAGGUACAAUCGUACCCAAGAUCAAGUACAGAUAGUUGUACAUUAACUGCUGCAAUAACUAAUCUGAUGACUUAUAAACAUAUCAUGGUCAAUCGUUGAAUGGUAAUGAGUCUUUUGUUAUGCAUUAGUAUUAGUGUGUACACUCUAAUAGAUUGAUACUUAUACUCUUUAAAUUAUCAUAAUAAUACCCUUAAUUAACUUUAACUCUUAAAAAGAAUACAUGUUAAUACACGAGUGUGUGUAACCUGAAUUGUUACUUAUAAAUUAGUGUGUAAUAGAUAGGGAUGGCAAUGGGGGCGGGUGCCCGCGGGGGGCUCUCGGGGCGGGGGUUGGGGCGGGGGGGAAUUUUUUCCCCCCGUUUAGAAAUGGGGCAGGGGACGGGGGAGUAUACCCCCGCCCCAUCCCCCGCAAAAAAAAAAUUAUAUAUAAUAUGUAAUUUAAUUAGUUAUAAACUUAUGAUAAUGAUAUUAUUAGUUAGAUGUAUUAUAUAAUGUAUAUUAGUGUAUGUAAUAUAAUUAAUAUUAUCAAUUAUAUGAAUAAUUAGACAUGUCUACUAAUAGAAUUUAUGAAUUAGUUAUACUAAAUUUACUAAUACAUUUAUACUAAAUUUCUAAUUACACUUAAUAGAAUAACACUUUUUUCUAAAACAAAAAAGCACAAACACAAUAAUGAAUUAGUGAUUGUAUGAUAGGGUGUAAUUUUACUAUUUAUUUUAUUAUUAAUUUCCCCUAUCACCUGACCUGAUGUGGAUUAAUUGCUGGAUUCUGCUCACUUUUAGUACUUUGUAUUUAUUUCAGGGAGUAGAACGGAAAUUUGAUAACAGGUGCUAAUUUGGCAGAAAAAGAGUCCAGAUGAUAGAGCUUGCCCCAAGGGCAUUUUUGGAAAGGAGAACUUGUGCCCAUCUUGGUAAUUUGGGAGAAAAGGGAAACAGACAAAAUGGGUCUAACAUGGAUUGGAAGCGGCCGCACAGUAGCAGGGAAGAGGGCAGACGUAAAAGCAAUUGCAGGGGGGAAAAGGAGUUUUUUUAGUUUUUAGCUUAGCAUCUGAUUUUCCCUGGGAGACUUUUGUUAAAGAUUUCCUUUUGGCUGAUAUUACGCAUGGCAGAUGGCUUUUAACUUAUUCCUCCAUCUUUGACUUUUCUUCUUUAGCUUGUGGCAGUGGAUUGCUACUUACGAAUGUCAGCACUUAGCCAUUCGUGGCUUUUGAUCUUUUCUUCCUUAGAAAUUCUGAGUAACCUCUUUUCCUUUGUGCGCCAGACGAAGUGAAAACUAUAAACUUUUGUAGUUUUUCUAUUCAUUCAAUAUAUUGAGACGAGUUGGAUUCUACCAAAUUUCAACGGACAUGGCCGCUGGUUUCUCUUCAAUUUUAUAUGGGCUUUGUUCAUCCAACAUGAACUAAUUUCACCACUCUAGUCAAGGAGCAACGAAGGCUCUGAUUUGCCUAAAAAUUGUGAGAUCGUUUUAAUUUAAUCUUUUCCUUUUAUUUAUUGGUAUCCGCACAUUUCUUGAUUGCUAUGCUUAUGGUUAUUUAAUUAAUUGAUUGUCUUGGAUCCAGAUAAUUAAUUGAUCUGAUAGCCUAUUGUCAAUUAGGGCAUUUAAAUCCGUAAUUGUUUAAUUGUCCUGAAAUAGUGACAACUGGCACGAUUAGAUUCGUGCCAGGGGGGAUAUGCGGGCUAAUCUAAAAUAACCCUGGUAGUGUGUUAUUUGGUUAGAAUAGGGCUCCUCUAAUACUAAGGCAAUUGGGGAAUUAAAUUCUACGGGCGUACCUAGGAUUAUUUCUUAAUUAGAGCAGUGAUUAACGGGCGUACCUUGAUCACCGACACAGUAAGGAGGGGUUGACCGUCAUCGCUUGUUUGGCAGUUAUAACCUAUUUAUCAGUAAAUAAUUGGGAUUGCCUUGCAUCAAUGAUCAAUUAGGUGAACCAUUGUUGAAGUUACUUCUUGGUUAGAUCUUUAGUUAAUAUUACCUUGAUUUUGGUGAAUUGCCAUUUGAUUUUUAGUUGCCUACUUUAUUUUAUUUUUAAUUGUUUCCUUGCUUUAAUUGAGUUAGGCCUUUAAUUAUUGUUAUUCUAAGUUUAGUGAAUUGUGGUUUAAUUCCUAAUUAGUUAUUUAUUUUUACUUUCUUAUUUGAAUUUAUUUGCUUGUUAUCAUUCCUACGAAAUCACCCCCCUGUGUUACUUUGGAUUUCUUAAGAAACAAAUAUACCCAAUCCCUGUGGAUACGACCCUACUUGCUCUGUUCACGAAUUCAUAAUUAUUUGUGAAAAGAAAUAACCAUUCCACUCGGGUAUAUCGGAUCAAGCAAAUUCUUCGGGAACAGGGUGAAUCAAGUAACCCAAUGCACACCUAGAGUCCCUGCUCCAGUACUUGGAAUUGGGUUUUGGUCAUUUUAACUGGCAAUUAGGUUUAAUUUUAUUAUUGCACAGGCUGACGACCCUGUCAAUUUUUGGCGCCGUUGCCGGGGACUGGCGUUAUUAUUUGUUUCUUUUUAAAUUCAUUCUUUGUCCUAAUUUUCUGGUUUUCUUCUAGUGUAUGCCUCGAUCUUCUCGUACAGGUAAUUUGAUUUUUGACCCUGAGGUAGAGAAGACCGCAUGUAGAACGAGAAAGGAAACCAGACAGCUCAGAGAAGAGCACUCCAGUGCUACAUCUCAGAGACCCGAGUCAGAAGUUGAACUAACAGAUUCGUUUGGUAACACUUCGAGUGACUCUGACCAGGAGGAAGACACCAUGGCUAAUGCACGAACAUUAAGGGAGUUGGCUGCUCCUGAUUUAACUCAGCAGCCUUUAUGCAUUACUUUCCCCACUUUAAAUGAUAACAUUCCAUUUGAACUAAAAUCUGGUCUGAUUCAGCUUUUACCCUCUUUUCAUGGUUUACCAGGUGAAGAGCCGUAUAAGCAUCUGCAGGAGUUUGAUGUCGUGUGUAAUAGUAUGAAACCCUCGGGAAUCACAGAAGAGCAGAUAAAAAUGAGGGCAUUCCUCUUCUCCUUGAAAGAUUCUGCGAAGGACUGGCUGUACUACCUGUCACCAGGUAGCAUCACCACGUGGGACCAAUUGAAGAAAAAAUUUUUGGAUAAAUAUUUUCCUGCGUCCAGGGCUGCAAGUCUAAGGAAAGAAAUUUGUGGGAUCAAGCAGCAUCCAGGGAAGUCACUUUAUGAGUAUUGGGAACGGUAUAAGAACUUGUUGCGCAGGUGCCCCCAACACCAAAUAAGUGAGCAAUUGAUCAUACAGUAUUUUUAUGAGGGGCUCCUUUUUAGAGACAGGAGCAUCAUUGAUGCCAGGGGGGAGGGUUGGGAUGGGUGGUACGGGGGGAGGGAGUGUAAGCAAGAGGUCUCGGGUUCGAGUCCUCCCGCUUACACACAAAAAAAAAGAUGCUGCAAGUGGAGGGGCACUGGUAAACAAAACCCCUCAGGAAGCACGGGAGUUAAUAGAGGGGAUGGCAGAGAAUUCACAACAAUUCAGUACAAGAGAGGAUGUCCCAAUACGUAAGGUGAAUGAGGUAGAGACACCCUCUAUGCAGCAGCAGCUAACUGAGUUGACCGCGUUUGUUAGGCAACUGGCUGUGAGAAAUGCAUCACAAGCCAGGGUGUGCGGGAUUUGCACUGGUAUGGGUCAUUCUGCAGACAUGUGCCCAAUGAUUCAGGAAGAAACUGCAGAACAGGUGAACAUGGCUGACCACGCGCCCGCGCCAAGGAAGCAGUACGACCCUUACUCAAGCACCUACAACCCCGGGUGGAGAGAUCAUCCCAACCUCAGUUAUGGAGAAAAUAGGCAGCCCAACAUUACACCGAACAGGCAGUCUAACUUUGUGCCAAAUAGGCCACCAGGGUACCAGCAGCAAUAUCAACCCCGACCACCUCCGUCCCCAAGCUCUGGCCCAUCUUUGGAGGAGAUGAUGAAACAAAUGAUGACAACUAUGGCUCAAAAUCAGCAAAUGACGGAGGCAACCAUUAUGCAAAAUCAGCAAAGGACGGACUCCGAAAUGAAGGAUAUAAGGAAUCAGAUAAGUCAAAUGGUCACAACAAUCAACCGUUUGGAUUCCCAGAACCAAGGUAAAUUGCCAUUUCAGCCCGAAUUAAAUUCGAAGAACGUGAGCGCAAUGACCCUAAGGAGCGGGAAAGAAAUUCAGGGGUCUGAACCUGUGAUCCCUAAGGAUAAGGAUGAGGAAAAGAUCGAAAAUGAGCUUGAAAGGGAGGACAGCAAUGGUGCAGAUCUAAAGGUACUUCCUGACCCAAUAAUUACAGCUAAAACUAACCCGCCUCCUUUUCCUAGCAGGUUGGAAAAAUCGAAAAAAGAGGAUAAGGAGAAGGAGAUCUUGGAGGUUUUUCGCAAGGUUGAGAUAAAUAUCCCCCUCUUAGACGCAAUCAGACAAGUACCAAAAUAUGCCAAGUUCCUAAGGGACUUGUGUGUCAACCGAAGGCAGUUGAGGGAAGAUGAACGGGUUAUUGUUGGGGAGAAUGUGUCAGCAGUCCUGCAGAGAAAGCUCCCACCAAAGUGCGGGGACCCAGGUAUGUUUACUAUUCCCUGUAGGAUAGGUAAUACUGUGAUAGAAGGGCCAUGUUGGAUCUGGGAGCAUCAAUUAAUCUCAUACCUAAAUCUAUCUAUGCUUCUCUAAAAUUAGGUCCAUUAAAAGAAACUGGAAUAAUCAUUCAAUUAGUUGACCGAACUAAUGCAUAUCCUGAUGGGUUGGUUGAAGAUGUGUUGGUAAAAGUUAAUGAUUUGAUGUUUCCAGCUGAUUUUUAUGUACUUGAUAUGGAUGAUGAUCACUCCCCUGAUCCCUCACCUCUGUUAUUGGGUAGACCCUUUAUGAGCACAGCACAGACGAAAAUUGAUGUUAAUAAGGGUAUCUUGUUCAUGGAGUUUGAUGGGAAAAUUGUGCAUUUCAAUAUCUUUGAUACUAUGAAAUAUCCCUCAAACUCCAACUUUAGCACAGUUUUCUCUGUGAGUGCUAUUGACCCUGUAGUGCAGGAAGUGUUUGAAACUGAUGGCAGGGAUGAGUUGGAGGUGGCUUUGACCAAGCACCUCGAGUUGGAGACAACUCCUGAGGUGGAAUGGAGCGAGGACCUAAAAUGCACAAUAGGUGCAUUACACUCAUUGCAGUCCACCACGAAAAGGUAUGAAGUCUUACCUAUUUUUACUCCCGAACCUCACCAGAGGGUGUUGCCAUCUGUGGUGCAGGCACCUGUACUAGAAUUUAAACCUCUAUCAGAGCACCUGAAAUAUGCAUAUCUGGGUGAUAAUGAGACACUCCCGGUGAUUAUCUCAUCGACACUGUCAAAAAUCCAGGAGGAGAAACUGAUCCGGGUCCUUAGAGAGCAUAAAGAGGCGAUAGGUUGGACAAUCGCAGAUAUUAAGGGGAUCAGCUCGGCCAUCUGUAUGCACCGGAUUAGACUAGAAGAGGAUGCCAAACCUGUUAGGCAGGCUCAAAGGAGGCUCAACCCCCUAAUGAUGGAAGUUGUAAAGAAAGAAAUUUUAAAAUUGCUAGAUGUGGGGAUUAUUUUUGCAAUAUCAGAUAGCCCUUGGGUAAGCCCGAUCCAGGUAGUCCCAAAGAAGGCAGGGGUGACGGUGGAGGCAAACCAAACGGGUGAGCUCGUGCCAGUGCGCAAACCCACUGGAUGGAGGCAGUGUAUAGACUACCGUAGGCUAAACGCCGUCACCAAAAAGGACCAUUUCCCUCUCCCUUUCAUUGACCAAAUGGUUGAACGUUUAGCUUGUAGAGCUUAUUAUUGCUUUUUGGAUGGAUUUUCAGGAUACUUUCAGAUAGCAAUUGCUCCAGAGGAUCAAGAGAAGACAACCUUCACGUGCCCGUUCGGGACCUUUGCUUAUAGACGAAUGCCAUUUGCGUUGUGCAAUGCACCUGCAACAUUCCAGAGGUGUAUGGUAAGUAUUUUUUCUGAAUAUGUGGAGAAAAUUAUUGAAGUUUUCAUGGACGAUUUCAGUGUGUAUGGUGAUAGUUUUGAUACGUGUUUAGAUAAUCUGAAAUUGAUCCUGAUAAGGUGUAUAGAGACUAAUCUUGUGCUUAAUUGGGAAAAAUGUCAUUUUAUGGUUGAGCACGGGAUAGUCCUGGGUCAUAUUGUAUCGUCUAAGGGCAUAGAAGUUGACAAGGCUAAAAUAGAUAUUAUUUUUGCAUUACCUUACCUCGCGAGUGUGCGGAAGGUGCGUUCUUUUCUUGGACAUGCAGGUUUUUAUCGAAUGUUCAUCAAGGAUUUUUCAAAAAUUGGAGCCCCGUUAUUCCAACUCCUACAAAAGGAUGUGACCUUCGAAUUCGAUGAUAAGUGUGAGGAAGCCUUCAACAAGUUGAAAGAAUUGUUGACCUCACCCCCAAUUAUCCAGCCCCCUGAUUGGAGUCUACCAUUUGAGAUCAUGUGCGAUGCCAGUGAUCAUGCCGUAGGGGCUGUAUUGGGGCAAAGAGUAGGGAAGGCAGCUCACGUCAUCUACUAUGCAUCCCGAGCAUUGAAUGGAGCCCAAUUGAAUUACUCCACUACUGAAAAGAAGCUUCUUGCAGUUAUUUUUGCUUUAGAAAAAUUCAGGUCAUAUUUGCUAGGUGCUAAAGUAAUUGUAUUUUCUGACCAUGCAGCAUUAAGGUACCUAAUGACCAAGAAAGAUGCCAAACUGAGGCUCAUUAGGUGGAUAUUGCUACUGCAGGAAUUUGACCUGGAGAUACGGGAUAAAAGGGGCUCAGAGAAUUUAGUAGCUGACCAUCUGAGUCGUAUACCCGUUGGAGAGGAUAAUGAACCAUUGAGGGAUGCGUUCCCUGAAGAGCACUUAUUUUCUUUAAAUUCUCAGUUGCCUUUGUAUGCCGAUCUGGUCAAUUAUUUGGUAACUGGUAAUUUUCCUGCAGGUUGACCAAAAUCGAAGAGGGAUAAAUUGAAGAGCGACGCCAAGUAUUUUAUUUGGGACGACCCGUACCUAUGGAAGAGGUGUGCAGAUCAAGUGAUGCGGAGAUGUGUAAGUGAAAUGGAAUUUCAAUCGAUUUUAGCUUUUUGUCAUACUUUUGCCUGUGGAGGUCAUUUGGACCCAAGAGAACUGCUCAUAAGGUUUUAGAAAGUGGAUUUUAUUGGCCUUCAUUGUUUAAGGAUGCCUAUGUGUUUUGUAAGUCAUGUGAUCGCUGUCAAAGGGUAGGUAAUAUACCCCGUAGAGAUCAAAUGCCCCAAGUCCCGUUGAUUUUUAUUGAAAUUUUUGAUGUCUGGGGUAUAGAUUUCAUGGGGUCUUUUCCUACUUCAUUUGGUUUUUUAUAUAUUUUGCUGGCAGUUGAUUAUGUGUCUAAAUGGGUGGAGGCUAAGGCCACUCGAACUAAUGACUCGAAAGUAGUUGCAAAUUUUGUCAGGUCUAAUAUUUUUGUGCGAUUUGGAAUGCCUAGUGCUAUUGUCAGUGAUAGGGGAACGCACUUUUGCAACAAAAUCAUAGCUGCGUUGUUUCGCAAGUAUGGUGUACUCCAAUGGGUCUCAACGUCGUACCACCCUCAGACCAAUGGUCAAGCGGAGGUGUCGAAUCGAGAGAUCAAGUCUAUCUUGGAGAAAAUGGUGCGCCCCGAUAGGAAAGACUCGAGUCAAAGGCUGGAGGACGCACUUUGGGCCUAUCGGACGGCGUACAAGACUCCUAUAGGGAUGUCACCGUACAGGUUGGUAUUUGGGAAGCCGUGUCACCUUCCAGUGGAGUUUGAGCACAAAGCUUUUUGGGCGAUAAAGUAAUGCAACAUGAAUUUAGAGGAAGCCGGUGCCCAACGAAAGUUGGAUUUGCAAGAAUUAGAAGAGAUCCGGAACGAGGCUUACGAAAAUGCACUAAUUUAUAAGGAGAGAAGCCGGAUAUUUCAUGAUCAACAAAUUUCAAGAAAAUCCUUUGAAGUUGGUCAGAAGGUCCUACUAUACCAAUCCAGGCUCAAGCUAUUCCCAGGUAAACUACGUUCCCGUUGGAUUGGACCUUUUCUUGUUACUCAUGUUUUUCCAUAUGGUGCAGUUGAAAUCCGGAGCGCUAAAACAGACAACAAAUUUGUGGUGAAUGGACACCGUCUCAAGCAUUACUACGAAGGAUUUUCAGGUGAAAAGGUGGAGACAAUAAGUCUAGACGCGCCACCGUGUCCUAAUCAGUGACAUUUUACUAUGUCUAGCCAAAGACAUUAAAGACAGGCGCUCAUUGGGAGGCAACCCAAUUGUCCCUUUUAAUUAUUUGUUUGAUUUCGUGUGAUAGUUUAAAUAUGUUUUCCUUGAAUUCGACUGAUUUUGGGUUUCAGUUUUCGUUUUUGCUGAAUUGUAGGUGACCUUCAGUCUUGACGCGCCCGCGUGAUGACAUGCAGGAAGCUCACGAUCAGAAUCGUCUGAAAGCUCUCUUGCCCUUUUGACGCACCCGCGUGAUGACGUGCAGGAAGCUCACGAUCAGAAUCGUCUGAAAGCUCUCUUGCCCUCUUGACGUGCCCGCGUCACGUUCGCAGGAAAGGUACGGGUUUCAAAAAUUUAAAGAAAAAAUAAUAAUAAUAAUAAUUUAAAAUUUUGAAAUUAACUUCCGUAAAAAAAAAAAAGAAGAAAAAAAAUUUCACCGUGGCUUAAAUAGAGCCUAAAGAAGAGAAAAAAGAAACAAUUUCUUUCUUUUUUUUUUCUUUUUCUUCUUUCUUCCUUCUUUCUUUCUUUCUUCUUUCUCUUUUCCCUCUCUCUUCUCCCCUGUUUCUUCUCCCCUGUCCGUCGCCCGUGCGCCCCAUCGCUGCUCCACCUCCACACGCACGCCGACGCUGCGAGCCACCUGCGACCCCAGCGCCAGAUCUGGACCAUCGCCGAAACCCGCAGCCUCCGCCACCUCCACCUGAGCUCUGCCUCGCGCGCAACCCAGCUGCUCUGCGCCCGAAGCUCCACCGCCGCCACAGCCUCCCCACGCAGCUCCCUGCUCACGCGGCCACAAGCCCAUUGGAAACGGGACAGAGACUGCCGCCGAGCCACUUGCCCGCGUGACCGCCGCUGUUUUCCACCACCUCCCUCACGCGAGCUCUUUCCCUCUCAGCAGCAAUCCACUUCACAGCGCACCCGCUGCGCGCCGUCGCAGCCCUCGCAGCUCCAGCCCGUCUGGUCUAGUCCGCCGCGCGCACCAACCACCCACGGACGCUACCCCCAUCGCUAACCCACGCGGCCUCCACUCCAGUCUGUCCGCCGCCGCUGCUCGUGUCUCCCUUGCGCACCUCACGCCACCCGCUACUGUCCCCUUCCGUUUGGUUAGCAUCCACGGUGGAGGUAAUUGGAGGUUAUUUUCUCAAUUGUGUGACUUCCGCCUGUGAUACUGGUUGCAUUAUUUUUGCUGGGAAUUGCUACUUCUUUUGGGUUGGGUUCAACUGUGCAAUUAAUUGGCCAACUGGAGCCAUUUGUUGGGAUUUUGGGUGAGCUGAAAUACUGCAUUUGUGUGUUACAUUGGGAGGUUUAUUGGGUACAUUCUAACCGCUGUUUUCCAUUGUUACUCUCGCUGGGGUGUCUAUUAAAUUGCGAUUGAAGUAUUUUGGAUAUUGCAUGUUGAGAUUGAGGUUUCAUUGAAUUUGGCCUACGUUCUGCCCCCAGUGGUACUGGUGGGAAUAUUUUCAAUUGAAUUUGUUACCUCUAGUUGGUUGGCUACAUUAUUAUGGUCGAAUUCCUAAGUUGUCGUCAUUGCAUUUGUUGAUCUUGAUUUGGGGCAUUAACCGGCCAACUGGAGCCAUCUGUGCGUUUUUAGGCGCUAUUAUUGGUUUCUUCUCCCUUAACUUUGUCAACUAUAUUUGGUUGGGUAUUUGGUUGACUGCCACGGACUUGUAACUGUGUUUUGCUUCUAAUUGACCAGUUGCACAGCAGUUUUUUUUUAAUUGAUAGGGUGGUUAUACCUCUGGAUAUUUGUAUCCACUGGUUUGAGGACAUGGUGAGACCAAAAUCCUCCUCUAGGUCUAGGACCCCUAGAACCUCGCAAUCCCAACCCCAAGCCUCUACUCUAGUCAAUACCCCUAUAAAUCAACCUACUGCUCCCGGUGUCCGAACCUGGUUAGGUAGGGGUAGAGGUGCCCACGUGGCUUCCGCCACUCACUUGGGAGGGCAUUUGGAAUUCACUAGAGCCGCCGAUCAGCGACGCUAUGCUCAAGCUUGUGAGCGGCGUAUCAUUCCGUGCAAAUGCGCGGACCACAUUACUAUGGUUUUUCUGGGGAUCCAAGGGGAGGUUGAGCGCAUGUACACCGCCAUUGGAUGGCGCCCCUAUCUGGAUAUUUUCCAGCCAGCCUUUGUCGAGUUGACUAGAGAGUUUUACACCACUUUUAAGUUUGAAUUACCGACUAGGUAUACUGUUGCGACUCCCGAUAUCAUUCACUUCCGUCUCAUGGGCCAGGAAUUCAAUUUCUCUAUCACCCAGUUCAAUCUGGCUUUCGGUUUCAUCACUCGGGAGUAUGCAGAGACUAGGGAAUACGGUGAGAGUGCCUGCGAUUUUGUGGAACCUUUCCUUACCGCCUACCGUGAGGUGUGGGAGGACAUGUCUGUGGACAUGCAGCGUUACGAUCCCUCUCGGUCUCGGAGCUCCUUUCUAGAGGACCCGAGUGCUCGGUAUGUUCAGCGGCUUUUAGCAUAUAGCUACUCGGGCAGAAAGAACAGCUUCGGUAUUAUCUCUCGGCCGGAGCUCUUCUUCCUUUGGUGUAUGAAGAAUGGGUUCAAGGUCAAUUUGGGUUGUUGGUUGGCGGCACAGUUCAAGACCGUCAUGGCAAAGAAGAACAAGCCGUUGAUUCUUGGGUCGUAUAUCACGUACUUGGCGGUCCAGCUAGGCGUUCUGAAUCUACAGGAUCACGAUUUGCACUUGGCCUGCGACAUGGAGUAUCUCACUGCUGACCGGCUAGAGAAGAUGGGGGUUCUGGAGCUUGUCGAUGGCCACUACCGAUUUGUGCCCCCGGGACCGCCCCGCGCCCCGCCUCGCUCUUCCUCCACCCAUUCGGCCCCAGUUGGCGGUGAUCCUGGCCCGUCGACAUCCGCUCAGCUCCCUCCACCAGCAGGGGCUGAAGAUUGGCACCAAAUCAGGACGCAGAUUCAGAAUUUGGACGCCCGGAUGAUUAGCAUCGAGAGCAACGUGGCGGCUAUAUCACAGAAUCUGGCGGCAUUCCUGCAGCACUCGGGUUUCCCGCCCCCAAUCCCACCUCACCCUCCACUAUGACCCGGUUUCAGGGAAGUUUGGUUACUUUCUCCCUCACUUUUGUUGUUUUUUGACACAUUGAGGACAAUGUGUCCUAUAGGUGUGGGGGGGUCUAUAGUCUUUCUAGUUUUUAGUAGUUGUUAGUUUUUAGUUUUUUAGUAGUUUUAGUUUUAUUUCUAGUUGCGUAUUUUCUUUCUUUUCUUAGUGCUUAUUCCCCAUGUGAAAAGAAAAAGAAAACAAAAAAAAAGAGAAAAAAAUGUUGGUUUAUUGACUCUAACUCUACUUUUGCCAAGUUUUUUUUAAAUAAAAAUGUAUCGGGUUAAUGUGGUUGGAUCCAGAAUAUCUCCCUGGUGAAUAUCGGAUUGCUUGGCUCUUUUGAUUUCUGUGUUAAUUUCUCUAGGCAUAGGGAAUGACUGUUGGCAUUUUAAUGUGAACUGGUCCAAUAUUGACUCCAGUUCUCUAUGUUUGGCAAUAAUGAGGCGAGCUGUUCCUAUUUUUGGUUCUUAGUGUUGUUAUUAUGUGUUUUUGGCUUUGUUUGGCUGUGAAUAAUCUGGACUGUACUCCGCUAUGAGUUACUACUGAGUAACCGAGGAUCGGCACCUAAAAGUGUCGAUUCUCGCGUCAAAAGGUGGUACUUUAUAUGAGUACGUGGUCGUAUAGCAGUAGGAGCUGAGUAACCGGGCUCCUUCAUCUAAAAAUGUUGGAGUUCGCGUCAAAAGGCCCCGACGGCUAACGACUAAGUCUUUUUGUGUUAAUUAUUAUUGCUUUGAAAAACAAAAAAAAAAAAGAACGAAAAAAGAGAGAAUAAAUAAUAGGAAGGCUUGCCGGUUUAUGGACUUAAUAUGGAGACUUGUGUGAAUAUUUGGACCAUUAGCUAAUAAAUGUUGUGCGCCAUUCCCUUUUCUUAGAGUAGUUAACCUGGAAAUUGAAGGAAUUUGCAGUUUAGGGGCUAACCGGGGGGGAGGCUUCUUGGAUUUUAAUCACCAAUGCUCGAUAUAUGUUUUUCUCUUGAAGAUCUUGGCAAUAUAGGAGAUUGGACAAUGGCCAUCAUCGAAUUUUGGUGUUCGUUUACUAUUCUUAUGCUUGAGGACAAGCAUGGUUUAGGUGUAGGGGGAAUUGAUAGGGUGUAAUUUUACUAUUUAUUUUAUUAUUAAUUUCUCCUAUCACCUGACCUGAUGUGGAUUAAUUGCUGGAUUCUGCUCACUUUUAGUACUUUGUAUUUAUUUCAGGGAGUAGAACGGAAAUUUGAUAACAGGUGCUAAUUUGGCAGAAAAAAGUCCAGAUGAUAGAGCUUGCCCCAAGGGCAUUUUUGGAAAGGAGAACUUGUGCCCAUCUUGGUAAUUUGGGAGAAAAGGGAAACAGACAAAAUGGGUCUAACAUGGAUUGGAAGCGGCCGCACAGUAGCAGGGAAGAGGGCAGACGUAAAAGCAAUUGCAGGGGGGAAAAGGAGUUUUUUUAGUUUUUAGCUUAGCAUCUGAUUUUCCCUGGGAGACUUUUGUUAAAGAUUUCCUUUUGGCUGAUAUUACGCAUGGCAGAUGGCUUUUAACUUAUUCCUCCAUCUUUGACUUUUCUUCUUUAGCUUGUAGUAGUGGAUUGCUACUUACGAAUGUCAGCACUUAGCCAUUCGUGGCUUUUGAUCUUUUCUUCCUUAGAAAUUCUGAGUAGCCUCUUUUCCUUUGUGCGCCAGACGAAGUGAAAACUAUAAACUUUUGUAGUGUUUCUAUUCAUUCAAUAUAUUGAGACGAGUUGGAUUCUACCAAAUUUCAAUGGACAUGGCCGCUGGUUUCUCUUCAAUUUUAUAUGGGCUUUGUUCAUCGAACAUGAACUAAUUUCACCACUCUAGUCAAGGAACAACGAAGACUCUGGUUCGCCUAAAAAUUGUGAGAUCGUUUUAAUUUAAUCUUUUCCUUUUAUUUAUUGGUAUCCGCACAUUUCUUGAUUGCUAUGCUUAUGGUUAUUUAAUUAAUUGAUUGUCUUGGAUCCAGAUAAUUAAUUGAUCUGAUAGCCUAUUGUCAAUUAGGGCAUUUAAAUCCGUAAUUGUUUAAUUGUCCUGAAAUAGUGACAACUGGCACGAUUAGAUUCGUGCCAGGGGGGAUAUGCGGGCUAAUCUAAAAUAACCCUGGUAGUGUGUUAUUUGGUUAGAAUAGGGCUCCUCUAAUAUGUAAGGCAAUUGGGGAAUUAAAUUCUACGGGCGUACCUAGAAUUAUUUCUUAAUUAGAGUAGUGAUUAACGGGCGUACCUUGAUCACCGACACAGUAAGGAGGGGUUGACUGCCAUCGCUUGUUUGGCAGUUAUAACAUAUUUAUCAGUAAAUAAUUGGGAUUGCCUUGCAUCAAUGAUCAAUUAGAUGAACUAUUGCUGAAGUUACUUCUUGGCUAGAUCUUUAGUUAAUAUUACCUUGAUUUUGGUGAAUUGCCAUUUGAUUUUUAGUUGCCUACUUUAUUUUAUUUUUAAUUGUUUCCUUGCUUUAAUUGAGUUAGGCCUUUAAUUAUUGUUAUUCUAAGUUUAGUGAAUUGUGGUUUAAUUCCUAAUUAGUUAUUUAUUUUUACUUUCUUAUUUGAAUUUAUUUGCUUGUUAUCAUUCCUACGAAAUCACCCCCCUGUGUUACUUUGGAUUUCUUAAGAAACAAAUAUACCCAGUCCCUGUGGAUACGACCCUACUUGCCCUGUCCACGAAUUCAUAAUUAUUUGUGAAAAGAAAUAACCAUUCCACUCGGGUAUAUCGGAUCAAGCAAACUCUUCGGGAACAGGGUGAAUCAAGUAACCCAUUGCACACCUAAAAUCCCUGCUCCAGUACUUGGAAUUGGGUUUUGGUCAUUUUAACUGGCAAUUAAGUUUAAUUUUAUUAUUGCACAGGCUGACGACCCUGUCAUUGUAUUUGUACCAAAAGUGAAAACUUAACUAUUUUAGUUGUAUUUAUUUCAUCAUGUUGGAUUGUAUUCAAAUAAUUUUUGUUUGAUUGUUUUUAUAAGUUUCAAUUGUAAAAUUAAAAUGAAUAAUAACUUGAUGAUGUGUUGAUAUUUUAGUACUUGAUUAUUUAUUAAAAUUUAAUUAUAAUAAAAUUUUAUUAACUCAACGAGAAAAAUUUUAUUAAUCCCGUGGGGGCACCCGCGGGGAAAGCGGGGCGGGGCGAGGGGAGUGGGAGGCGGAGGACGGGGCGGGGGCGGGGGAUGGGGGAGGGGUCCCCCGCCCCAACCCCGCCAUCCCCCGUCCCGUUGUCAUCCCUAGUAAUAGACUGGCAAGCAUUGUGGUGGUCAUUGAGCAACUUAUAGGAGAAAUAGUCCUAUAAGCUGUUCAAUGACCAAUCACAACUUGCUAAUUGGAUGACUAAUAUAGCUCUAGCUGUAAUGUUUUAAUUAAAUUACAUCACUAACGUUGGGAUGACUUUUUAACCAAAAAAAAAAAGCCUUAGUUCAAGCUUUUCCCUUUAUUGUGCAUUUUUUAAAGCAUUUGAAAGGCACUGCAAAUCUGUCAUUUUGGACAUUUUAUUAUUGACUAACAAUGAAAGCCGUGGACGUCUACCCAUAACCAACACAAGAUUAAAUUAAUAUUAGAAAAAAUAAUUGAGUAAUUGGAAAAAAAAAAAAAAGAAGAGUCUAAUUUUCAUUGAAACCCACCGACAAACUAUACGUGUCCAUGGCUUUUGAAUAGUGCAUUCAACGUUUAAUUGUAUGGUCCAGUUCAUUGCAGAUUACAUGGAGUAAAGAUUGCGCUCUUUCCUUUUCACCCCUUUUGGAAUCGAUACUGUGGAGAAUUGGGUUUUUCCCUCCUUUUUUUCUUUUCUUUCCUUCUGUGGUUUGCAAAACAUACGUAAAAAUAUGAAAUCCGAAGCAUUCUUUAAUUGGUAUUAAGUAUUGUUGUUGAAAUUAAAAAGAAAAAAGAAAGAACAACAAAAUUCCCAAUCUGGGUUGAUUGUUGAGCUCUAGAUUGGUUGCAUCGUGCUUCCAUAGAAGCAAGAUUUGUAAAAUCGGAAUCCUACAUAGGAUCGAUUUUAGUUUCACAGGAUCGGAUUGUAAAAUCGUAAGAUCCUACCAAAAGCUCUCAAUUGCAAUUAAAGGUUGCAAUUCUUUAAUAAAUUACAAAUAUACCACAAAUAUUUUCAUUUACUUGCAAAAUGGAGCUUCGUAUUUCACAAAUUUACAAAAAAAUUGUAGGAUCGUACGAUCCUACCGAUCCUACGAUCCUACACGAUCCUACCGAUCCUGCUACGAUUCUAUGCGAUCCUACAAAGAUUAAUAUGAUUUGCGACUCUGCAUACGAUCCGGAUCGAUUUUGGUUAUCCGGAUCGUAGGAUCGUAUGAUCCUACGAUCCGGAUCGCGAUUUUGACAACUAUGCAUAGAAGCUCUCUUAGUGUGAUACACUGCUUUCAAUCAGUUUAACACGGGAAAAAAAAAAAGAGAUGAAAAGCAAAUUUGGUGGAGAUAAUUUCAGAAACCUCCCCUGAAGAUUUUGACUAUUCUACUGGUUUCCCUUCAGAUUUUAAAAAUUACACUAAUCUUCCUUGAAGUUAAUUAUCUUGUAACAUUUAAAUUCAAUCAAUAAUUUAAAAAAUGAUAUUAUGAGAGAGAAAAUAAUAUGAUUUUAUCAUUGCCCCCCAUCUUACUACAUUAUUUAAUUAAUUUAAUAGCAACCCACACAUUAAAGAAAAAUAUUAAAAUUUGUUGUUUAUCAUUAAAGAUCAAAUCGCUUAUAACAUCAAAUAAUAGUAUAUUAUUUAUAUUUUUCACUUAAUAUAAUAUCCAAAUUACUCUUUUCAAUUACAUACCCAUUGUUAGAGAAUCAACAACAAAUAACCAAAAAAUUUGCAACCAAAAUAUUACAAAAAAAAUAAACUUUAACAUCAUAAAUAUUCUUAUCAACAUAUUAAAGUUAGUUACUGAAAUUUUUAUGCUGUUAAACUUCACUCUUUUUGAAUACAGAUUUUUUUGAUUAUUUGUUAUUAAUUAUGUUUGAUGAUGGGUUUAUAAUUGAAAAGAACAAUUUGAAACUUACAUUAAGUAAAAUAUAUAGAGUGAUAUACUAUUUUUUAUAACAUAUGUGAUUCAAUCCUUCUUGAUAGGAUUGGUAAUAGAGGUAGAGGGGGGAGUCGGCUGCAUCCGGUCUUCUUUUCAUAGAUAGUACAAUAUUGCGAAAUCAAUCGCAUUCACACAAUAAUAUUUCGAAGUCAAUGCAUGGCUAAGUUGCAUAAAAGUACGAACACUUGUUAUUAUAUAGCUUAAGAUUCAAAACUUUCGAGCAUAACCCUCCACCCAACACAAUUGAAUAAUGAAUAUUCACGAUUGUCAAAUCUGUCAAAGCACAGUUUGAGGACAACCCAUUCCAACCUGCAAAAGAUUUUUUACUUUUCUAAAGUUGUUGAGAGCUGUAAAAAGACUUACCAUGCUUGCAUCCUCCGAGCCUUGGGAGUUAAAAAUGAAGGCACUGAGUGCUAUAAAAAGGGGAAUAGAGGCUGCCUAGAAGCAUAUCAGCCUAAAACAAGAAUUUGUAGUUAAGAUGGGAAGCAAAGCAAAAGCAAUGGGGUCUGGGCUGACUCCUCUUCUUGCCACUGUUUUAGUGGUGUUUGUUGCUCUUGGCUUGCCCUCACAAACUGCAGCUGAUGAUCACUACAAGUAUUCAUCUCCUCCUCCUCCUUACCACUAUCCCUCACCACCACCACCAGUGCAUAUACCUCCACCUCAUCCUGUUUACAAGUACAAAUCUCCACCACCCCCACCACCACACCCAGUUUACAAGUAUAAGUCACCACCACCACCUCCUCAUCCGGUAUACAAGUAUAAGUCUCCUCCGCCACCACCACACCCAGUUUACAAGUACAAGUCACCACCACCACCUCCUCAUCCGGUACCACACCCAGUUUACAAGUAUAAGUCACCUCCACCACCUCCUCAUCCGGUACCCACAGUUUACAAGUAUAAGUCACCACCACCACCUCCUCAUCCGGUAUACAAGUAUAAGUCUCCUCCGCCACCACCACACCCAGUUUACAAGUAUAAGUCACCACCACCACCUCCUCAUCCGGUGCCACACCCAGUUUACCACUACAAGUCACCACCACCACCUCCUCAUCCGGUACCACACCCAGUUUACCACUACAAGUCACCACCACCUCCUCACCCAGUUUACAAAUACGAGUCUCCACCACCACCAGUUUAUAAGUACAAGUCACCACCACCUCCUCCACCAGUUUACAAGUAUAAAUCUCCUCCACCACCACCACCAGUUUACCACUACAAGUCUCCACCACCUCCUCCCCCAGUUUACAAAUACAAGUCUCCACCACCUCCUCACCACUACUAAGCAAUUGCUUCUGAGGUAAUAACACUUGUUCAAUAUACCCACUUCUGCAUGAUAAAGCAUAUCUCUAUCAACACAAACUGUCAUGUCUAUCAUGCUAAGUGCCUUCACUUCAUCCACCAAAAUGACUGCUAGAAAAUUUUUUUUAUGUUACCAAAGAAAGGCAUCAUUUUUUCCCUCUGUUAUCAAGAACUUGUACAGUAUAUAGAUUAAAGAGUAUUUUUUUAACUAGCUUAUCAACUGAGAAAUGCAUAUAGCUGAUAGCCAGCUGAAUAUUUGCAGGCAAAGGAGAAGGAAACCAUGUUUGAGACCUUCUUGAAGAUGUAGAAGCAUAAGAAUAAAAGCCCAAUGUGAAGAUGAUGAUUUCAAGUUUUUCUACGUUACCAUUUCUUUAUCUAAAUUGGUUGUAGCGCCCAAGUUCCUUUGUUUAUGGGAUUUGUAUCGUUUUACGUACCAUGCAGUACAUGUCAUGUUUGUAAGGUUUUCUAUCCUGCCGGCAAACCGCAGGUUCCAUGUGAUAAAUGAAUACUAUUUAUGUUACGACACUUUUCUCUGUUUCUCUUAUAUUUUGUCUUUAAUAUUCUUAAUCAUAUUUUUAACAAAAAUAUUCAAACACUUAGGCAAUCUGGUCUAAUGCUAAUUGUAUGUUUUACUUUUCUUUUUCACCUGCUCCCCUUUUCAACUCAAAAGGAUGCAAUAGUUUGUGAUCACUGUUUAAGACGGAAGCAUGAUACUAAUGAAUAUCUCAUUGAAACUCAAGGAAACUAACAUUGCGAAAAGUGUAAAUCUUGAUUUGAUGCAACUAUUUAUUCGUGGAAUCUAUAGUUACAAAACUCAAAUUCUGACUGCGCCAUUGAUAAAUUAUUAAUGACGCUAUCAUCAUUAUUUAUCCCUAACUAGUUUCGACUACAACUGAACCCAAUAUUUUCCCCAUGAUAAAAGUUUUUGACUAUUUUACUGGCCUCUCUUCAAAUUUUAAAAAUUACACUAAUCUUCAUUGAGAUUAAUUAUCUUGUAACAUUUAAGUCCAAUUAAUAAUUAAAAAAUGAUAUUAUGAGAGAGAAAAUAAUAUAAUUUUAUCAUUGCCCCCCAUCUUGCUAUAUUAUUUAAUUAAUUUAAUAGCAACCCACACAUUAAAGAAAAAUACUAAAAUUUGCUGCUUUUCAUUAAAGAUCAAAUUGCAUAUGCCAUAAAACAUAGUAUAUCAUUCUAUAUGUUUCACUUAAUGUAAGAUCCCAAUUGUUCUUUUCAAUUACAAACCCAUUGUCAAACAUGAUCAAUAACAAAUAAUCAAAAAAUUUGCAACCAAAAUAUUACAAAAAAAAACUUUAACAUCAUAAAUAUUCUUACCACCUCUAGUGCAUUCACCCUCAUAAAAUAAUUCAAGACCCUACUGUCAUAAAAUGACUGAUCAACUCCUGUAAACCUAAUUUGACAACAUUUAAAUGGAGAACUUUAGCUAAAAGAAUUAUGGUCAAGCUAAAGAAAAAACCAGUUAUUUUCCAACAUAUGCAACCAUUGAUCAGGGGAAAAAAAAAAGCAAAAAGACAUCUUCAAUCAUUUAAUAGCUUACAGGGCAAAUUAACCCUUGAGUGAAAACUGGUUGCUCUAGAAUUAAAAUUUUACCUUAGUUACCCAGGCAACUUUUUUGUUGCCUUUUCUUUUUCUUUUUUGGGUAUAUAGCUCCAGUUUUGCCCCCUCUGUCAAGCUUAUAUAAUUAUUAAGAUAAUAAAAGUGCCUUUAAUAGUAUUAAUAUAUCCAUUGACUUGAGCUGUCAUCGAUCGGUUUGGGCUACUUCGAUUCCAUGAGAACAAAUGGUAAUAAAAGUACUCAGAAAAUGGGGAGUCAUGAAACCCUUUUGUUCUAUUCAUUGCUAAGAUGCUUUUCUCUAUAAAGAGACUUCCUAACGAAAAUACUUUGUAGAUUUCUUUACUCCAAGUGGUGCAUGGAAAAUUAAUAUUUUCAAUUAUCAAAUAAAAUUCCCUUUUUUCGGCGUAGAUUUCAUCCAUCCAGCUGUUAACACAUUCUAUAAAUCCGAAUUGACUAAUCUUUUCGUUUCCAUUUUCCAACUUGCGAAUACGGCAUAUAGUGUCUGCUAAACACUAUAUAUUCUCUGCCAAAUAUGAAUACAUAUCACUUUUCUGAGCAAGUGCAGAGUCAUUAUCAUUUUUAUUCCCACCUAACAAAUUAGGGAUAAAAAAGUUAAUAAUCUUUACAUGCUAUCAGGUCACAAGUUAAUAAUCUUUUAAAGAACAUGUUAAAUUAAUUUAUUGGUAUGAAUAGUAGUCAAAGAAGUAUGUUAAAGUUAGUAAUCUUUAAAAUAAUAUGUUAAAAUCAUUCGUACAAAUUAGUCAGAGAAGUAGCAUAAACACCGCGAUGCAAUUAAUACUUUCAAUCUCAAGGUCUCUAUUAUGGAAAUUUGCAUCGGUCAAUAUACACUUGGCAUAAUAUAAUCUCCCAACUCAUUUCUUUACAAAUGCACCUUUAAUCACCACCAAAAGGUGUGGACAUGAUCUUUACCCUAGAAAACUAUUCACCGACAGGCAAAUUGACGUCAGAAAUACUGAGGAAUUCUAGUUUCCUUCGGGUUCAUGCCAUGUUGUAUCCUUCAACUGUAACUCGAUUUCUAAGCUGUAAUUUGUGACAUAAUAGUCCUUAAACUAUGAAACCCUUCUUACUUAAUUACAAUGGUUAAUACAAUGCCCGUGACUAGACAAGUAUGAAGCAACCAUAACAGAAAAAAAAUCCAAAAUUAGAGAAAAGAAAGAAGUUUCGCGACCACCACCAGUUUACAAGUCACCUCCACCACCUCCUCCAGUUUACAAGUCACCUCCACCACCUUACCAUUAUUCCUCACCACCACCUCCAGUGCAUUCACCCCCACCACCACCAGUUUACAAGUCUCCGCCACCACCUUACCAUUAUUCCUCACCACCACCUCCUGUGCAUGCACCUCCACCACCAAUUUACAAGUCACCUCCUCCAGUUUACAAGUCUCCACCACCACCUUACGAUUAUUCCUCACCACCACCUCCAGUGCAUUCACCCCCACCACCACCAAUUUAUAAGUCUCCCCCACCGCCUCCCCCAGUAUAUAAGUCACCACCACCACCUCCUCCAGUAUACAAAUCACCUCCACCACCUCCUCCAGUUGACAAAUCUCCACCACCACCAAUUUAUAAAUACAAGUCUCCUCCACUACCUCCUCCAGUGUACAAGUCAUCACCACCACCUGCUUACAAGUCUCCACCUCCUCCAGUUUACAGUUCCCCACCACCACCAAUCUACAAGUCUCCACCUCCACCCUACCAUUACUACUACAAUUCUCCUCCUCCUCCUCGUCACUACUAAGCAAUUGUAUCCAAGUUUUUGAGGUAAUAACGCUUAACCAAUAAAUUAACUUUCGCAUGAUAAACCUUAUCUCUAUCAAGACAAACUGCCAUGUGUAUCAUGCCAAAUACGUACACCUAGAUCCAUGAAAAUGAAUGGUAGAAAGUUUUCUUAAGAACCAAGAACAGCAUUAGUAUUCCCUCUGCUUCCAAAAACUUGUGUAUUAAAUAGAUUAAUGAAUUGUUUAACAUGCUCAUCUACUUGAAAAUGCACAAUACCCAUAACCCACUGAAAUUUUUGCAGGAAAAGGGAAAGAGAAUCUGUGUUUGAGAGCUUCAUGAAGAUGUUGAAGAAUAAGAAUAAAAGCCCAAUGCAAGGAUGUUUUCAAGUUUUUCUAUGUUUCCACUUUAAUUUGUAAAUUGAAUUUUGCGACUCAAUUAAUUCCCUGUUUGUGAGGUACGUAUUGUUUUACGUACCAUGCCGUACAUUUUUUUUUUCCAACAAACGGUAUCAUGUUAUAGAUAUUAACACUUGACCUUACAAGGAUUAGUUACAAAAAGGGGAUACUACCCUCAACUCUGUCCUAGCUAAAUCAGUCAGCCAUAUUGGGAAAUUAGUUUCCCAUUCAAUAUCAUGUACAAGCUUCACAGCAUAUUGUGCUAAUUGAUGGCUGAUGUGAUUUUCAGUUCUAGGUAUAAACACAAAAGAACAUUUUUCAAAAGCUAGACUAAGUUCCUGCACAUCUUCUAAGAUAGUUGCAGUCGUGUAGUCAUACUCCUUGCGUUUAGUAAUCUGCUCUACCACUGAUUUGCAGUCUGUAUGGACUAUAAUUUGUGUCCAACCUGCUUGGGUAGCCAUCAGCAGAGCAUUUCUCACAGCCCGAGCUUCCACUUCACUUGCCGAUCCCUUUCCCUGUGUGACAAUUCCUUUUGCUUUCAAAAGCUGUCCUUUCCAAUUUCUUGCUAUAAUCCCUUGUCCGGUCCUGACUCGUUUAGCUGAUAUCGCUGCAUCGGUAUACAGCCUUAUCUCUUCCUUCCUUGGCCGCACUCUCCUGGUAGGUAAGGCAUCAUUCAGCUUCCCUGCGAUCUCCUUCUGGUCUGUACUCCCUACCUGUUCAAACUCAAGCCAUUCCUCCUGUGCUUUCCUUACUAUUUUUACUGGAUCCUGGUUGGCUUGUUCAAAAAAUUUUUUGUUCCUGGCUUUCCAAAUUUGCCAAAGGAUAUUGAUAGUAAGACUAACUCUCUCCUGACCUUGGUUCAGUGCCAGCGAUUGUGUGACUUGUUCCCACCAUAACCAAAAGUUAUAUUGCAUACCCAGUAAUCCAUCCCACCUGACCGGUGCUAGCUUCCACGUUUCCACAGCCUUUUCACAGAAGAAAAACAAAUGCUCAAUAGUUUCCAUAUCUUCACCACAGCAACCACAUCUGCCUUCCCCUCUAUGUAGCCUUUUCGACAUCUGUUCAUUGACUGGCAGACAAUUUUGUAAGCACUUCCACAUGAAGUGUUUUAGUUUGGCCUUCACCUUCAAAUGCCAUAGCUGCUUCCACACAUUUCGUUUUCGUAUCUCCCAACUUGUUUCUGCCUCUUGGCCUGUCCUUGUACCUGCUUUUCCUUCCCGUUGCCUUGCUAAAGCAUAACCAGAUUUCACGCUAUAAAUUCCAGCUUUGGAAUGCCCCCAUACCAACCUAUCCUUUCUUCUUCCUAUACUUGUUGGAAUUCCCUUUAUGUGCUCUGCAUCUUUUGCACAAAACCACUUGAGAAGCAAAUCAUUUUUCCAUUUCCCUUCCUCUAUCAGCUCACUUACCCAUUCCAACUUGCAUCCCACAGGUUGUGUGGUUGAUGCAAAGCCGGUAUCUGAACCAACUAUCCAUCUGUCCCGCCACAUGUUGACUGACUUGCCAUCUCCAAUUCUUUUCCAAAGACCAUCAUACAGAAAGGAGGCUGCACUAUGAAUACUCUUCCAACACCAUGAGGCUGAAGAGACUGGCUUCUUGUCCAUCCAUUUUUCAUCACUCAUAUACUUCGCCUUCAUUACCUUACUUACUAACAAAUUUGGAGCCAUUAAGAAUCUCCAAAUUUGUUUUGCCAGUAAUGCUGUGUUGAAGGCCUCCAAAUCUCUAAAGCCUAAACCUCCUCUUCCCUUAACUUCUAAGAGCUUCUUCCAGCUUGCCCAAUGUACACAGGUACCCUUUUCUCCCUUCCCCCACCAGAAACUCGCUAUUUUACCUGUGAUUUGUCUACACAAACCCCUUGGAAGUCUAAAGCAAGCCAUCACAUAUGUUGGCAUAGCCAUAAUCACUGAUUUGACCAGAAUUUCUUUCCCUCCUUGGCUCAACAGUUUUUGUUUCCAACCUUGCAACUUGUUACUAAUUUUGUUCUGGACAAAUGCAAAGACCUGUGUCUUUGAUCUUCCAAUUGCCAUUGGGAGUCCUAGGUAGGUUCCAUUCCUUGCCUCUUUAAUGUUAUCUAAUACCUCCCUCACUCCAUUCUUCCUUUGAUCAGUGGUAUUUUUGCUAUAGAAGAUAGCUGACUUUUCAAAAUUCACCACCUGUCCGGAUGCUUGACCAUAUCUUUCCAAUAUGCUUUUGACCUUCCUCGCCUCCUGCUUGGUUGCUUGGCAGCAUAGUAGAGAAUCAUCUGCAAAAAAUAGGUGAGAAACCAUCGGACUGUCCUUGCAUAUUUUGAUCCCUGUAAUUUCCUUGUUCAUCAUAGCUUUAUGGAUCAAACAUGAAAGACCUUCAGCGCAUAUAAUAAACAAGUACGGGGAUAGGGGGUCUCCUUGUCUAAGCCCUCUACUCGGUUGAACACAGCCUACCUUUUGCCCAUUUAAGUUGAAGGAGUAAGUCACAGUAGAUAGGCAAGACAUGAUCCAUUUAACAAAAAUUGGACAAAACCCCAUUUUCAUCAUAACUCUCCCCACAUAUUUCCAUUCGACUCUAUCGUAAGCUUUGGACAUGUCCAGUUUAAGAGCCAUAAAUCCUACCCUUCCCUUUCUCCUAUUUUUCAAAAAAUGCAGGAUUUCAUGUGCAACUACUACAUUAUCAAGAAUUUGACGGCCUGGGAUAAAAGCGGAUUGAGAGGGACUAAUACAAUGAUGCAAGACACCUUUCAAUCUAUUAGCUAUGAUUUUAGAAAUGAUUUUAUACAGGACAUUGCACAAGCUAAUAGGUCUAAAAUGCACCACAGAUUCAGGAGUAUCAACUUUAGGAAUCAACGAAAUAAUAGUAUCAUUCACAGCUUUGAGCAAAUGCCCAGUAUGAAAGAAACUCUUAAUAGCUGCUACCACAUCAUCCUUGAUAAUAUCCCAAUAGUGUUGAAAAAAUAGAGGAGACAUACCAUCCGUUCCUGGUGCUUUAUUAGGGUGCAUCGAGAACAAAGCUUUCCUGAUCUCACUUUCCUCCACUUGUCGUAUCAGUUGUCCAUUCAUAUGACUCGAAAUAGUGCUUGGAAUUUCAGCUAGAAUGUCCUCAAAGCAGUCCGGGUUAGUAGUGGUAAAAAGGUCUUUAUAGUACUCACAAAGUUCCUCCUCAAUCUCAUGUUCCUCCUUGCACCAUGUCCCAUCUUUUUUCUGCAAUAUAGUGAUCUUAUUUCUCCUCCUCUUUGCCAUGACCGAAGAAUGGAAAAAAGCUGUAUUCUUGUCCCCUUCUUUGAGCCACUUGUUCCUGGAUUUUUGACUCCAAAACAUCUCUUCCUCUGCAUAAGCUUUAUUCAAUUGUGCUUUUAGUUCAGCCACUUGUACUCUUUUCCCUUCAUCCUUUCUUGCUUUCACUUCAGCCAAUUUCUCCUUUAACACUUUAAUUCUAACCUUUGAGUUUCCCUGCACCUUUUUCCUCCAAUCCAGAAUAGCCAUGCGACAUUCCUUUAUUUUUGUAGCCACUCUAAACAUCCUGGACCCUGACUUCACCUUUGUCCAUGCUCCUUGAAUCACCCUUUUUGCUUCUGGAUUUAGCGUCCAUCGUUGAUCAAAGUAAAAUCUCCGUUUUCUCCUUGUGUUUUCCGGGUUUGUAUCCACAAGAAGCAUUAGAUGAUCAGAGGCUUCAGUAUCUAAAUGAGUACACUGUGCCUUUUCAAAUCUUUGCAGCCAUUCGGUGCUGCAUAAACAUCUAUCCAACCUCUCUUUCACUUCCCCAUCCCCCUCCCAACUAUUGCACCAAAUCCACGGGACCCCUUGAUAACCUAAGUCAACCAGGUUAUUGUCUUUGAUAAACCUGUUGAACUCCCUAAAACAUCUUUCAGCUCUAUCCCUUCCUCCCCACUUCUCCUCACUAGACCUCAAAUCAUUAAAAUCUCCUACAAUGAUCCAGCCAUCCCCCCAGUCCCUCAUCCUGUCCUCUAAAUAUUUCCAUUGUGCUUUUCUAAUGUUACUAUCUGUGCUUGCAUAAACACACACUAGCCCCCAGUAUCCUUUAGUAUCCUUGUCCUCAACUCUAGCACUAAUACACCAAUCAGUACUUACAAUCUGGUCUAAAAUCACCUCAUUGUUCCAGAAUAAUGCUAGACCGCCUGCUUUACCUAUUGAAUUCACAAAAAAGCUAUUGUCAUACUGAAUCUUCCUUUGAACCUUGCCCAUAAACCCUUCCUGAUUCUUAGUUUCACAAAGGAACACCACCUUAGGAGAGUGGAAGUUAGUCACUUCCUUUAGUUGGGGACUUGUCAAGGGGCCUCCUACACCUCGACAAUUCCACACCACAACCUUCAUUUACACUUUGGAGGCUUUCCGGGGCUAGCCUCCAUUUCCCCUAUUGUACUAACAUUUAUUAGAUCCAGUUUCAUAACCUUUACCUUCGGUACAUUAUCAUCAUCCUCCUCUAUCGGUUGUGUUCCCUGAAACAUACCAUCAGCCUUCCUUUUAGCACACGAAACCUGCGUUACUUGUCCAUUUGUAUCUGCCUUUAAGGAUGUUUUAGCCGGCCUCCCUCUUCUUUUAAAACUGCUUCUUUUUUCAGCUUUGUUAUCUUCUUCCCCUGGAGUAGCCUCCUUUCUUGGCAUUCUUGCAUUUGUCUCCUCCUGCUUUAUUGACCCUACCCGCAAACUUUCACAUUCCUGUUUUGAGCUGUCCGUUUCCAUAUCCUCAUAAUCUACUGGUGGGAUUACGCUGCUCCCUCCUUUACUCCCUUCCUGUACCCUACCCUCCUUUUCACCAUUUCCCUCCAUUAAGACCACAGCCAAACUUUCCACCCGUUGGUUUGCCUUUCCAUACUGCCUGCUGUCUUUUAGAAUCUCAUCCCACCUCUCUUCAUAUUGUCUCGUCAUCAUUUUCUCCUUAUCCCCCCUUUCCUUUCCCCCCAAGACUCUACCAUUUUUUCCCCCAAGAGUUAAUGUAUCUCCAGCCAUUUGUACUCCAGUUUGAACUUCACUACUAGGAGACCCUGCCCCCACCCUCCUUGCAUCAAUUUCACUUACUCCUUCCAGCCGUCCCUUUAAGGGAGAUACCAUUAUAUUUCCAGCUCUCAUCCAGGCACCAUAUUGUUCCUCUCGCUUCUCCCCCCCACCCUUCCUACCACAGUACAAGUCCUAUCACUAUGCCCAAUGAUACCACACCUAUAACAGAAAUCAGGGCAGCGUUCAUACCUGAACUCAACCCACACUGCCUGGUUCUUACAGUUGAUCUUUGUCCCUCUAACCAGUGGUUUCGUUAUAUCUACCUCAGCCAUAAUCUUCAUGUGGCGACCCUCUUUCCCACCACUUCCUGGGAGAAUCACUCCCCUCACUGAUUUAAAGAUCCCUCCUAUUUUCAAACCCACUGCUCUGCUCAACCAGUGCACCGGUAGGUUCCAUAGUUGAAUCCAAAGAAAGGAAUGCUGGAAAAAGCUGCUGUUUGUAUCAUACCCCUCUACCCACUCCUUCACUAUCAGCAACUGGUUGUCCAUGACCCAAGGCCCUCCAGAUAAGAUCUUUUUCUUUUCCCCUUCAUCUCCCAGAUGGAAAUGGAAUAAGUUAGGACCUAACUCAGUCACUUUCAUCUUUGAGGGGUAUCCCCAUGCAUGAUUUGUAAAGUUCUUUAACCCCGUAAAGUUGGCAAUUUUUUCACCAAUCAGCUUUCCUACCAGGCUUCCUUGACACUCAGAGACGCCUUCUUCCAGGUCCUCACCACUCAGAUCGACACCUCCUAACUCUGUUUCAGACAAGUCAAAAUUUUGAAAGGCUCUUUCUAAAGCAUCCGCCAUUGCUGUGACGAGAGCUCCUUGAGAAACCAAGCACUAUUUCUGAGCUAUGAGUGACCCACUGACAGACCUGUGAAGAAUUGCAAAGACAGACAAAGCUGUGUUAUCCGUACACACUAAAAACCAACCAGAAAAACAGAGAGGAACUCGACAGAAAAAGCACAGGCACAAGAAGAAACGAAAGAAAAAAGAAAAACCAACAAACCACUAUCCCACUCCCGACCACAUAACAGCAUUAAAGAAAGGGACACAAAUACGACACUCCAACUUCCGAUCACAUGCUCUGACUCAAUGGAUCAUAUCUUGCCCAAAGCGUUUACUCCUCCAACCGAUUCCAAACCACUACAGACAUUGUCUCCCAUUUUGAAGCCGGAAGAAAGGUGGCUUCUGGACAGGGAACAUGAAAGCAAAGGUUGAACUAAAGAUUUGAUUUUAGAUCUGAAAAUUACGCUGUAGGAAAAAGUGCUAUGUGUUUGUACCUCACCCACUCUCCCACACCGAGGAGGGGAACCUCUAAAGUUAGAGAGAGAAGCUCUCAAGUUAGAGAGAAGCUUUGGAAGUUAAUUACCAACGUACCAUGCCGUACAUGUUUGUAAGGAUUUCUAUCCUAUUGGCAAAAGUCGGUUCCAUACAAUUAAUCAAUUCAUUUCACUUCUAUUGGCUCUACUAUUUAUGCAUGUUACGACACUCUUUCCCUUAUAUUUUGCCUUUAAUAUUAUGAGUCAAUAGUAAUAAUGGGCCUUUUUCUUAAAAUUAUACUAUUAUACAUAGGUAGUUUGGUCUAACGCUAAAUUCAUGUUUGUCUUUCUUUUAUUCCCUUUACAUCUCAAAGUAUACUAUAGUUUGUAAUCAUUGUGGUGAUGAUAUUACCAGCUGGUACUUAUAGUUUAAGGCAGAGACAUGAUAUUAACAACUAUCUCAUUGAAACAUAAGUCAAAAUCAUGACAAGUGUGAGUCUUGGUUAAUGCACAAUUUGUUAGUGGAAUUUAUAUUUAUAAAACUCAAAAAAAAUUUUUGACAAUGCUAUUACUAAUUAAUUAAGGACUUCAUUGCUAUAAUUUAUCGCUUACUAAUUUAAACUAUAAAUGAUCUCAAUACUUUUCUCCAUGAUGUCGAUUUCUUUAGACUACGAAAGGGAAAAAUUAGUGACAUAUCCCUUACUGAUUACAACAUCAGCAAAAAUUAGUUAUAAACUUUUCCGGUGGUUUUAAAUCCCUCGGGCACUAAGGUUUUUUGCACAUCGAGUGAAUUAAGGAACAUAGGCAAUUCGUUCUGCAUACCAAGUCCUUGUUUAAGAUGCACGUACUAAAAUGCAUCCACUUCAUUAAUUUGGAAAAUUGCCAUAGUUUUUUUUAAGCAUUUUGAUUUUUUACAUGAUUCAAAAUUUUCUUAUUGGAUACAAUCACUUUGUGUCAAGAACACAUUUUCAAUCAUCUUUUUUAUCUUCUCAAUAAGAAAAUAAAAAUUUAUUCAUGCUUUUCUAACAUAUCCAAUCAUUGAUCUGAAAAAUAAAGAAUUAAAAAAAAAAGACAUUUUCAAUCAUUGCUUACGGGGCAACUUCCCCAUGUGAACCUCAUCAAACAAAGCCAAUAAUAUGAAGGAACAUCUAAAUACACUUUUGCCCUAAAGGCUGGUUGCCUUGGGGUCAAAAUUUAACCUUCGGGAGUAUAAUUACCCGCCAAAUUUAUUAUUUUUUUUAUGGGUAUAUAGUUCCAAUUUUGCCUCCUGUUAAGCUUAUAAAUAUAUUACGACCCAGAAAAUAAAGGAAUCUUGAAUAGUAACAUGUCCAUUGACUUGAGUUGUUAUCAAUUUGGCUACUUCGAUUCCAUGAGGCCAAUCCAAUUCACACUAGCUAGAGAAAAUGGUGAUAAAGGCACUUAGAAAUUUAUAUGUAAUAUUGAUUGGUAGUAACUGAUAAGUAUAUAUUUUACGUGUUUUAAAUAUGUUUUAUUAGUUAGUUUUGGUGUGUUUUAACUACUUUUAUAACUAAUUAACUAGGAAUCUAGUGAAAAUAUGCAUUUUGUGGUUUGAAGUGUAAAAAUUGUAUUUCUAUGGAUUUUAAUGGUGAAAACUUCAUGUUUUUGUAGGUUUAAUGAUUCAAUCAUCAAAUGACAUGAUUUGAGAAGAUAAUUAGAUGAUUGAUGAUGUUUUGAAGUGAUAAAAAGAGAAUACAAAGUGCAAGAGAGGAAAUGCAAUCAAGAAUAAAAGAAGAAAAUUUUUGUAGCUUUGACAUAUUGUCGUAUUUCGGCAAUAUAUUGAGCUACAAUGAUCGGAUUAAGGUGAUUCUUAAACCAUUUGAAGCUAAAAUAUAGAUCUACAUUUGGCAUGAAGGCAUCGAAACCCAUGUCAGUCAUUUUCCUUGUCAAAAUGUUGAAAUACAGAAGUGCAACUCUGUUCUCGAAAGCUAAAACAGAGCUCUGGCUAGUCGAGGGUAUUUUCAUCAUUUCUUAGUCCACAGAGCUCCAAAUGAGAUGAUUCUUAAGGCAUUAGAACCCUAACUCAAAGAGCUACAACUUUCAUAUUUUGUACAAGAGUUAGUUCGGCCUCUAUCAUUAAGAAAAUAGUAGUUGAAGUGGUGCCAAAUGCAUAGAAGUGAAAACGCGAGCUAUCAAUACUCGACCUGAAGUCGCGUAUUCCUGAGGUCAUGCAUUCUCUUCUAUUUUCUGCAACUUGCCCUGCUUUCACAUAACUUUUUCAUCUCAAUUCCAACUAUCAAUUUCGGCUAUAUCUGAUCAAGAAAAGUGUGGAAAGUUUGAAAGACAACUCAUAGGAGUUUCAAGAGUCAAAAAUUACAAUUAGAAACAACUCAUUUGGCUCUUGAAUCCUCUAUAAAUAGAGGCCUUUGAAGAACAUUUUCACAACUUUGGAAGGUUAGAGAAACUCCACAAAAACAUAGUCUUCACUAGAAUUUCCUUAGUUCAUUAGUUAGGGUAGUAUAGUAUAGUUAGUGUAGCUUUUCCUUCUUGUAUUUAUAGUUAGGUUUGAAUGAAGAUUCAGGAGCAAAGAUAGAGAGGUUGAUCUCAUGUGACAAGGGUGAUAUCUCUUCUACUACUUUCUCUUUUGUAUUUGAUUUCAUAUUUAACUAUACUACAAAUUUGGCUUUGUUUUUUUUUUUUUAUCAUGUUUAGUUAAAGUUUAUGCCUAGAGUAUGGAUGACCUUUUUAUAUCUUGUUUGUGAUAUUUAACUGGUUAUUUGAUGAUGUUAUUUUUGAGCAAGUUAUUUAUCACUUUUGCUUUUCUAAUCAUGAUUAACUGGCCAUUAGUUGUGAUUAUCUAAAAGUGUUAAGUUUGUAAUGAGAAUUGGAGUUUAACACUAGUUCAAGGAAGUGAUAAAUUUAGGGAGUUCACUCAUGAGAGUAGAGGAACACCUUUGUGACCUAAGUGACUUGUUUCAUAUAAUUUCAUAGAAAAAAUGAACUUGUAAUUAAUUUCAUAACCACGAGAGUAAGUAUGGUUUAGCUAUAUGUAUAGUUGAUUCACUACGAGAGUAGGUUUCACAUACAUUAGAAAAUUACAUCAUAACUAGUCAAGAUAAUAUCAUUCAUUUAAUCAGUAAUCUCAUUUGCAUGAGUAGUAAGGCAUUCCAUAUCUCUAGGAGGUUUUUAGUAUUAUUUUCAUUACUUUUAUGUUUAUGGUAGUCUAGAUAAUAAUGGAGUUCGAAAACUACUAGUAAUUGAAAAUUUUCCCUGUGGGAUCGACCUUUAAUACCCUAUACUCGCUCUCGACUCGUAUACUUGAGAAAAAUCACGUGUGCGGUAUUUAGAAUUUAUAAAUGUAAAACUUGACUGUAGAUGAACUAAUUGAUAUAUGUAUACCCCGCACUCGUCAGUAACCAGCUUGUAUUGAUCCCACUAUUGUGGAUAAUUGUGCUCUUAUGAAAAAAAAUUAUAAAAAAAUUAGCAAAAUUUAUGAUAACAAAUUAAAUUUAUUCAUACAAAUCAGUGAAAGAAGUAGAAUUUUAAAGUCCAUGAUGAAAUUAAUACUUUCAAGGGCUCUAUUAGGAAGACUUCACUUGUUGGUGAAACUACACUAGCACAGUUAUAUGCACAUUUACUGUUUUGGUAUCUAAUUUCCUUGCCUUAAGUUGGGUGCAGAUGUUUAUAUUACAAAUAGAUGGUAUCAUAAAAUUGUUGUAUUCACGUUUGUUCUUUUUUUUCUUCCUUAAGUUUUUUUCUUUAUUCUCGUGACUUCAAAAAUACGAACUCAAGAAAUUGGCUGCUUAAUCAAUAUGUCAUACAGGCUUCGCUAGUGAGGUAUAACUUCACAACUAGAGUCAAUAGAAAUUAUCAAAUGAUUUUUUAACAUCCAAAUUAAGCAAUAAAUUUUGUUUUCAUUUUAUGACAUAUAAUAGUACUACUUCAUGAGAGAUUUUAUAGUUUCUUUUAGGUAUCAUACCUACAAGUGAUAUUUGUCAUUGGAUAGUGACAGAAGUGUUAAUGAUUGUAAGAUUAAAUAUUGUUAAAUAUUGAAAUUUAAACUAUUUAUCUUUAUUGAAAGAUACAAGUUAAAGAAUCGUUCAAGGGGGCAAUUUUCCAUCUUGUCUUUUUGAAAAAACGCUAUCACAUUGUAUAGGCAUGAUAGGUUCAAAUUUGUCAUUAAAUUUAUGAUUGAUUUUCCUUUUAUUCAAGCCAAAUAUUGUUUUAAUUAUCAAAUUCUACUUAUAUUUGGUUAAUUGUACUAAUUGUAGGGCGGUAGAGCAAAAGUUGCUAAAAAUAGGCGAUUUUCUGCAAAUUGGUUGUCAAGGCUGAAGGAUUUGGGAUUCGCAUGUUCAAGGCCUGUUUCCAAGUUUGAUUCAAACUCUGGACAGUUUUAGAGGAAGAUUUGGAAGAUUUGAAAUUUCAUUAUUAGUUUUAUGGUUGAAUUAGGAAUCUUGGAAUAAUUUCUUUUGUGAUUUAUUUUUCUAUUUAGGAGACUAGUUGUUAUUUAGUAGUAGACUUCAAUUAGAAAACAAAGAGAAAAAGAAGGCCGGAAUCCCGCUUGAUUAAUACCUUGGCCAGGGAACAAUCUCGGUGGGGAGGACGGCCACUUAGCCUCUCAAUUCAUCUUGCUUUUCGUUAGUUUGAGAGGAAAACCAAUUGCAACUAGAUUCAAUGGAGUCUGGCAGAAUUUCUUCUAGGAUGCGUAGCUAAAUCCUCAAUUUUUAGUCGAAGGUCAAUUUGAAAAUUCGGUUCCAAAUAUCUGUGAAAUCGAAUUAUUUUACUUAUUUCUUUUAUUUAUUGGUAUUCGCACGUUUUCUGAUUUAACUUUUUAUGAUUGUUUUGUUAUUUGAAUGUCAAGGGUCCGAUAUUCGAAUUAACUUAAUAAUCUACUGCCAAAUUAACCGGUUAAAUCCGUAAUUGUUUGAUUGAUUAAUAUCAGUGGCGACUAGCGUGAUUGGUCCCAUGUUAGGAAAACGUCUGAUCUAAUUUAAACAAACCGUCGUAGCGUGUUUGUUGAUUAGGGUUGGGCUUUUCUAAUUCUUAAUUCAAUUGAGAAAUUAAAUCCCCCGGUCGUACCUAGGAUUAUUUUUUUGUUAGCGAAAUAGUUAAUGGUCGUACCUUGACUAUCGAAAAAGUAAGGAAGAGUUGAUUGUUUAUCGCGUGUACGACAACUAUAAUCAAUCUAUUAAUGAGUAAUUGAAUUAUCUUUGCAUCAGUAAUCAGUUGAAUGGACCGUGUCUGAAAAGUUGUACCUUUGGCUAGAGUCUUAUCUGUUGUUGAUUCAUUCAUAUCUAUCUUCAUGCGUUGUUUUAAUUUAGUUAAUUAGUUAUUUUUAUAAAAACCCCUCAUCUCUGGACUCUAAAAGAAAUAAAUUAUUUCUAGUUCCUGUGGAUUCGAUCCUACUCACCAUACAAUCCAACCUGCAAUUGUAUGAACCCCAAUCUCGCUUCCUAGUCCACCAUUUUUCUCUAGGUAAUAAUCUCCCUUCUAAUUUCUUCACAAAAUGCACCUUUCAUCACCUCCAAUAGCGUCGACAUGAUCUUUACCCCAGAAGACUAUUCACCGACUCUCAAUUGACGUUAGAAAAUCUAAGAGUAAUUCUACUUUACCCUAAGAUUGAUAUCAACAAGACAAGGACAAUUUAGAAUUAUUACACGCCUCUUCUUAAUAGGAAAAAGAAAUAGAGAAGAAAGUCAGGCCAGGUCUAAUUUCUUUUCAAAGGCAAUACAACAUUACGAAAUCAAGCAUUCAUUCAUACAAAUAUUUCAUAGUCACCGGUUUGCUGAGUAGAAAAAUUUAGACAAAAACUUAAUAUUAUAUUGUUUAAGAGUUAACAAUUUAGAGCUUAAUCUCCUUGUACUUUGGAGUUAACAAUUUAGAGCUUAAUCUCCUUGUACUUUGGACUAAACUUGAACGUGAAAGGAAAUCCCAAAACCAUAUUGGGCAUGAAUUCACACUUAAUAUACCCAAUAAAAGAUGGCGACUGGUGAAAGGCAGUGGAGACUGGUGGAGAGAUUUGAGGAAUAGAAGCAGACGGAAAAGCAACAAAUUUUUGCCGAAAAACGGUCACUUUCAUGGUUAAUUUUGCUACUCUCCAAUUGUACUUGACCAAUUACAACAAUUUCAUGGAGUUUGAUACGUGAAAAGAAUUUUUUAUAAAUUUUAUUUUGAUCCAUAAUGUUAUCUUUACAUAUAUAAAACAUUUUACAAUUUUGAUUUUGGCGCAGUUAACUUUUGGUAAACAAAAAUGCUCAUGUUUAAAAAACCGGAAAUAAAACAAAACAAGAAACAAAAGAAAUAAGAGGGUAGCAUAGACAUUUUGGAUUUUUCCGUUAAUUUGGAUGAUUUCCACCCACGUUCUAAUUUAAUCCAAAACACAAAGGAAUUACGUAGAGGUUUUAAAUAAUGAGGGAGCUUCAUGAUCGAACCCCAAACCACAAGGCGAUUUACUAUAUUUUACUCUUAAAUUUUGGUUUCAUCUCAUAGCAUACAAGAGUUCUAUUUCACUAUCUGUAGACAAAGACUUUCUAUGGUUGAUGUACCAUAGGAAAAAAUCUGCCUAUACAACGUGAUAGCAUUUUUUCAAAAACACAAGAUGGAAAAUUGCCCCCUUAAACGGGGAAAUUCAUGAUCUUUCCUCGAACAAAGAAUACUCACGCCUAUUCAAGAUGGAAAAUUGCCCCCUUAAACGUCUAUUUGUCAAUUCUUGAAAAAAGAAUACUCACGCCUAAAACACGGCCUCUUCAUCUGCAGAAUUCUAAAAAGUUAGGUAAACUCUAUAAACAAGUUGAUAGGUACAAUCGUACCCAAGAUCAAGUACAGAUAGUUGUACAUUCACUGCUGCAAUAACUAAUCUGAUGACUUACAAACAUAUCAUGGUCAAUCGUUGAAUGGUAAUGAGUCUUUUGUUAUGCAUUAGUAUUAGUGUGUACACUCUAAUAGAUUGAUACUUAUACUCUUUAAAUUAUCAUAAUAAUACCCUUAAUUAACUUUAACUCUUAAAAAGAAUACGUGUUAAUACACGAGAGUGUGUAACCUGAAUUGUUACUUAUACAUUAGUGUGUAAUAGAUAGGGAUGGCAAUGGGGGCGGGUGCCCGCAGGCAACCGCCCCGCGGGGGGCUCUCGGGGCGGGGAGGGGGGAAUUUUUUCCCCCCGUUUAGAAACGGGGCAGGGGACGGGGGAGUAUACCCCCGCCCCAUCCCCCGCAAAAAAAAUUAUAUAUAUAUAAUUAUAUAUAAUAUGUAAUUUAAUUAGUUAUAAACUUAUGAUAAUGAUAUUAUUAGUUAGAUGUAUUAUAUAAUGUAUAUUAGUGUAUGUAAUAUAAUUAAUAUUAUCAAUUAUACGAAUAAUUAGACAUGUCUACUAAUAGAAUUUAUUAAUUAGUUAUACUAAAUUUACUAAUACAUUUAUACUAAAUUUCUAAUUACAUUUAAUAGAAUAACACUUUUUUCUAAAAAAAAAAGCACAAACACAAUAAUGAAUUAGUGAUUGUAUUUUUACCAAAAAUGAAAACUUAACUAUUUUAGUUGCAUUUAUUUCAUCAUGUUGGAUUGUAUUCAAAUAAUUUUUGUUUGAUUGUUUUUAUGAGUUUCAAUUGUAAAAUUAAAAUGAAUAAUAACUUGAUGAAUAAUAAUGUCAAUCGUUGAAUGGUGUGUACACUCUAAUAUUAUGCAUUAGUAUUAGUGUGUACACUCUAAUAGAUUGAUACUUAUACUCUUUAAAUUAUCAUAAUAAUACCCUUAAUUAACUUUAACUCUUAAAAAGAAUACGUGUUAAUAACUCUUAACCUGAAUUGUUACUUAUACAUUAGUGUGAAAUAGAACGGCAAGCAUUGAGCAACUUAUAGGAGAAAUAGUCCUAUAAGCUGUUGGAUGACUAAUAUAGCUCUAGCUGUAAUGUUUUAAUUAAAUUACAUCACUAACGUUGGGAUGACUAAUGGUUUAAAAAUAAUUGAGUAAUUGGAAAAAAAAAAAGAGACUAAUUUUCAUUGAAACCCACCGACAAACUAAACGUGUCCAUGGCUUUUGAAUAGUGCAUUCAACGUUUAAUUGUAUAGUCCAGUUCAUUGCAGAUUACAUGGAGUAAAGAUUGUGCUCUUUCCUUUUUCACCCCUUUUGGAAUCGAUACUGUGGAGAAUUGGGUUUUUCCCUUCUUUUUUUCUUUUCUUUCUUUCUGUGCUUUGCAAAACAUAGGUAAAAUUAUGAAAUCCGAAGCAUUCUUUAAUUGGGAUUAAGUAUUGUUCUUGAAAUUAAAAAGAAGAAAGAAAGAACAACAAAAUUCCCUGAUUGGUUGCAUCGUGCUUCCAUAGAAGCUCUCUUAGUGUGAUACACUGCUUUCAAUCAGUUUAACAUGGAAAAAAGAAAGAGAUGAAAAGCAAAUUUGGUGGGGAUAAUUUCAGAAACCUCCCCUGAAGAUUUUGACUAUUCUACUGGUCUCCCUUCAGAUUUUAAAAAUUACACUAAUCUUCCUUGAAGUUAUAACAUUUAAAUUCAAUCAAUAAUUUAAAAAAUGAUAUUAUGAAAGAGAAAAUAAUAUGAUUUUAUCAUUGCCCCCCAUCUUACUACAUUAUUUAAUUAAUUUAAUAGCAACCCACACAUUAAAGAAAAAUAUAAAAUUUGUUAUUUAUCAUUAAAGAUCAAAUCGCUUAUAACAUCAAAUAAUAGUAUAUUAUUUAUAUUUUUCACUUAACAUAAUAUCCAAAUUACUCUUUUCAAUUACAUACUCAUUGUUAGACAAUCAACAACAAAUAACCAAAAAAUUUGCAACCAAAAUAUUACAAAAAAAAAUAAACUUUAACAUCAUAAAUAUUCUUAUCAACAUAUUAAAGUUAGUUACUGAAAUUUUUAUGGUGUUAAACUUCACUCUUUGUAAUAUUUUGGUUACAGAUUUUUUUUGAUUAUUUUUUAUUAAUUAUGUUUGAUGAUGGGUUUGUAAUUGAAAAGAAUAAUUUAAAACUUACAUUAAGUGAAAUAUAUAGAGUGAUAUACUAUUUUUUAUAACAUAUGUGAUUCAAUCCUUCUUGAUAGGAUUGGUAAUAGAGGUAGAGGGGGGAGUCGGCUGCAUCCGGUCUUCUUUUCAUAGAUAGUACAAUAUUGCGAAAUCAAUCGCAUUCACACAAUAAUAUUUCGAAGUCAAUGCAUGGCUAAGUUGCAUAAAAGUACGAACACUUGUUAUUAUAUAGCUUAAGAUUCAAAACUUUAGAGCAUAACCCUCCACCUAACACAAUUGAAUAAUGAAUAUUCACGUUUGUCAAAUCUGUCAAAGCACAGUUUGAGGACAACCCAUUCCAACCUGCAAAAGAUUUUUUACUUUUCUAAAGUUGUUGAGAGCUGUAAAAAGACCUACCAUGCUUACAUCCUCCGAGCCUUGGGAGUUAAAAAUGAAGGCACUGAGUGCUAUAAAAAGGGGGCUAGAGGCUGCCUAGAAGCAUAUCAGCCUAAAACAAGAAUUUGUUGUUAUGAUGGGAAGCAAAGCAAAAGCAAUGGGGUCUGGGCUGACUCCUCUUCUUGCCACUGUUUUAGUGGUAUUUGUUGCUCUUGGCUUGCCCUCAGAAACAGCAGCUGAUGAUCACUACAAGUAUUCAUCUCCUCCUCCUCCUUACCACUAUCCCUCACCACCGCCUCCAGUGCAUUUACCUCCACCAGUGUACAAAUACAAGUCCCCACCACCACCUCAUCAUGUUUACAAGUACAAAUCUCCACCACCCCCACCACCACACCCAGUUUACAAGUAUAAGUCACCACCACCACCUCCUCAUCCGGUACCACACCCAGUUUACAAGUAUAAGUCACCACCACCACCUCCUCAUCCGGUAUACAAGUAUAAGUCUCCUCCGCCACCACCACACCCAGUUUACAAGUAUAAGUCACCACCACCACCUCCUCAUCCGGUACCACACCCAGUUUACAAGUAUAAGUCUCCUCCGCCACCAGUUUACAAAUAUAAGUCUCCUCCACCACCACCUCCAGUGUACAAGUACAAGUCUCCACCACCACCAGUUUACAAGUACAAAUCACCACCACCUCCUCCCCCAGUUUACAAAUACAAGUCUCCACCACCACCAGUUUACCACUACAAGUCACCACCACCUCCUCACCCAGUUUACAAGUACAAAUCUCCUCCACCACCAAUUUACCACUACAAGUCACCACCACCUCCUCCCCCAGUUUACAAAUACAAGUCUCCACCUCCUCCUCACCACUACUAAGCAAUUGCUUCUGAGGUAAUAACACUUGUUCAAUAACACUUGAUAGCCAGCUGAAUAUUUGCAGGCAAAGGAGAAGGAAACCAGUGUUUGAGACCUUCUUGAAGAUGUAGAAGCAUAAGAAUUAAAGCCCAAUGUGAAGAUGAUGAUUUCAAGUUUUUCUACGUUACCAUUUCAAUAUCUAAAUUGGUUGUAGCGCCUUAGUUCCUUUGUUUAUGGGAUUUGUAUCGUUUUACGUACCAUGCAGUACAUGUCAUGUUUGUAAGGUUUUCUAUCCUGCCGGCAAACCGCAGGUUCCAUGUAAUAAAUCAAUACUAUUUAUAUUACGACACUUUUCUCUGUUUCUCUUAUAUUUUGUCUUUAAUAUUCUUAAUCAUAUUUUUAACAAAAAUAUUCAAACACUUCAGCAAUGGUUCACCUAGUUGAUCAUCGAAGCAGAGGCAAUUCCAAUUAUUUAUCAAUAAAUAGGAUAUAACUACCAAACAAGCGAUGGCAGUUAACCCCUCCUUACUGUGUCGGUGAUCAAGGUACGCCCGUUAAUCACUGCUCUAAUUGAGAAAUAAUCCUAAGUACGCCCGUAGAAUUUAAUUCCCCAAUUGCCUUACAUAUUAGAGGAGCCCUAUUCUAACCAAAUAACGCACUAUCAGGGUUAUUUUAGAUUAGCCCGCGUAUUCCCCUGACAUAAAUCUAAUCAUGCCAGUUGUCAUUAUUUUGAGGUAAUUAAACAAUUACGGAUUUAACACCUCAAUUGACAAUAGAUUAUUAAAUUAAUUAAUUAUUCGGAUCCAAGACAAUCAAUUAAUUAAACAACCAUAAGCACUACAAUCAGAGAAUAUGCAAAUACCAAUAAAUAAAUAAAAAAUAAAAUUAAAUCGAUCUCACAAUUUUUAGGCGAAUCAGAGCAUCCGUUGUCCCUUGACUAGAGCAAGGAAAUUAGUUCAUAUUUGAUGAACUAAACCCAUACAAAAGGGAAGCGAGAAAUGCAGCCAUUAUCCUUUGAAAUCUGGAAAAUUCAACUUGUCCGAAUAUCGAAUAGAUAGUAAUACUACAAAAGGUAAUUCAUAGCUUCCCUUUCGUCUGACACACAAGAAGAAAAAAAAGGGCUGCUAAUAACUAAAGGAGGAAAAGUCAAAGUCCUAAGCUAUGCUACAAGACGAAAAACUAAAGAAGACAAAAAGGCAGUGCUCAUUCCCUGCAAUCUCAAUUCCUAUUCUAUCUAAGUGCUCUCCAAUGUGCGGCGGCUCCCCUUCCGGAGAGGACGAAGUGGCACCCUUUUUUCCUGCGCAAUUUUCCUAUAUAAAGUAGUGCUCCUUGCAGCGGCUCCUGUGCGAAAAAAUGAAGACUUCGGCCCAAUUUGCCUAACAAGGGCUCACGUUUUGUUGUUCUAAAAAUGUCCCUAGGACAAACUCUAUCAUCUGAACUCUUUUCUUGCCAAAUUAGUACCUGUUAUUAUAUUUUCGUUCUACUCCCUGAAAUAAAUGCAAAAUAUCAAAAGUGAGUAGAAUCUAGCAAUUAAUCCACAUUAGGUCAGGUAAUAGGGAAAAUUAAUAAUAAAAUAAAUGAUAAAAUUGCAAUCUAUCACGGGACCACUGUGGUAAGGUGUGUUUCGCCUAUUAUAAGGAGUUCGGAGAGUUAGACGUGUUGGAGGCGGAGGCGCGGUCACUCCUGCACGCCCUCCAGCUGUGUGCAGAUCGCGAGGUACGGGCGUUGACUGUAGAAUCUGAUUCAAAGGUGCUUGUUCAACUAGUUUGCUCGGAUAUGAGGUCGAAGUGGCCGGUGUGUAUCGUAUUGCGGGAAAUAAGACAUUUGAUCCGGCGGAUGGGUGCAUCCCUUCAUCAUAUAUUCCGUGAGGCCAAUUCGGUGGCGGACGCAUUGGCUUCUCUGCAAUUGGGAGGGCAGCAGUACUACACCUCAGGCGUGGCGCUGCCUUUCAGGCCCAGAGGAGAGGCUCUGCUGGAUCGUCAAGGAGUACCUCGCAUCCGUGAGGCGCUCACUAAGGUUUGAUAGGCUAUGUCCUCCUUUCAAAAAACUUAUUUCAUCUACUCCUUGUAAUCAUUUUUCUUAUCAAUAAAUUGAGGCUUUUUAUUUAAAAAAAAACAUAUAAUUUAAGGCAAAAAUAUGAUCCUAGCGAGUAUCGCACUGAGACAUUAGGAAACAUCAUUAAAAGAGUAUUUCUUGAGUUAGUGCAACUAUUUCUUAGGGGAAUUUAUAGUUACAAAAUUCAAAAAUUUGAGAUUCUAUUACUGAUUAAUUAAGGGCGUUAUCACUAUUUUUCUUAUUAUCACCAUUAUUUACCCCACAUACUAUAAGUUUUUUUAGGGCACAGGAAAAGAGGUGGGCCGAUGUUUAGUUAUGUACAAAAGUUCAAAAUUUGUAGAUAACUUAUCAUGUGCCCUUAGAGCGUAGAAUACAGAAAAAAUAUCUUAAACUAUAACUAAUCCUAAUAUUUUUCUCUAUGAUAAACUAGCUCUUAUCCAUUUCUUUAGAUGAUGAAAGGAAAUAGUUAGUCACCUGUCCUCUAGUGAUUACAACAGCAUCAAAACAAAUUAGCACUCUUUUCCCGUAGUUUAAAAAUCCCUCAGCCACUAAGAUUUUGCAUGUCGAACGAAUUAAGGAACAUAGAAGGUUCGUGCUGCACCACAGUGUCCUUGUUGACGAUGCAAAGACAGAAAUGCAUCCGCGUAUACUUCCUUAAGCAUUUUGAUUACUUUAUGAUUCGAACUUUUCUUGUCUGACAGCUGGACUUAAUUGAAAAACACAAGUAACAAUAUUUCAAAGUUGAUUCGUCAAAGUUUACCCAAUUGGUGAAACUUUCUUCAUAGAGCUGACUUUGUAUUAGGUGACAAUGAUAUGGAAUUGAUGUCCUUCCCUUUUUCCUUUUUUUGUGUUGAAGACGCACAACGUUUUCAAUGGCAAAUUUAUAUGGGCUUUUCACGACAAAAUGUGUUCUGAAAAGUUCAUUCCAGAGGUUAAAAUUUUGUGUGUUAAAAAUUUGCUUCUCAGGACUUUGAUGGGAAAGUCUUGGUGUUUCCAAAAAGUUUAAGCAGGAUGCUUCUGGCUUUCUCUCCAUGUAUUUGUGAGUUAGAUCUAAAAUUAUCAGGGCUCCAGAGAUCUCUUGAAAUCGCAGCAUAUAUUGAAGUCUUUCCAGAAGGAGUCUUUUUUUUUUUUUUUAUGAAUUAUGAUAGAUAAUUAAUCUGACGGUGCAUAUAUAUAUAUAUGUGAUUUGCAGUAGGGUGUUUGACGAAAUGGUUAGGCUUCCUAAGUAAUGAUAGGAAUGCCAUUUGCAAAGAAGGACAGGGGGCUGGUGCUGUCAUAUUUUAUGCGAUUUGAUCCGUUGUUGUAUAAGUUUAAACUUUUGACGUGCAAUUGUGCUAUAAUAUUAUACUAAAUAUAUGUGUGAAAUAUUUUGUCUAUAUACAUCACUUUUAUCAUGAAUACAACAGCUGAGUAUAAUAAUAUAGUAUAAUGUAAUUGUACACCAAAUAAUGUAGCAAAUAUAACAAUUGAUCCGAAUUACACGGAACCAUAACAACAAGAUCACCGCCUCCCAAAUUUUACAAAAUUAGGUUUUUUUUUUUUCUCUUAGAUUAUUGAAAAUUUUCAAAAAUAAUCUACAUAAUUUAAGCUUUUGUCCUACAAAAAUUUGAAGAGAUUUUACAUUACAAGCUUAAGCUUAGAUAUAUUAAACUUUGCCCCCAAGAUUAAUUUUCCGUUUUUAUCUAUGAACCGAUCCAUAUAGCUAGUUAGACUGUAGUCCUCACAUUUGUGGGAUUUAACACCCAAGAUUCUCCUUCUUGGAAUGUAAAAUGUAGAUCUUCUAUGUUAAUAAUUCAAGACCCUACUGUCAUAAACGAAAUGACUGAUCAACUCCUGUAAACCUAAUUUGACAACAUUUAAAUGGAGAACUUUAGCUAAAAGAAUUAUGGUCAAGCUAAAGAAAAAGCCAGUUAUUUUCCAACAUAUGCAAUCAUUGAUCAGGAAAAAAAAAAAAAAGCAAAAAGACAUCUUCAAUCAUUUAAUAGCUCACAGUGCAAAUUAACCCCUAAGCGAAAACUGGUUGCUCUAGAAUCAAAAUUUUACCUUAGUUACCCAGGCAACUUUUUUGUUGCUUUUUUUUUUUUCUUUUCCUUUUUGGGUAUAUAUAUAGCUCCAGUUUUGCCCCCUCUGUCAAGCUUAUAUAAUUAUUAAGAUAAUAAAAGUGCCUUGAAUAGUAUUAAUAUAUCCAUUGACUUGAGCUGUCAUCGAUCGGUUUGGGCUACUUCGAUUCCAUGAGAACAAAUGGUAAUAAAAGUACUCAGAAAAUAGGGAGCCAUGAAACCCUUUUGUUCUAUUCAUUGCUAAGAUGCUUUUCUCUAUAAAGAGACUUCCUAACGAAAGUACUUUGUAGAUUUCUUUACUCCAAGUGGUGCAUGGAAAAUUAAAAUAUUCAAUUAUCAAAUAAAAUUCCCUUUUUUCGGUGUAGAUUUCAUCCAUCCAGCUGUUAACACAUUUUAUGUAUCCGAAUUAUAUAUUCUCUACCAAAUAUUGUAACUUUUCUGAGCAUCUUUACAUUUUUAUUCCCACCUAACAAAUUAGUUGUUGAGCAUCUUUACAUGCUAUCGGAUCACAAGUUAAUAAUCUUUUAAAGAACAUGUUAAAUUAAUUUAUUGGUAUGAAUAGUCAAAGAAGUAUAUUAAAGUUAGUAAUCUUUAAACACCACGAUGCAAUUAAUACUUUCAAGCUCAAGGUCUUUUUUUUUUUUUUUUUUGGUACUGUACUUCCUUGCUUUAUAGUAUGCACGUUUAUUUCUGUGGAUUGCUUAAGCUUAUAUUGUUAAUAAUUGGGCAUUUAACCAUAAAUUAUAAUGAUUAUGAAGUCAUAUAUAUAUAUAUAUAUAUAAGAAAAUUACCACAAUUAUUCAAUUUUUUUUGCAAAUUCAAAUUUUAUUAAUAAGAAAUAGGCAGUAAGCUUUUACAAACGGAAAAAAAAAAUCCUACAACAACUCUAGGACCUUUGAAAGAAAGAAAAAAAAAAGAAAAGAAAAGCUUAAGGACUCUACCUCAUAGAAGCUAAACAAUCCUACAAAUAAACUGCAAAAUAAAUCACAAUAACGCAAAAUUUUUGUCUUUCUUCCGUAUGAAAUGAAACUACGAAGUCAAGAAUUGACUCCUUUAACCGCUAUUGCCAGCGGGCUCCGUCAGCAAGAUACAACUUUGCAAUUUGAUUCAAUAGAAAUCCUCAAAUAGCUAUUUUGACAGGCAAAUUAAGCAUUAAUUUUGGUAUCCCUUCAUAAAAUACAAGAGUACUUUUGAUUAUAUCUAUAGAUCAACUUUCUAGGCUAUUUUGAUGUAUUAUAAGAAAAUCUGCCUCAACAAUUUUGAUAGCAUUUUUCCAAAAGCAGAAGAUGGAAAAUUGCCCAUUUGUACUGGGGAGUUCGUGAUCUUUUCCUCCUUCUAGUCUACUUACAAUUCUUGGAAAAAGGAAUACUCACAUCUCAAACAACUGCCUGUUCAUCUGCAAUGUCCUGCCGAAUUCUAGAAAGUUAGGUGGCAAUGCUAAUUACAUUUCAAAAUUGACUGCUGCGAUGACUAAUUCGAUGGCUUACUACAUGGUCAACGUUUGGAUCCCUUCCUGUCCUUUUUGGAUGCACAUUUUUUUUCUCUAGGCAAUAUAUAAUCUCCCAACUCAUUUCUUUACAAAUGCACCUUUAAUCACCACCAAAAGGUGUGGACAUGAUCUUUACCCUAGAAAACUAAUCACCGACAGGCAAAUUGACGUCAGAAAUACUAAGAGGAAUUCUAGUUUCCUUCGGGUUAAUGCCAUUUUGUACCCUUCAACUGUAACUCGAUUUCUAAACUAUAAUUUGUGACAUUAUAGUCCUUAAACUAUGAAACCCCUCUUACUUAAGUACAAUGGUUAAUACAAUACCCGUGACUAGACAAGCAACCAUAACAAAAAAAAAUCCAAAAUUAGAGAAAAGAAAGAAGUUUCGCGACCAAAGUAUGUAUCAAGGCAUAGUAUAGAAAUAAAAGUGUCCAAAUUAAGAGUUUAGGGAUAAAAGAGAUCAAGAUAUAGUUUAGGGAUUGAUUUGUCUCAAUUAGAGUUUUGAUGUCAACUAAGAAGAGAGAUAUAGUUGAAGGGUAGAAUAUAGAUAUAACAGUUCAAUGAUUGAUAUCAACGAGACAAUGACAACUUUGGAUUAUUACCAACCUCUUCUUGAUGGGAAAAGGAAAUAGAGAAGAAAGUCGGGCCUGGUCUAAGCCUGCUUCGGAGGCAAAACAACAUUAUGAAAUCACCGGCAUUCACACAAAUAUGUCAAAGUCACCGGCAUGCUAAGUUGCAUAAUUUAUACAAACACUGAAUAAUAUAUUGUUCUUAAAAUUUUUGUUUAAGAUUUAACAAUUAGAGCACGGUACACGAAUUAGCAAUAUUAAAUAAUGAAUGUUCACGAUUGAUAAAGUUAUCAAAGUACAGUUUGAGGACAACCCAUUCCAACGUGUACAAGAUGUUUAGCCUUUGAAAAGUUAAUUAGAGAAGGUGACGAGAUUUUACUAGGCUUAAAUCUUCUAGGCCUCGGAAGUAAAAAAUGAAGGCCUUUGAGUGCUAUAAAAAGGGGGCUAGAUGUUGCCUAGAAGCAUAUCAGCCUCAGACCACAUUUUGUAGCAAUGGGGAGCAAAGCAAAAGCAAUGGGGUCUAGGCUGACUCCUCUUCUUACCACCGUUUUAGUGGUAUUUGUUGCUCUUGGCUUGCCUUCAGAAACUGUGGCUGAUUACUACAAGUAUUCAUCUCCUCCUCCUCCUUACCAUUAUUCCUCACCACCACCUCCUGUGCAUUCACCUCCACCACCGCCAAUUUAUAAGUCACCCCCACCACCUUACCACUACUCCUCACCGCCACCUCCAGUGUAUUCAUCUCCACCACCACCUUCGCCAGUUUACAAGUCUCCGCCACCACCUUACCAUUAUUCGUCACCACCGCCUCCGGUGCAUUCACCUCCACCACCACCUGUUUACAAGUCACCUCCACCACCUUCGCCAGUUUACAAGUCUCCGCCACCACCUUACUAUUAUUCGUCACCACCGCCUCCGGUGCAUUCACCUCCACCACCACCGAUUUACGAGUCACCUCCACCACCUCCUCCAGUUUACAAGUCUCCGCCACCACCUUACCAUUAUUCCUCACCACCACCUCCAACGCAUUCACUCCCACCACCAGUUUACAAAUCACCGCCACCACCUCCUCCUAUGUAUAAGUCCCCUCCACCACCUUAUCAUUAUUCCUCACCACCACCUCCAGUGCAUUCACCCCCACUGCCACCAAUUUACAAGUCUCCGCCACCUCCAAUCUACAAGUAUAAGUCACCACCACCUCCUCCCCCAAUUUACAAGUCACCACCACCACCUCCUCCAGUAUAUAAGUCCCUACCCCCACCAGUGUAUAAGUACAAGUCUCCACCACCACCUCCUCCAGUAUACAAAUCACCUCCACCACCUCCUCCAGUUUACAAAUCUCUACCACCACCAAUUUAUAAAUACAAGUCUCCUCCACCACCUCCUCCGGUUUACAAUUCCCCACCACCACCAAUCUACAAGUCUCCACCUCCACCCUCCCAUUACUACUACAAUUCUCCUCCUCCUCCUCCUCAUCACUACUAAGCAAUUGUAUCCAAGUUUUUGAGGUAAUAAUGCUAAACCAAUAUAUUAACUUUCGCAUGAUAAACUUUAUCUCUAUCAAGACAAACUGCCAUGUGCAUCAAGCCAAAUACGUACACUUCGAUCCAUGAAAAUGACAAGUAGAAGGUUUUCUUAAGAACCAAGGAACAGCAUUAGUAUUCCCUCUGUUUCCAAAACUUGUGUAUUAAAUAGAUUAAUGAAUUGUUUAACAUGCUUAUCUACUUGAAAAUGCACAAUACCCAUAACCCACUGAAAUUUUUGCAGGUAAAGGGGAAGAGAAUCUGUGUUUGAGAGCUUCAUGAAGAUGUUGAAGAAUAAGAAUAAAAGCCCAAUGCGAGGAUGUUUUCAAGUUUUUCUAUGUUUCCACUUUAAUUUGUAAAUUGAAUUUUUCGACUUAAUUAAUUCCCUGUUUGUGGGGUACGUAUUGUUUUACGUACCAUGCCGUACAUGUUUGUAAGGAUUUCUAUCCUAUUGGCAAAAGUCGGUUCCAUACAAUUAAUCAAUUCAUUUCACUUCUAUUGGCUCUACUAUUUAUGCACGUUACGACAUUUUUUCUCUCUUUCCCUUAUAUUUUGUCUUUAAUAUUAUUGAGUCAAUAGUAAUACUGGGCCAUUUUUUUUAAAACUUAUACUAGUAUACAUAGGUAGUUUGGUCUAACGCCAAAUUCAUGUUUGUCUUUCUUUUAUUCCCUUUACAUUUCAAAGUAUACUAUAGUUUGUGAUCAUUGUGGUGAUGAUAUUACCAGCUGGUACUUAUAGUUUAAGGCAGAGACAUGAUAUUAACAACUAUCUCAUUGAAACAUAAGGAAAAAUCAUGACAAGUGUGAGUCUUGGUUAAUGCACAAUUUGUUAGUGGAAUUUAUAUUUAUAAAACUCAAAAAAAAAAUUUUGACAAUGCUAUUACUAAUUAAUUAAGGACUUUAUUGCUAUAAUUUAUCGCUUGCUAGUUUAAACUAUAAAUGAUCUCAAUACUUUUCUCCAUGAUGUCGAUUUCUUUAGAUACGAAAGGGAAAAAUUAGUGACAUAUCCCUUACUGAUUACAACAUCAGCAAAAAUUAGUUAUAAACUUUUCCGGUGGUUUUAAAUCCCCGGGCCCUAAGAUUUUUUGCUCAUCGAGUGAAUUAAGGAACAUAGGCAAUUCAUUUUGCAUACCAAGUCCUUGUUUAAGAUGCAAGUACUAAAAUGCAUCCACUUCAUUAAUUUGGGAAAUUGCCAUAGUUUUUUUAAGCAUUUUGAUUUUUUACAUGAUUUAAAAUUUUCUUAUUGGAUACAAUCACUUUGUAUCAAGAACACAUUUUCAAUCACCUUUUUUUAUCUUCUCAAUGAGAAAAUAAAAAUUUAUUCAUGCUUUUCUAACAUAUUCAAUCAUUGAUCUGAAAAUUAAAACAUUAAGAAAAGGACAUUUUCAAACAUUAAGAAGUAGUAUUUUAAAGACCAUGAUGAAAUUAAUACUUUCAAGGUCUCUAUUAGGAAGACUUCCUUUAUUAAUACUCUACUAGGCAGAGUUAUAUGCACGUUUACUGUUUUGGCCUUAAGUUGGGUGCAGAUGCUUAUAUUACAAAUAGAUGGUAUCAAAAAAUUGUUGUAUUCACGUCUGUUCUUUUUUUCUUCCUUAAGUUUUUUUCUUUAUUCUCGUGACUUCGCUAGUGAGGUAUAACUUCACAACUAGAGUCAAUAGAAAUCGUCAAAUGAUUUUUUGACAUCCAAAUUAAGCAAUAAAUUUUGUUUUCAUUUCAUAACAUAUAAUAGUACUACUUCAUGGGAGAUUUUAUAGUUUCUUUAGGGUAUCAUACCUACAAUUGAUAUUUAUCAUUGGAUAGUGAAAGAAGUGUUAAUGUCUCUAAGAUUAAAUAUUGUUAAAUAUUGAAAAUUUGAACUAUUUAUCUCUAUUGAGAGAUACAACUUAAAGAAUCCUACCCAAAAGAGACUAGAAUUUUCUCUGUUUUUCAUCAUCUGUAGACAUAAACUUUCCACGGUUGAUAGCAUUUUUCAUCAUCUAUAAGGAAAUUUUGCCUAUACAAUGUGAUAGCAUUUUUCAAAAAGACAAGAUGGAAAAUUGCCCCCCUUGAACGGAAAAUUGCCCCCUUGUCAAUUCUUUAAAAAAGAAUACCGUCCCGCAGAAUUCUAGAAAGUUAGGCAAAACUAGACAAGUUGACAGGUAUAAUCAGACCCAAGAUCAGGAACAAGCAGUUGCACAUUUCAAAAUUCGCUGCUGCAACAACUAAUUUGAUGACUUACAACACUAAAUGGUCAAACUUUGAAUGGCAAUGAAUCUUUUGUUGUACAUCAUGAUGUAAUUUUCAUGUUACAUAAUAGAUUGAUAUCUAUGUUCUUUAAAUUAUCAUAAUAAUUAAAUUUAACUGAAAAAAAGAACACAUAUCAAUACACAAAAGUGUGCAACGUGAAUGUUAUUUUAGUGUAUUGCAGAAGACCUAUAGUCUCUUCAUAUCUCUUCCUGCACGUAUCAAUUCGUUUCCUCUAGAUAAUAAUCUCCCAACUCAUUUAUUUACAAAUGCACCUUUUAUGUUUUAUUACCUCCAAAAGCCUAAAAAUCAAUUCACCGACUCGCAUUUGGUAUCAGAAAUUCUUAUUACGAAUUCUACUUUACUCAAAGAUUGACUGUUAAUAAUGAGACAACGACCAUUUUGUAUUAUUACACCGUCCUUCUUGAUAGGCAAAAGAAAUAGAGAGGAAAGCGGGUCCGUAUAUGGUCUUUUAUUCAUAGAUAAUACAACAUUACGCCAUCGAGCAUUCACACAAUAUUUCAAAGUCAUUGCAUGCCUAAGGCCUGCUUGAUAAUCUAAUUCCGUACUUAAAUUUAAUAAAUUCAAAUCUUAACACAUUCAAAUCGUUUGAUAACAAAAAAUUGAACAUCUAAAUUAAUUAAGUAACACUGAAUUUUCUAGGCAAAACUUGCUCCCAAAAUUAAGUGAUAAGUUAUUCACUUAUCACUGAAUAUGAUAUGUAUUCAAAUGUAUUAGAUUUAAUACUUAAUAAUUUAAUGAAUUCAAAUUUCAUAUUUCAUAUUUCAGUUUUAUCAAACACACCUUAAGUUGCAAAAUAAUACCAAAACUUGUUAUUACAUAGCUUGAGAUUCAAAAAUUUAGAGCAUAAUUCUCAACCAAACACAAUUGAAUAAUGAAUAUUCACGAGUGUCAAAUCUAUCAAAGUACAAUUUGAGGACAACCCAUUCAAACGCGUACACGAUUUUUAACUUUUCUAAAGUUGUUGAGAGCUGUUGAAAGAGAUUUACCAUGUUUACAUCUUCCAAGUCUUGGGAGUAAAAAAUGAAGCCACUGAGUGCUAUAAAAAGGGGGGUAGAGGCCACUUGAGAUCCUCGGUGACAUGUUUUCUAUGCCAAUCCAAUGCCACCAAUAGUGUUGCGCCAAGUGUCAUGUUAUUAUUUACACUUGUGUUAAACUAAGCCAAGUUGAAUUAUUAGAAAAUUAAAGUGUAAAUAAUAACAUGACACUUGGCGCAAUACUAUUGGUGACAUUGGGUUGGCAUAGAAAAUAUGUCACCGAGGAUCCCAAGUGGAUAGAUGCUGCCUAGAAGCAUAUCAGCCUAAAACAAGAAUUUGUAGUAACAAUGGGGAGCAAAGCAAAAGCAACGGGGUCUAGGCUGACUCCUCUUCUUACCACUGUUUUAGUGGUAUUUGUUGCCCUUGGCUUGCCCUUGGAAACUGCAGCUGAUUAUUACAAGUAUUCAUCUCCUCCUCCUCCUCCUUACCAGUAUUCCUCACCACCACCUCCAGUGUAUUCACCUCCACCAACCCCUGUUUAUAAGUUACCCCCACCAUCUCCUCUAGUUUACAAGUCCUCACCACCACCUUACCACUACUCACCACCUCCUGUGUAUUCACCUCCACCAUCACCAAUUUACAAGUCACUGCCACCACCCCCUCCAGUAUACAACUCCCCGCCUCCACCAGUGUACAAAUACAAGUCCCCACCACCACCUUCUCCAAUUUACAAAUCUCCACCGCCACCAGUUUACAAGUACAAGUCACCCCCACCACCUCCUCCGGUAUACAAGUCUCCUCCGCCACCUGUUUACGAGUACAAGUCUCCUCCACCACCUCCUCCAGUGUACAAGUCCCCACCACCUCCAGUUUACAAGUACAAGUCACCACCACCUCCUCCCCCGGUUUACCAAUCUCCUCCACCACCAGUUUACAAAUACAAGUCACCACCACCUCCUCCCCCAGUUUACCAGUCUCCACCUCCACCCUAUCAUCACUACUACGGUUCUCCUCCUCCUCACCACUACUAAGCAAGUGCAUCUAAGUUUUGAGGUAAUAAUACCGAUCCAAAACUUUAUCAACGCAAACUGCCAUGUAUAUCAUGCUAAGGACGUACACUUGAUCCAUGAAAAUGGCUAGUAGAAGAUUUUUUUUAAGAACCAGAGAAAUACAUUAUUUUUUCGCUCUGUUUUCAAGAAUUUGAGCAGUAUACAGAUUAAAGAGUGUUUUUUUUAAACUUGCUUAUCAACUUAGAAAUGCACAUAGCUGAAAGCCAACUGAAUAUUUGCAGGCAAAGGAGAAGGCAAUCGGUGUUUGAGACCUUCAUGAAGAUGUAGAAGAAUAAGAAUAAAAGCCCAAUGCGAGGAUGAUUUCAAGUUUCUACGUUACCAUUUCUACAUCUAAAUUGACUUUAGCUCCUGAGUUCCAUGUCUAUGGGGUUUGUACUGUUUUACGUACCAUGCAGUACAUGCUUGUAAGGUUUUCUGUCCUGUUGGCAAGCCGCAGGUCCAUAUAAUAAAUGAAUACUAUUUAUAUUACGACACUUUUCUCUCUUUCUCUUAUAUUUUGUCUUUAAUAUUGUUGAUCAUUUUUUUUUUUUAUCAAAAGUAUCAAAUGCUUAGGCAAUUUGGUCUAAUGCUAAUUGUUUUACAUUUAUUUUUCACCUACAUCCCUUUUCAACUCAAAGGAUGCUACAGUUUGUGAUCAUUGUUUAAGACCGAAGCAUGGUACUAAUAAAUAUCUCAUUGAAAGUCAAGGAAACUAACAUUAUGAAAAGUGUAAAUCUUGAUUUGUGAAACUAUUUAUUCGUGGAAUUUAGAGAUACAAAACUCAAAUUGUGACGGUGUUGUUGCUAAAUUAUUUUUUUUUUAUAAUAAAACACAGUUCAUUCAAGGAUUACUGGAAAUCGUCCAGCACAAUUGAGAUACAUUGUUGCCCAGGUGGCAGAUAAAUAUGCACUAAAAUUAUAGAUAUGCAAUUUAACAAAUACAUAAGAUUUGAGAAAUUAAGGACAAAUCUAAAAAGGACCAUAAAUUUGAAAAACAUUUCAUCCUAGAAUAAGUCGCUGCAACUCUCUUUGUGCAUGCUGUAAUCGUCAGAUCUACUAAUCAACAGUUGUAAGGUCCAGUAAAGAUGGUGAGAUCUGCCGAGAUUGAUCCAAAUCUGAAAUAUUCCCUCAGAUCUGCUAUCCAAUUGGUUCAAACUCAAUACUGAAAGUGAAAUCUGAUGAGAAGACUGAAAAAAUUGUAGAUCUAACAUAUAGAUCUAAAAAAACUCCAAGAUUUGAAAAAGUAAAGAAACAAAACUAAAUAAAACUCUCAUUAAGAUAGUUUAGGAGAGACUAAAACUCUCAAUAGGACACCCUAGGAGAGAAGAAAACUCUCACUAGGAUAACCUAUGAGAGACUUUAUUGAAUGAAAGGAAAAGCAAAGGACAAAGGAAGAAGAAGGGAGACCUUGGCUUAAGGCCAAGGUCUCCCUCCUAUGGAGGAGGAAGGGUAGAGGAGGAAGCCUAGAGAGAAGGAAGAGAAUCCCUCCGCUAGAGGGAAGGAAGAGCCUCUGAGAGGGUACCCGUGUUGUUGCUAAAUUAUUAAGGACAUUAUCACCAUUACUUUUCCCUUACUAGUUUCAACUGCAAUGAUCUCAAUCUUUUUGUGACUAAUUCUUUUCUUAAUAAUUUAUAAAUACAAAACUCACAAAGAAUAUGUGACUUAUUCUUUCCUUUCGUCUUCUAAAGAAAAUGCCAACUGUUAGUUUAUCAAGGGAAAAAGGAUCGACAUCAGUUGUUAUUGAAACUAGUAAGGAAUAAAUAAUGGUGAUAAUGUCCUUAAUAAUUUAACAACAGCACCAUCAGAAUUUGAGCUUUGUAUCUAUAAAUUCCACGAAUAAAUAGUUUCAUCAAAUCAAGAUUUACACUUUUCAUAAUGUUAAGUUUCCUUGACUUUCAAUGAGAUAUUUAUUAGUAUCAUGCUUCGGUCGUAAACAACGAUCACAAACGAUAGCAUCCUUUGAGUUGAAAAGGGUAGUGAAAAAGAGAAGUAAAAAAUACAAUUAGCAUUCCCUCAAAUUGUAGAAAGUUAGGUAGCAUUAUAGACAAGUUGAUAGCCGUAAUUAUACUAAAAAUCAGGCAAAAGCCAGCAAUUUUACAUUUCAAAAUUCACCUAUUCAAUAACUAAUUCGAUGGCUUGCUACAUGGUCAAAAUUCACCACAUAUCCCUUUCCUCAAUCAGGGGCUUCUACAAUUACCAGUUCCAAUUGUAUGGUAUAGUGUAAAUAUCAACAAAUUAGAUGUAGACACUAAUAUAAUAAAUAUGGAUGCUAAGGCAACAACAUACAAAAACAUAAUAAAUUUUGGCAUUCCUUAAAAAAUUACGUCCCCAAAUCAAUCUCAUACACCCAAUUUCUAAUUUAUUUAACUCAUUCCGUCUAUUAACUGCACCAUACAAUCCAACCUGCAAUUGCAUGAACCCCAAUCUCGCUUCCUAGUCCACCAUUUUUCUCUAGGUAAUAAUCUCCCUUCUAAUUUCUUCACAAAAUGCACCUUUCAUCACCUCCAAUAGCGUCGACAUGAUCUUUACCCUAGAAGACUAUUCACCGACUCCCAAUUGACGUCAGAAAAUCUAAGAGUAAUUCUACUUUACCCUAAGAUUGAUAUCAACUAGACAAUGACAAUUUAGAAUUAUUACACGCCUCUUCUUAAUAGGAAAAAGAAAUAGAGAAGAAAGUCAGGCCAGGUCUAAUUUCUUUUCGAAGGCAAUACAACAUUACGAAAUCAAGCAUUCAUUCAUACAAAUAUUUCAUAGUCACCGGUUUGCUGAGUAGAAAAGUUUAUACAAAAACUUAAUAUUAUAUUGUUUAAGAGUUAACAAUUUAGAGCUUAAUCUCCUUGUACUUUGGACUAAACUCGAACGUGAAAGGAAAUCCCAAAACCAUAUUGGGCAUGAAUUCACACUUAAAUAGACCCAAAAAAAGAUGGCGACUGGUGAAAGGCAGUGGAGACUGGUGGUGAGAUUUGAGGAAUAGAAGCAGACGGAAAAGCCACAAAUUUUUGCCGAAAGAGGGUCACUUUCAUGGUUAAUUUUGCUACUCUCUACUUGUACUUGACCAAUGACAGGUUGUCAGUCUGUGCAAUAAUAAAAACCUGUUCAAACUAAAAGUAAUUUCUGUAGAUAGUGGUAAGCAGGGUCGAAUCCACAGGGAUUAGGUGUAACUGUUUCUUUUCAAAUUCACAAUAACAAAGGGGGUGUUUUUAUGCAGAAUGUGACAAUCAAAGAAAUUCAAUUAAAAGUAAAAUAAUAAAAAUAAAAUAGCCAACUAGAAAUUAAAUAACAAUUUACUAAAAUCAAAUGAGUGAUAAUUAAGGAUCUAGCCAAGGAAUAACUUCAGCAGUGGUUCACCUAAUUGAUCAUUGGAACAAAGGCAAUUCCAAUUAUUUACUAAUAAAUAGGUUAUAACUGCCAAACAAGCGAUGACAGUCAAUCACUCCUUACUGUGUCGGUGAUUAAGGUACGCCCGUUAAUCACUGCCCUAAUUGAGAAAUAAUCUUAGGUACGCCCGUAAGAUUUAAUUUUCCAAUUGCCUUACAUAUUAGAGGAGUGUCAGGAACAAGGAAAUAGAAUGGGACGUCGUUUAAUGCAAAGGGUUGUGCGUUUAAGGCCUUAGAAGCAAUACUACGUCGUUCUAAUAACAUAGGCGGUGCUGGUGUGAUAGGCCAAGUUAGUUGAGGGUCAAUUACAUAAAUAGCCUUCUGUAACAGAUUUUUGGUUAUGUUUUUGAAUGAAAAGUAUCUCGCUGCUUUCUCUCUCUUGUCUGUUAUUUCCCUCCCUUUUCUUCUUUCUCUCUUCCCUCUUCUUAAUCUUGUUUCUUUCUUCUGAUUCUUCCCCCAAAUUCAAUACAAUUCCAGAAAUUAACCUGCAAGUCUGACAUUUGGUAUCAGAGCGGUCGAUUCUUGGCCGCGAAGGUAUCAGAAAUGGCUGAGAGCACGCGAUUCAGGACACUGGAGGAGCAACUCAAGAAGCAGGAGAAUCGGUUGCAAGAACUGGCGGAAUCCAUGGCUGCACUGCAGAGUACGAGUUCCGAGGAGUUGCGGCAUAAGCUACAGGCGGAAAUGGAGCAGAACAAUGCAAAAUUGGACGCGGUGGUGGGAAGUCUGGACCAGAAGUUCAAUAAAAUGGAACAGAGACUCAGUACAGUGUUGAAGCUGCUGAUGAAGGAGAAAGGUCUCCCUGAUGUCGAAGGAGGAAUUUCUGAUCCAAUCUUGCCGACUCCUCCAUCUCAUCUGAGGUUAGCAUCCUCAGUCGAAGGGAUUGGGCACCAACAAGAGUACAGAGGUAGGCAAUUCACUCCUAAUGUACCUCGAUUAGAACUGCCAAUGUUUAACUCUGGAAACCCUAGGGAAUGGACCAGGAAAUGCCAGAAAUAUUUUUUGAACUAUCAGAUAGCAGAGAGUCAAAAGGUAGAGGUAGCAGAGAUGUUUUUGGAAGGUAGAGCUGACAAUUGGUUUCAAGGAGUGAAAUUGGUGAGGCCAGGGUUGUCUUGGGGGGAAUUUAGUGAACUUUUGUGUGAAAGAUUUUCUGGAAGUAGUUCUCGUGACAUUGUGGAGGAAUUUAACAAGUUACAGCAGAAAGGAACUGUUGAGGAAUAUGAGGAGAAAUUUGAAGAACUAAAAGCUCUAAUGCUGAUGAAAACCCCCAGGUUGGAUGAACUUUACUUUGUUUCCAGUUUUAUUAGUGGCCUCAGGGAAGAAAUUAGACCUAUGGUGAAGAUGUUUAAGCCUCAAACACUGAUGAAGGCCUUUGAAGUUGCGGAGUUGCAGGAGUGUUCCCUGGAAAUCCAAUCGAAACAAAACAGAACUUCAAGGAGGACAGCAAUGGAACCCAAGUUUGGAAUGUAUAAGGGCACUACGAGUGAUUAGGGUCGCCAAAAUUCAUAUAAGUUGCCUGGAGUCACUCCUGUCUCCAGGAGGACUAAUGCAGUACACAAGGAAUUUAGUAAGAUAUCAGCGGAGGAAAUGCAGUAUAAGCGUAAGCACAGCCUGUGCUAUAGGUGUGGAGAGAAGUUUGGAAUAGGUCAUCAGUGUAAGAAAGGAAGUCUGAACUGUGUGAGCACUGAGGAAGAGGAGGACACUGAAUUUGAGGAUGCGGAAGGGGAACAGGAUGAGUUAACAGGAAGGGUCGGGGAACUUGCAGAAGUCUCUUUGAAUGCUUUAUCUGGUGCCAUAAGGAGGAAAUCCAUCCUGUUGAUAGGGAACUUAGGGGGGCUUCCAGUCAAAAUUUUGGUGGACACAGGCAGUUCUAACAGCUUCAUUCACCACAGGAUUGUCAACCUACUGCAUCUACCAUAUCAGGCAGUCAGUCCAUUUACUGUGACUCUAGCAGAUGGAACUGACAUUACCAGUGGAGCCAUCAGUCCCAGCGUGUCUUGGUUAAUUCAGGACUAUCAAUUCCAAUUUGACUUAAAAGUAAUGGAAUUAGGGGGAUGGGAUAUAAUUCUGGGGGUGGACUGGAUGUGCCAGUAUAGUCCCAUUACAUUUGAUUUCCACUCUCUUAGCAUUGCCCUUAGUGAUAGGGGUUCUUUACUACACCUCCAAGGACUUGUGAAGCAACCUACUAUGGAACUGGUGAGGGGCAGGGAUCUCAGCUCGUUUAUACAGGAGAAGCAAAGAAACUGUGCAGCCAUGCAUGCUGAUAGGGCCAGGGAAACAGGAGAGCAGCUUCCAAAAGCUAUAGAAAGGAUCCUGGAACAGCACUCUCAGGUUUUCUCCACCCCAACAGGAUUACCCCCAGAGAGGGAAUUGGACCAUCAGAUCAACCUCAAACCAGGAGCUGAACCCUUCAAGCUCAAACCUUACAGGUACCCCCACUCACAUAAAGCAGAAAUUGAAAAAAAAGUUGCUGAGAUGCUCACUAAUGGAAUUGUUAUACAUAGCACAAGCCCCUAUGCCUCCCCUGUAUUGUUAGUAAAGAAAAAGGAUAACUCCUGGAGAUUAUGCAUAGAUUACAGGAAGCUGAACGAGCUGACUAUAAAGGAUAAGUUCCCUAUUCCCAACAUAGAUGAACUAUUGGAUGAAUUACAUGGAACCAGAUACAUGUCCAAACUGGAUCUCAGAGCUGGUUACCAUCAGUUGAGGGUGAAAGCUGUUGAUACCCCUAAGACUGCCUUCCAGACACACCAUGGCCACUUUGAAUUCUUAGUGAUGCCUUUUGGACUCACAAACGCGCCAGCUACAUUUCAGUCCUUGAUGAACAGAAUAUUUCAGCCAUAUCUCAGAAAGUUUGUCCUAGUCUUCUUUGACUACAUAUUAGUGUACAGCCCCACACUAGAGAUGCAUGCACAGCAUCUACAGAUUGUGCUCAAUAUUUUAGAAGAAAAUCAGCUGUAUUACAAGAGGUCAAAGUGCUCUUUUGCCCAGUCCUCAAUUGAAUACUUGGGGCACGUGAUCUCAGAGGCAGGAGUGAGUAUGGAUGUGGCUAAGGUGGAGUGUAUCAAGUCCUGGUCUGUUCCUAGUACAGUCAAGGAGCUGAGAGGGUUUUUGGGAUUAAUUGGUUACUACAGGAGAUUCAUUAAAGGCUAUGGAGUGAUUAGCAAACCCUUGACUGUAUUGUUGAAAAAGGAAGGUUUUGCAUGGAACCAUGAAGCUCAAAUGGCCUUUGAAGAUUUGAAAAAGGUUAUGACCACAGCCCCAGUGCUGAGCAUGCCUAAUUUCGAACUUCCUUUUGUCAUAGAGACUGAUGCCUGUGGAAUAGGUAUUGGAGCAGUGUUGAUGCAGCAAGGACAUCCUAUUGCUUUCCUUAGCAAGGCAUUAUCAGUUCAGAAUUUGGGGUUAUCAGUCUAUGAAAAAGAGCUUUUUGCCUUAGUGCUAGCUGUAACUAAGUGGAGGCAUUACCUGGUGGGUCAUCACUUCAUUAUCAGGACAGAUCACCAAGCUCUCAAACAUUUGAUAGAGCAAAGGCUUACUCAUCCACUCCAGCACAAGUGGCUAACUAAGCUACUUGGUUUGGACUAUGAAAUACAGUAUAAAAAGGGUGCAGACAAUGGGGUGGCAGACGCCCUCUCCAGGAGAAGGAUUGAGGGAAACACUGUUGACUGUGGAGAGACUGGGCAUCAGACCUGCGCCAUAACCUCAGCUCAGCCUAGUUGGAUGCAGGAAAUGCUAGAAAGCUACAUUGGAGAUGCAGAGGCUCAACAGAAGUUAUCUGAGCUAUUGCUGGAUCCCAAUGCAGAUCCAGAUUAUCAGUUAAAGAAUGGGAUGCUCAAGUUUAAAGGGCGGCUGUACAUAGGAUCUGCUAACAACAUUAGGACCAAGGUGGUCAGAGCAUUGCAUGACUCAGCCCUUGGGGGGCACUCAGGUCCUGGAAUCCGUAAGGAUGUCCUUCAAUAUGUGAGAUCUUGUGAUGUGUGUCAAAGGAACAAACAUGAAAAUGUUCCUUAUCCUGGGUUGCUGCAACCAAUUCCUGUACCUCAGCAGGCUUGGUCACACCUCACCAUGGAUUUUAUUGAGCAACUACCCCCAUCCCAUGGAUUUGAUACCAUUUUGGUGGUGGUGGAUAGGUUAACCAAGUUCAGCCACUUCAUUCGACUCACUCACCCUUUUUCUGCACAGCAGGUAGCACAGCUUUUCCUUGACAACAUAUACAAGCUGCAUGGACUUCCUGAGACCAUUAUAACUGACAGGGACAUAAUCUUUCUUAGUAAGUUUUGGCAAGAGUUAUUUGGUAUGGUAGGGGUAAAGCUGCACUACAGUUCAUCGUAUCACCCUCAAUCAGAUGGUCAAAGUGAAAGGGUCAAUCAGUGUUUGGAAAACUAUCUCAGGUGUAUGUGCAGUGAGCAUCCUUCUCACUGGAGCAGUUGGCUUCCUACAGCUGAGUUAUGGUACAACACUAACUUCCAUACUAGCUUGCAGGUGACACCAUUCGAAGCACUAUACGGGUAUAAACCAAAUCACCUUCCCUUAGGACCUUUUCAUGAUAGCCUGGUACCUGCUGCUGGUAACAUGGUGCAGACUAGGCUCCAAAUUCUAUCCCUCAUCAAAGAGAAUCUAGCCACCGCCCAGAAUCGAAUGAAAAUGUUUACUGAUAAGCACAGGACUGAACGUGUCUUCCAAGUGGGGGAUUGGGUAUUUCUCAAGCUGCAACCUUACAGGCAACAAUCAGUGGCCUUACGGAAGAAUUUGAAGUUGGCUGCCAAAUACUUUGGACCUUUCCAGAUCCUUGCGAGAGUAGGGGAAGUCGCCUACAGACUUAAGUUGCCAGAGGGAGCUCGAGUUCAUUCCGUGUUCCAUGUGUCCUUACUUAAAAGGAAAGUGGGAGUUACACAGCAGGUAAAGCCCAGCUUGCCAGAAGUAGACGCAUCAGACCAAUGUUUGCUGAAGCCAGAGAAGAUUCUCCAGAGGCGUGUUAUCAUACGAGCUGCCAAACCAAUCAUCCAGUACCUGGUGAAGUGGAACAACUUACCAGAAUCCGAAGCAUCAUGGGAGGAUAAAAGCUUCAUUGACAGACAAUUUCCGGAAUUUCAAGCUUGAGGACAAGCUUUGCUUAAGGGGAAGAGAUUGUCAGGAACAAGGAAAUAGAAUGGGACGUCGUUUAAUGCAAAGGGUUGUGCGUUUAAGGCCUUAGAAGCAAUACUACGUCAUUCUAAUAACAUAGGCGGUGCUGGUGUGAUAGGCCAAGUUAGUUGAGGGUCAAUUACAUAAAUAGCCUUCUGUAACAGAUUUUUGGUUAUGUUUUUGAAUGAAAAGUAUCUCGCUGCUUUCUCUCUCUUGUCUGUUAUUUCCCUCCCUUUUCUUCUUUCUCUCUUCCCUCUUCUUAAUCUUGUUUCUUUCUUCUGAUUCUUCCCCCAAAUUCAAUACAAUUCCAGAAAUUAACCUGCAGAUCUGACAAGGAGCCCUAUUCUAACCAAAUAACACACUACCAGGGUUAUUUUAGGUUAGCCCGCGUAUUCCCCUGACAUGAAUCCAAUCAUGCCAGUUAUCACUAUUUUGAAACAAUUAAACAAUUACGGAUUUAACGUCCCAAUUGACAAUAGAUUAUCAAAUUAACUAAUUAUCCGGAUCCAAAACAAUCAAUUAAUUAAAUAAUCAUAAGCACUGUAAUCAGGGAAUAUUUGAAUACCAAUAAAUAAAAAGAAAGGACAAAAUUAAAUCGAUUUCACAAUUUUUAAACGAACCACAACCUCAGUUGUUCCUCGGCUAGAUUGAGAAAAUUAGCUCAUGUUCGAUGCGAAAAAUCCACAAGAAAUUGUUAAGAGAGCCGCGGCCAUUGUCCCUUGAAAUUGGGGAAAUUCAAUUCGGUUGAACUACGAAAGAAAAGUAAGCUACAGAGAGUUGCCGAUUGGGUUUUGCUUGUCCCUAACAUGCGAGGGAGCAAAGCCACGAAAGGACGACAAAGGUCAAAAAGAAAGGCUACAGAGCAUGUUCCAGGUCUUUUUGUGCUCUCCACAUCCGAGCCAACGAAAAGAAAUAAAAAACUACCAGGAGCUAAAGGAAAACCGCAAGAAAAGUCAAAGGCUAAAAAAACUUCCUAGUGCUUGUUCUCUGCUUAUCUCUUUAUCUAAUUCUAAGUCCCCGAUUUUUUGCUCCGUGCGGCGGCUCCCCCGGAGAGAAAGGAUUGCAUCCGCUGCCCUCUUCCACCAAUUACCAAAAUGGGCACACCGCUUCUUUUUCAAAAAUGCUCCUGGAUAAACUCUAUCAUCUGGACUUUUUUUCUGUCAAAUUGACAUUUAUUAUUAUAUUUUCGUUCUACUCCCUGAAAUAAAUGUAAAAUAUUAAAAAUGAGUAGAAUCCGACAAUUAAUUCACAUCAGGUCAGAUAAUAAAGAAAAUUAAUAAUAAAAUAAAUAAAUAAAUUGCAACCUAUCAACCAAAUACAACAAUUUCAUGGAGUUUGAUACACAAGCCCAAAUACACGAGAGUGUGUAACCUGAAUUGUUACUUAUACAUUAGUGUGUAAUAGAACGGCAAGCAUUAUGGUGGUCAUUGAGCAACUUGUAGGAGAAAUAGUCCUAUAAGCUGUUCAAUGACCAAUCACAACUUGCUAAUUGGAUGACUAAUAUAGCUCUAGCUGUAAUGUUUUAAUUAAAUUCCAUCACUAACGUUGGGAUGACUUUUUAAUCAAAAAAAAAAAAGCCUUAGUUCAAGCUUUUCCCCUUAUUGUGCAUUUUUUAAAACAUUUGAUAGGCACUGCAAAUCUGUCAUUUUGGACAUUUUAUUAUUAACUAACAAUGAAAGCCGUGGACAUCAACCCAUAUCCAACAAAAUAUUAAAUUAAUAUUAGAAAAAAUUAUUAAGUAAUUGGAAAAAAAAAGAAGAGGCUAAUUUUCAUUGAAACCCACCGACAAACUAUACGCUGCUUUCAAUCAGUUUUAACACGGGAAAAAGAAAAGGCAUGAAAAGCAAAAUUUGUGGGGAUAAUUUCGGAAACCUCCCAUGAAGUUUUUGACUAUUUUACUGGCCUCCCUUCAGAUUUUAAAAAUUGGACUAAUCUUCCUUAAAGUUAAUUAUCUUGUAACAUUUAGAUCCGAUCAAUAAUUUAAAAAAUAAUAUUAUGAGAGAGAAAAUAAUAUGAUUUUAUUAUUGCCCCCAUCUCACCACAUUAUUUAAUUAAUUUAAUAGCAACCCACACAUUAAAGAAAAUGACAGGUCGUCAACCUGUGCAAUAAUAAAAUUAAACCUAAUUGCCAGUUAAAAUGACCAAAACCCAAUUCCAAGUACUGGAGCAGGGACUCUAGGUGUGCAAUGGGUUACUUGAUUCACCCUGUUCCCGAAGAGUUUGCUUGAUCCGAUAUACCCGAAUGGAAUGGUUAUUCCUUUUCACAAAUGAUUAGGAAUUUGUAGACAGGGCAAGUAGGGUCGUAUCCACAGAGACUGGGUAUAUUUGUUUCUUAAGAAAUCCAAAGUAACACAGGGGGUGAUUUUGUAGGAACGACGAUAAUUAAAUAAAUUCAAAUGAGAAAGUAAAAAUAAAUAAUUAACUAGAAAUUAAACCACAAUUUACUGAACUCAGGAUAACAAUAGUUAAAGGCCUCAAUUAAUUAAAAUAAGGAAACAAUCAAAAAUAAAAUAAAGUAGGUAAUUAAAAGUCAAAUGGCAAUCCACUACAAUCAAGGAAAUAUUAACUAAAGAUCUAGCCAAGAAAUAACUUCAGCAAUGGUUCACCUAAUCGAUCAUUGAUGCAAAGCAAUCCCAAUUAUUUACUAAUAAAUAGGUUAUAACUACCAAACAAGCGAUGGCAGUCAACCCCUCCUUACUGUGUCGGUGAUCAAGGUACGCCCGUUAAUCACUGCUCUAAUUGAGAAAUAAUCCUAGGUACGCCCGUAGAAUUUAAUUCCCCAACUGCCUUACGUAUUAGAGGAGCCCUAUUCUACCCAAAUAACACACUACCAGGGUUAUUUUAGAUUAGCCCGCGUAUCCCCCUGACACGAAUCUAAUCGUGCCAGUUGUCACUAAUUUGAGGUAAUUAAACAAUUACGGAUUCAAUACCCCAAUUGACAAUAGAUUAUCAAACCAAUGAAUUAUCCGGAUCCAAGACAAUCAACUAAUUAAAUAAUCAUAAGCACUGCAACCAAGGAAUAUGCGAAUACCAAUAAAUAAAGGAAAAGAUAAAAUUAAAUCGAUCUCACAAUUUACAGGUGACCCAAAGCAUCAGUCGUUUCUUGACUAGAACGAGGGGGUUAGCUCAUAUUGGAUGAACUAAGCCCGCGGGAAAUUCCAGCAAAAGUCACGGCCGUUGUAUGCAUUUCAAGAGCCGCAAUUCGUCAAACACUUGGAAAGCGAAUGUAAGGCACGGGUAACAAUUGAAACUUUCUAAUUGUUCCUAGCAUUCGUAAAGCAAAUUCACUCCAGAAGUACAGUGAGGAAAAGUCAAAGAAAGUGGGCUUCAAUUCCUUGCUCCUGACAUGCGUGGAGACAAGCCAAUGCAAGACUACAAUAAACUAACAAGGAAAAGUCAAGAAUUGGAGCUAAGCUCCCCUGCCAUGCGCAGGAAUCCCAAAAGUAAAAAGUAAAGCUUCAAAGAAAAGUCAACAAUUCUUCCUAAGCUACAGACGGAAGAUCCAGCACAAAAGCCAGCUCCCUUUUUGAUCCCUUUUUCCCCCUUCUUAUUGCGGCGGCUCACCAGGAGAGGAGAGCCCUCCGUCCGUCCUUUCUUCCGGAAAUUACCAAAAUGGGCAUGACAUCUUCUCUUCCAAAAGUGCCCCUGGGACAAGCUUUCUCAUCUGAAUUCUUUUUUUUUCCAAUUUGGCACCUGUUAUCAUAUUUAUAUUCUACUCCCUGAAAUAAACGUCAAAUACUAAAAGUGAGUAGAAUCCAGCAAAUAAAUCCACAUCAAGUCAGGUAAUAGGAGGAAUUAAUAAUAAAAUAAAUGAAUAAAUUGCACCCUAUCAAUUCCCUCCACACCUAAACCAUGCUUGUCCUCAAGCAUAAGAAAAGUAAACGAACACCAAAAUUCGACGAUAGCCAUUGCCCAAUCUCCUAUAUUGCCAAGACAUUCAAGAGAAAAACACAUAUCGAGCAUUGGUGAUUAGAAUCCCAGAAGCAUCCCCCCGGUUAGCCUCUAACCCCCAGAUUCCUUCAAUUUCCAACUUAACUACUCUAAGAAAGAGGAAUGGCACACAACAUUUAUCAGCUAGUGGUCCGAAUAUUCACACAAGUCUUCAUAUCCAAUCCAUAAACCGGCAAGCUUCCCUAUUAUUUAGUCUCUCUUUUUUUCCGUUUUUUUUCAUUUUCAUUCUUCCCCUCUUUUUUUUUUUUUUUUAAAGCAGUAGCAAUCAACACAAAAGACUUAGUCGUUAGCCGUCAGGGCCUUUUGAUGCGAACUCCAACAUUUUUAGAAGGAGGAGCCCGGUUACUCAGCUCCUACCGCUAUACGACCACGCACUCAUAUAAAAUACCACCUUUUGACGCGAGAAUCGACACUUUUAGGUGCCGAUCCCCGGUUACUCAGUAGUAACUUAAUAGCGGAGCACAGUCAAGCUUAUUCUCAGCCAAACAAUGCACAAACGCAAAAUAACAGCACUAACAAUCAAACAUAGGAGCAGCUCGCCUCAUUAUUGUCAAACAUGGAGAACUGGAGUCAAUAUUGGACCAGUUCACAUUAAAAGGCCAUAUUCAUUCCCUACGCCUAGAAAAGUUAACAAAGAAAUCGAAAGAGUCAAACAGUUAAAUAUUCACCAAGGGGAUAUUCAGGACCCAACCACACUAACCCGAUACAUUUUGUAUUUUAAAAACUUGGCAAAAGUAGAUUUGGAGUCAAUGAGUCCACAUCUCAAUUUUAGCCUUCACAUGAAAGGCAAUCACCAAGAAGAAAGAACGGAAAAAUAAGCAACUAGAAAUGAGACUACGAAAAACUACUAAAACUAAAAACUCACUUUUUUUCUUUUUCUCUUUUUUUUUCUUUUUGAAUUUUUUUUUCAUUUUUAUUUUUUUUUAUUUUUUUUAUUUUUUAAACAUUAACUAUAAACAUUAACUACUAAAAACUAAAAACUAAAACUACUAAAAACUAAAAACACUAAAAACUGCUAAAAUGAAAAGCUGAAAACUGAAAACUACUAAAAACGGAGCACACUAGCAUAACUUUAGAUCCCCCCCACACCUAUAGGACACAUUGUCCUCAAUGUGACAAAUAAGAACCAAAAGUGAAGCACAAGUGAGAGGGGAAUCAGCCAAACUUCCCUGAAAUCGGGUCACAGCGGAGGGCGAGGUGGAAAUGGAGGUGCAAAGCCUGUAUGCAUCAGGAACUGUGCCAAAUUCUGUGCUAUGCCGGCGACAUUGGCGUCGACGUUGGUCAUCCGGGCCUGCAAAUCCUGAACCAGCUCCCUGAGAUGCUGCCAAUCAUCGGUCCCAGGUGGUGGAGGUGGCGCAGAAGUAGAGGUAGACGGCCCAGCAGUGUCCGCGGCCGACCCAGGGAAUGAAGAUGGCCCUGCCCGGGCCGAAUGGUGUGCACCCGGGGCUCGAGGUGGUCCCGGACGGGUAAACUGGUGAAAACCAUCUGGCAGACGCUCGACGACCCCCAUUUUCUCUAAGCAAACUACGUCCAAGUGCUCCAUCUCAAAUGCCAAAUGGAGGUCGUGGUCAUCCAGGUUAAGAACUCCCAACUGGGUCGCCAAGUGAGUGAUGUAGGACCCAAGGAUCAGUGGUUUGUUCUUCUUGGUCAAGACCGUCUUGAACUGUGCGGCCAACCAACAUCCCAAGUUCACCUUGAUAUUGUUCUUCAUACUCCAGAGAAAGAAGAAUUCGGGCCGAGAGAGUAUACCGGAGCUGUCCUUGCGCCCCGAGUAGCUAUAAGCUAAGAAUCGCUGAACAUAGCGGGCGCUAGGGUCCUUAAGAAAGGAGCUCCUGGACCGGGAAGGAUCGUAGCGUUGCCUAUCGACGGACAUGUCCUCCCAUACAUCAUGGUAGUGGGAGAGGAAAGGCUCUACGUAGUCACAGGCACUCUCCGCAUACUCCCUAGUCUCAGCAUACUCUCUAGUGAUAAACCCAAAUGCCAGAUUGAAUUGAGUAAUGGAGAAAUUGAAUUCUCGACCCAUGAGCCGGAAAUGAAUGACAUUCGGUGUUUCACCCGUGUAUCUCGUAGGUAAUUCGAACUCAAAGGUGGAGUAAAACUCCCGGAUCAGCUCAACAAAAGCGGGACAAGAAAUAUGGAAAUAUGGGCGCCACCCAAUGGCUGUGAACAUUUGCUCAACCUCCUCCCGUAUACCCAGGGCAGUUAGAGAGAGUCUAUGACAAGACUUACAGGAUAUUAUACGCCUCUCGCAGACCUUAGCGUACCUCUGCCGAUCGGCGGGUCUGGUAAAUGUUAAGUGCCCCCCAAAAUGAACAGGUGCAUCUACCUGAGCACCCCUAUCCCUACCCAAACGGGUUCGAACACUAGAAGAGGAGGGUAGGUUGGUAGGUGAGUUGACAGGAAUAGAGGCUUGUGGAGGGGGUUGAGACUGAGAGGUCCUAGACCUAGAGGAGGAUUUCGGUCUCACCAUUCCCCCCAAAGUAAGUUCAAGGCAACAGAAAAUCCGACAAGUAUAGAAACCAGCAAUUGACAAAGCAAAAAUCUCCCAGUAGUAACCCAGCCAAUAGCAAACAAAAGAGUUCCAGCAAGUAAUCAACAAGCAAUUCAGAAAUAUCUCAACUAAAAUCUCAAGAGAAACCCCAGCGAGUUAUCCAGCAAUUCAAGCAAUAUCCCCAAGCAAUGUGGUGGUCAAAAUGUCAUCUCCAAAUUGAACAAAUAAUCAGAGCAUUGCAACACAUUGAAAAUCUCAAUAAACGGCUCCAGUUGGCCAAGAAAAAUUGCUAACUCAUACUCAGCAAUAGUAGUGCAGCAAAGGGACAGUAACCACGCAAUAAAAACACUUAGCUUGCACUCAAAUGGUCACCCCAAAUAACAACCCAGUAUGAAACCCGCAGGCAGAGUAUUCCUCAAACCGUUAGCCUAAACCCAGUCAACAACCACGGCCAGAAAUAACCCCAUAAAUAGUGCAAUGAGUAAUCCCCAGCAACAUAAUCAGGUGUAAUCAACUGGAGCAAGCAAUUUACAUGGCAUAGAAACCUCCCAAUCAAACAAGUGCAUUAUUCUAGCGCACCCCAAAAUUCCAAGAAAUGGCUCCAGUUGGCCAAUUAAUUUCACAAUGUCACCCAACUCAGGAGAAAUAGCAAUUCCACACAAAAAUAGUCAAACCAGUACCACUGGCGAAAAAUCUUUCAAAUAUGCACAAUUUGCUACCAAAUAUCACCGGCUAACACUGAAAAAUUGAGGGCAAGUGUCAAAUACCUCCACAGGGACUACCCCAGGCGGCAGACAGAGAAGCGGCGUUGAAGCUGGUGGUCGAGCGGGGCGGCGCUCGCGUCGGCGUGCGCAGCGGCGACGGCGCGCGAGGAUGGAGUUUCGGGAGGUUGCGUGCGGGCUUGGCUGAAGACGCGGCGCGCGCUAGGGCUUCGCUGCGGCAGGCGUGCAGCAGGGGAGAAGAAAGAAAAGAGAAAGAAAGAAAGAAAAAGAAAGGAAAGAAAGAACAGAAAAGAAGGAAAAGAAAAAGGAAUUUUUCUUUUUUUUCUUUUUCUUUAGGCUACGGUUUAGAGGACAAAUUUUUCUUCUUCUUGUUUUCUACUUUUUUAUUUUUUUAUUUUUUAGUUUUUAAUUUAUUACUAUUAUUAUCAUAUUUAAUUGAGGAAAAAAAAUGUUUUUUUUUAAAUCCCUACCUUUCCCACGAACGUGACGCGGGCACGUCAAGAGGGCAAGAGAGCUCCCAGAAGUUUCAGAAUUUUCUGAUCGUAAGCGUCCUGCACAUCACCACGCGGGCACGUCAUGAGGACAGGAGAGCUCCCAGAAGUUCAGAAUUUUCUGAUCGUGAGCGCCCUGCACGUCACCACGCGGGCACGUCAUGAGGCCAGGAGAGCUCCCAGAAGUUUGAAGUUUCUGAUUCCUGCCCGUCAUCACGCGGGCGCGUCAUGACUGAAGGUCACCUACAAAUCAGCAAAAACGAAAACUAACACCCAAAAUCAGUCAAAUUCAGGGAAAGCAGAUUUAAACUAUGCUACAAAACCAACAAACAAUUAAAAGAAAUAAUUAGGUUGCCUCCCAAUGAGCGCCUUUCUUUAAUGUCUUUGGCUAGACAUGGUAAAGUGUCACUGAUUAGGACACGGUGGUGCGUCAAGCCUUAUUGUCUCCACCUCUCUACCUGAAAAUCCUUCGUAAUAAUAUUUGAGACGGUGUCCAUUCACCACAAAUUUGUUGUCUGUCUUAGCACUCUGGAUCUCAACUGCACCAUAGGGAAAAACAUGAGUAACAAUGAAAGGUCCAAUCCAACGGGAACGUAGCUUACCUGGGAAUAGCUUGAGCCUGGAUUGGUACAGGAGGACCUUCUGACCAACUUCAAAUGUUUUUCUUGAAAUUUGUUGGUCAUGAAAUGCCCGGCUUUUCUCCUUAUAUAUCAAGGCGUUUUCGUAUGCUUCGUUCCGGAUCUCCUCCAAUUCUUGCAAAUCCAACUUCCGUUGAGCACCGGCCUCCUCUAAAUUCAUAUUGCAGUGCUUUAUCGCCCAAAAAGCCUUGUGCUCGAACUCCACUGGAAGGUGACACGGCUUCCCAAAUACCAACCUGUACGGUGACAUCCCAAUAGGAGUCUUGUACGCCGUCCGAUAGGCCCAGAGUGCGUCUUCCAACCUUUGGCUCCAGUCUUUUCUAUCAGGGCGCACCAUUUUCUCUAAAAUGGACUUAAUCUCCCGAUUCGACACCUCCGCUUGACCAUUGGUCUGAGGGUGGUAUGACGUUGAGACCCUGUGGAGUACACCAUACUUGCGAAACAACGCAGCUAUGGUUUUGUUGCAAAAGUACGUUCCCCUAUCACUGACAAUAGCUCUAGGCAUUCCAAACCGCACAAAGAUAUUAGACCUGAUAAAAUCUGCAACUACUCUCGAAUCAUUAGUUCGAGUGGCCUUAGCCUCCACCCAUUUAGACACAUAAUCAACUGCCAGCAAAAUAUAUAAAAAACCAAAUGAAGUAGGAAAAGGCCCCAUGAAAUCUAUACCCCAGACAUCAAAAAUUUCAACAAAAAUCAACGGGACCUGGGGCAUUUGAUCUCUACGGGCUAUAUUACCUACCAUUUGACAGCGAUCACAUGACUUACAAAACACAUAGGCAUCUCUAAACAAUGAAGGCCAAUAAAAUCCACUUUCUAAAACCUUAUGAGCAGUUCUCUUAGGUCCAAAAUGACCUCCACAGGCAAAAGUAUGACAAAAAGCUAAAAUUGAUUGAAAUUCCAUUUCACUUACACAUCUCCUCAUCACUUGAUCGGCACACCUCUUCCAUAGGUACGGGUCAUCCCAGAUAAAAUACUUGGCAUCGCUCUUCAAUUUAUCCCUCUUCGAUUUCGGCCAACCUGCAGGAAAAUUACCAGUUACCAAAUAAUUGACCAAAUCAGCAUACCAAGGCAACUGAGAAUUUAAGAAAAAUAGGUAUUCUUCGGGGAAUGCAUCCUUCAAUGGCUCGCUAUCCUCUUCAACUAGUAUGCGACUCAAAUGGUCCGCUACUAGAUUUUCUGAGCCUUUUUUGUCCCUUAUCUCCAAGUCAAAUUCCUGUAGGAGCAGUAUCCACCGUAUGAGCCUCGGUUUUGCAUCUUUCUUGGUCAUCAGGUACCUCAAUGCUGCAUGAUCAGAAAAUACAAUCACUUUAGCACCUAACAAGUAUGACCUAAAUUUUUCCAAAGCAAAAAUAACUGCCAGAAGCUCCUUCUCAGUGGUGGAAUAAUUCAACUGGGCUCCAUUCAAGGCCCGGGAUGCGUAAUAGAUGACAUGAGCCGCCUUGCCUAUUCUUUGCCCCAGUACAGCCCCAACAGCGUGAUCACUGGCAUCGCACAUGAUCUCAAAUGGCAAAUUCCAAUCGGGGGGUUGGAUGAUUGGGGGUGAAGUCAGCAAUUCCUUCAGCUUGUUAAAGGCUCUCUCACACUUAUCAUCAAAUUCGAAGGCUACAUCUUUUUGUAGGAGUUGGAACAACGGGGCUCCAAUCUUUGAAAAAUCCUUGAUGAACCUUCGAUAAAAACCUGCAUGUCCAAGAAAAGAGCGCACCUCCCGCACACUCGCGGGGUAAGGUAAUGCAGAAAUAAUGUCUAUUUUAGCCUUGUCAACUUCUAUGCCCUUAGACGAUACAAUAUGACCCAGGACUAUUCCGUGCUCAACCAUAAAAUGACAUUUUUCCCAAUUAAGCACAAGAUUAGUCUCUAUACACCUGAUCAGGAUUAAUUUCAGGUUAUCUAGACAAGUAUCAAAACUAUCACCAUACACACUGAAAUCAUCCAUGAAAACUUCUAUUAUUUUCUCAACAUACUCGGAAAAGAUGCUUACCAUACAUCUUUGGAAAGUCGCAGGUGCAUUGCACAACCCAAAUGGCAUUCGUCUGUAGGCAAAGGUCCCGAACGGGCACGUGAAGGUUGUCUUCUCUUGAUCCUCCGGGGCAAUUGCUAUCUGAAAGUAUCCUGAAAAUCCAUCCAAAAAGCAAUAAUAAGCCCUACCAGCUAAACGUUCAACCAUUUGGUCAAUGAAAGGGAGAGGGAAAUGGUCCUUUUUGGUGACGGCGUUUAGCCUACGGUAAUCUAUACAUUGCCUCCAUCCAGUGGGUUUGCGCACUGGCACGAGCUCACCAGUUUGGUUGGCCUCUACCGUCACUCCUGCAUUCUUUGGGACUACCUGGACCGGACUCACCCAAGGGCUAUCAGAUAUUGCAAAAAUGAUGCCCACAUCUAGCAAUUUUAGAAUCUCUUUCUUUACGACUUCCAUCAUGAGGGGAUUGAGCCUUCUUUGAGCCUGCCUAACAGGUUUGGCAUCGUCUUCCAGCCUAAUCCGGUGCAUACAAAUGGCCGGGCUGAUCCCCUUAAUGUCUGCGAUUGUCCAGCCUAUUGCCUCUUUAUGCUCCCGAAGGACCCGGAUCAAUUUCUCUUCCUGGGUCUUUGACAGUGCCGAUGAGAUAAUCACUGGGAGUGUCUCAUUAUCACCUAGGUAUGCGUAUUUCAGGUGCUCUGGUAGAGGUUUCAACUCCAGUACAGGUGCCUGCACCACAGAUGGCAAUACCCUCUGGUGAGCCUUGGGAGUAAAAAUAGGUAAGACUUCAUACCUUUUCGUGGUGGUCUGCAACGAGUGUAAUGCACCUAUUGUGCAUUUUAAAUCCUCGCUCCACUCCACCUCAGGAGUUGUCUCCAACUCGAGGUGCUUGGUUAAAGCCACCUCCAGCUCAUCCCUGCCAUCAGUUUCAAACACUUCCUGCACUACAGGGUCAAUAGCACUCACAGAAAAAACUGAGCUAAAGUUGGAGUUAGAGGGGUACUUCAUAGUAUCAAAAAUAUUAAAAUGCACAAUUUACCCAUCAAACUCCAUGGACAAGGUACCCUUAUUAACAUCAAUUUUCGUCUGCGCAGUGCUCAUAAAAGGUCUACCCAAUAACAAAGGUGAGGGAUCAGGGGAGUGAUCAUCAUCCAUAUCUAGUACAUAAAAAUCAGCUGGAAACACCAAAUCAUUAACCUUUACCAACACAUCUUCAAUCAACCCAUCAGGAUAUGCAUUAGUUCGGUCAGCUAAUUGAAUAAUUAUUCCAGUUUCUUUUAAUGGACCUAGUUUCAAAGAAGCAUAGAUAGAUUUAGGCAUGACAUUAAUUGAUGCUCCCAGAUCCAGCAUGGCCCUUCUGAUCACAGUAUUACCUAUCUUACAGGGAAUAGUAAACAUACCUGGGUCCCCGCACUUUGGUGGGAGCUUUCUCUGCAGGACCGCAGACACAUUUUCUCCAACUAUGACCCGUUCAUCUCCCCUCAACCGCCUUCGGUUGACACACAAGUCCCUUAGGAACUUGGCAUAUUUUGGUACUUGUUUGAUGGCGUCUAAGAGGGGGAUAUUUAUCUCAACCUUGCGAAAAACCUCCAAGAUCUCCUUCUCCUUAUCCUGCUUCUUCGAUUUUUCCAACCUGCUAGGAAAAGGAGGCGGGUUAGUUUUAACUGUAAUUAUUGGGUCAGGAAGUACCUCUGGAUCUGCACCAUUGCUGUCCUCCCUUUCGAGCUCAUUUUCGAUCUUCUCUUCAUCCUUGUCCUUGGGAAUCACAGGUUCAGGCCCCUGAAUUUCUUUCCCACUCCUUAGGAUCAUUGCGCUCACGUUCUUCGGAUUCAACUCCGGUUGAGAUGGCAGCUUCCCUUGGUUCUGGGACUCCCAACGGUUCAUUCUGGUGGCCAAUUGACCUAUCUGAUUCCUUAUGUCCUGCAUUUCGGAGUCCGUCUUUUGCUGAUUUUGCAUAAUAGCUGCCUCCGUCCUUUGCUGAUUCUGCGCCAUGGUUGUCAUCAUUUGUUUCAGCAUCUCAUCCGUAGAUGAACCAGAUUGAGGGAGCGGAGGUGGUCGGGGUUGGUAUUGCUGCUGGUACCCUGGUGGCUUAUUUGGCACAAAGUUAGACUGCCUGUUUGGCGUGAAGUUGGAUUGCCUAUUUCCACCAUAACUGAGGUUGGGAUGAUCUCUCCACCCGGGGUUGUAGGUGCUUGAGUAAGGGUCGUACUGCUUCCUUGGCGCGGGCGCGUGGUCAGCCAUGUUCACCUGUUCCGCAGUUUCUUCCUGAAUCAUUGGGCACAUGUCUGCAGAGUGACCUAUACCAGUGCAAAUCCCGCAUACCCUGGCUUGUGAUGCAUUUCUCACAGCCUAUUGCCUAACGAACGCAGUCAACUCAUUUAGCUGCUGCUGCACAGAGGGUGUCUCUAUCUCAUUCACCCUACGUAUUGGGACAUCCUAUCUUGUACUGAAUUGCUGUGAAUUCUCUGCCAUCCCCUCUAUUAACUCCCGUGCUUCCUGAGGGGUUUUGUUCACCAGUGCCCCUCCACUUGCAGCAUCAAUGAUGCUCCUGUCUCUAAAAAUGAGCCCCUCAUAGAAAUAUUGUAUGAUCAACUGCUCACUUAUUUGGUGAUGGGGGCACCUGCGCAACAAGCUCUUAUACCGUUCCCAAUACUCGUAAAGUGACUCCUCGGGAUGCUGCUUGAUCCCACAAAUUUCUUUCCUUAGACUCGCAGCCCUGGACGCAGGAAAAUAUUUAUCCAGAAAUUUUUUCUUCAAUUGGUCCCACGUGGUGAUGCUACCUGGUGACAGGUAGUACAGCCAGUCCUUCGCAGAAUCUUUCAAGGAGAAGGGGAAUGCCCUCAUUUUUAUCUGCUCUUCUGUGAUUCCCGGGGGUUUCAUACUGUUGCAAACGACAUCAAACUCCUGCAGAUGCUUAUACGGCUCUUCACCUGGUAAACCAUGAAAAGAGAGUAAAAGCUGAAUCAGACCAGAUUUUAGUUCAAAUGGAAUGUUGUCAUUUAAAGCUGGGAAAGUAAUGCAUAACGGCUGCUGAGUUAAAUCAGGAGCAGCCAACUCCCUUAAUGUUUAUGCAUUAGCCAUGGUGCCUUCCUGCUGGUCAGAGUCACUCGAAGUGUUACCAAACGAAUCUGUUGGUUCAACUUCUGACUCGGGUCUUUGAGAUGUAGCACUAGAGUGCUCUUCUCUGAGCUGUCUGGUUUCCUUUCUCGUUCUACGCGCGGUCUUCUCUACCUCAGGAUCAAAAACCAAAUCACCUGUGCGACAAGAUCGAGGCAUACACUAGAAGAAAACCAGAAAAUUAGGACAAAAUUGAAUUUAAGAAGAAACAAAUAAUAACGCCAGUCCCCGGCAACGGCGCCAAAAAUUGACAGGUCGUCAACCUGUGCAAUAAUAAAAUUAAACCUAAUUGCCAGUUAAAAUGACCAAAACCCAAUUCCAAGUACUGGAGCAGGGACUCUAGGUGUGCAAUGGGUUACUUGAUUCACCCUGUUCCCGAAGAGUUUGCUUGAUCCGAUAUACCCGAAUGGAAUGGUUAUUCCUUUUCACAAAUGAUUAGGAAUUUGUAGACAGGGCAAGUAGGGUCGUAUCCACAGAGACUGGGUAUAUUUGUUUCUUAAGAAAUCCAAAGUAACACAGGGGGUGAUUUUGUAGGAACGACGAUAAUUAAAUAAAUUCAAAUGAGAAAGUAAAAAUAAAUAAUUAACUAGAAAUUAAACCACAAUUUACUGAACUCAGGAUAACAAUAGUUAAAGGCCUCAAUUAAUUAAAAUAAGGAAACAAUCAAAAAUAAAAUAAAGUAGGUAAUUAAAAGUCAAAUGGCAAUCCACUACAAUCAAGGAAAUAUUAACUAAAGAUCUAGCCAAGAAAUAACUUCAGCAAUGGUUCACCUAAUCGAUCAUUGAUGCAAAGCAAUCCCAAUUAUUUACUAAUAAAUAGGUUAUAACUACCAAACAAGCGAUGGCAGUCAACCCCUCCUUACUGUGUCGGUGAUCAAGGUACGCCCGUUAAUCACUGCUCUAAUUGAGAAAUAAUCCUAGGUACGCCCGUAGAAUUUAAUUCCCCAACUGCCUUACGUAUUAGAGGAGCCCUAUUCUACCCAAAUAACACACUACCAGGGUUAUUUUAGAUUAGCCCGCGUAUCCCCCUGACACGAAUCUAAUCGUGCCAGUUGUCACUAAUUUGAGGUAAUUAAACAAUUACGGAUUCAAUACCCCAAUUGACAAUAGAUUAUCAAACCAAUGAAUUAUCCGGAUCCAAGACAAUCAACUAAUUAAAUAAUCAUAAGCACUGCAACCAAGGAAUAUGCGAAUACCAAUAAAUAAAGGAAAAGAUAAAAUUAAAUCGAUCUCACAAUUUACAGGUGAUCCAAAGCAUCAGUCGUUUCUUGACUAGAACGAGGGGGUUAGCUCAUAUUGGAUGAACUAAGCCCGCGGGAAAUUCCAGCAAAAGUCACGGCCGUUGUAUGCAUUUCAAGAGCCGCAAUUCGUCAAACACUUGGAAAGCGAAUGUAAGGCACGGGUAACAAUUGAAGCUUUCUAAUUGUUCCUAGCAUUCGUAAAGCAAAUUCACUCCAGAAGUACAGUGAGGAAAAGUCAAAGAAAGUGGGCUUCAAUUCCUUGCUCCUGACAUGCGUGGAGACAAGCCAAUGCAAGACUACAAUAAACUAACAAGGAAAAGUCAAGAAUUGGAGCUAAGCUCCCCUGCCAUGCGCAGGAAUCCGAAAAGUAAAAAGUAAAGCUUCAAAGAAAAGUCAACAAUUCUUCCUAAGCUACAGACGGAAGAUCCAGCACAAAAGCCAGCUCCCUUUUUUAUCCCUUUUUCCCCCUUCUUAUUGCGGCGGCUCACCAGGAGAGGAGAGCCCUCCGUCCGUCCUUUCUUCCGAAAAUUACCAAAAUGGGCAUGACAUCUUCUCUUCCAAAAGUGCCCCUGGGACAAGCUUUCUCAUCUGAAUUCUUUUUUUUUCCAAUUUGGCACCUGUUAUCAUAUUUAUAUUCUACUCCCUGAAAUAAACGUCAAAUACUAAAAGUGAGUAGAAUCCAGCAAAUAAAUCCACAUCAAGUCAGGUAAUAGGAGGAAUUAAUAAUAAAAUAAAUGAAUAAAUUGCACCCUAUCAGAAAAAUGCAAAAAUUUGUUAUUUAUCAUUAAGGAUCAUAUCGCAUAUAACAUCAAAAAAUAGUAUAUUAUUUAUAUCUUUCACUUAAUAUAAUAUCCAAAUUACUCUUUUCAGUUACAUACCCAUUGUUAGACAAAAUCAACAACAAAUAACCAAAAAAUUUGCAACCAAAAUAUUACCAAAAAAAUAAACUUUAACAUCAUAAAUAUUUUUAUCAACAUAUUAAAGUUAGUUAUUGAAAUUUUUAUGGUGUUAAACUUCACUCUUAGCAAUAUUUUGGUUACAGAUUUUUUUGAUUAUUUAUUGUUGAUCGUGUUUGACAAUGGAUUUGUAACUGAAAAGAAUAAUUUGAAUCUUACAUUAAGUGAAAUAUAUAAAAUAUUAUACUAUUUUUUAUGGCAUAUGUGAUUCUUUUUUUUUUUUUUAUCAGAACGGCAACAUUGUAUUAAUAGUAAACCAAUUACAGUAUAGGUGGGCAACCGCCCUCACAAUCUGCCUGGACUUGUUCCAGCAGCCAAACUGGGAAGUUUUCCUUCCAUUCAGUAUUUUGUUCCAAAGUAAUAGCUACUUUAGCUAGUUUAUGGCUAACAAAGUUGUUCACCCUAUUUGCAAAGGUAAAACAACAUUCAUCAAAUUUUAUUCAUGUACAAUUGUUGCUAUCACCACGUCCUCCUCCUCCUCCUCACUGCACACUACUUGACUACCACCCUUCGCCAACCUUGCUGUUGCAUGUGCAACUAUCAUGGCCUCUCUUAGCGCCUUUGCUUCUUCGACCUUUGGACUGGCACAGCUAAAAUUUGGAACAGCCCAGGCCCACCCGCAAUCUUCCCAACCAAUCCCUGGCCACCCUUUUCCCACCCAGCUUCUAUGGCAUGUGUGAUUCAAUCCUUCUUGAUAGGAUUGGUAAUAGAGGCAGAGGGGGGAGCCGGCUGCAUCCGGUCUACUUUUCAUAGAUAGUACAAUAUUGCGAAAUCGAUCGCAUUCACACAAGAAUAUUUCGAAGUCAUUGCAUCGCUAAGUUGCAAAAAAGUACAAACACUUGUUAUUAUAUAGCUUAAGAUUCAAAACUUUAGAGCACAACCCUCCACCUAACACAAUUGAAUAAUGAAUAUUCACGAUUGUCAAAUCUGUCAAAGCACAGUUUGAGGACAACCCAUUCCAACCUGCAAAAGAUUUUUGACUUUUUUAAAGUUGUUGAGAGCUGUAAAAAGACUUACCAUGCUUACAUCUUCCGAGCCUUGGGAGUUAAAAAUGAAGGCACUGAGUGCUAUAAAAAGGGGGCUAGAGGCUGCCUAGAAGCAUAUCAGCCUAAAACAAGAAUUUGUAGUUAUGAUGGGAAGCAAAGCAAAAGCAAUGGGGUCUGGGCUGACUCCUCUUCUUACCACUGUUUUAGUGGUAUUUGUUGCUCUUGGCUUGCCCUCAGAAACUGCAGCUGAUGAUCACUACAAGUAUUCAUCUCCUCCUCCUCCUUACCACUAUCCCUCACCACCACCUCCAGUGCAUUUACCUCCACCAGUGUACAAAUACAAGUCCCCACCACCACCUCAUCAUGUUUACAAGUACAAAUCUCCACCACCCCCACCACCACACCCAGUUUACAAGUAUAAGUCGCCACCACCACCUCCUCAUCCGGUAUACAAGUACAAGUCUCCUCCGCCACCUCCUCAUCCGGUACCACACCCAGUUUACAAGUAUAAGUCACCACCACCACCUCCUCAUCCGGUACCACACCCAGUUUACAAGUAUAAGUCUCCUCCGCCACCAGUUUACAAAUAUAAGUCUCCUCCACCACCACCUCCAGUGUACAAAUACAAGUCUCCACCACCACCAGUUUACCACUACAAGUCUCCACCACCUCCUCCCCCAGUUUACAAAUACAAGUCUCCACCACCACCACCACCAGUUUACCACUACAAGUCACCACCACCUCCUCCCCCAGUUUACAAAUACAAGUCUCCACCACCUCCUCACCACUACUAAGCAAUUGCUUCUGAGGUAAUAACACUUGUUCAAUAUACCCACUUCUGCAUGAUAAAGCAUAUCUCUAUCAACACAAACUGUCAUGUCUAUCAUGCUAAGUGCCUUCACUUCAUCCACCAAAAUGACUGCUAGAAAAUUUUUUUUAUGUUACCAAAGAAAGGCAUCAUUUUUUCCCUCUGUUAUCAAGAACUUGUACAGUAUAUAGAUUAAAGAGUAUUUUUUUAACUAGCUUAUCAACUGAGAAAUGCAUAUAGCUGAUAGCCAGCUGAAUAUUUGCAGGCAAAGGAGAAGGAAACCAGUGUUUGAGACCUUCUUGAAGAUGUAGAAGCAUAAGAAUUAAAGCCCAAUGUGAAGAUGAUGAUUUCAAGUUUUUCUACGUUACCAUUUCUUUAUCUAAAUUGGUUGUAGCGCCUUAGUUCCUUUGUUUAUGGGAUUUGUAUCGUUUUACGUACCAUGCAGUACAUGUCAUGUUUGUAAGGUUUUCUAUCCUGCCGGCAAACCGCAGGUUCCAUGUAAUAAAUCAAUACUAUUUAUAUUACGACACUUUUCUCUGUUUCUCUUAUAUUUUGUCGUCUUUAAUAUUCUUAAUCAUAUUUUUAACAAAAAUAUUCAAACACUUAGGCAAUCUGGUCUAAUGCUAAUUGUAUGUUUUACUUUUCUUUUUCACCUGCUCCCCUUUUCAACUCAAAAGGAUGCAAUAGUUUGUGAUCACUGUUGAAGACGGAAGCAUGAUACUAAUGAAUAUAUCAUUGAAACUCAAGGAAACUAACAUUAUGAAAAGUGUAAAUCUUGAUUUGAUGCAACUAUUUAUUCGUGGAAUCUAUAGUUACAAAACUCAAACUCUGACUGCGCCAUUGAUAAAUUAUUAAUGACGCUAUCAUCAUUAUUUAUCCCCAACUAGUUUCGACUACAACUGAACCCAAUAUUUUCCCCAUGAUAAAAGUUUUUUACUAUUUUACUGGCCUCUCUUCAAAUUUUAAAAAUUACACUAAUCUUCAUUGAGAUUAAUUAUCUUGUAGCAUUUAAGUCCAAUUAAUAAUUAAAAAAUAAUAUUAUGAGAGAGAAAAUAAUAUAAUUUUAUCAUUGCCCCCCAUCUUGCUAUAUUAUUUAAUUAAUUUAAUAGCAACCCACACAUUAAAGAAAAAUACUAAAAUUUGCUGCUUUUCAUUAAAGAUCAAAUUGCAUAUGCCAUAAAACAUAGUAUAUCAUUCUAUAUGUUUCACUUAAUGUAAGAUCCCAAUUGUUCUUUUCAAUUACAAACCCAUUGUCAAACAUGAUCAAUAACAAAUAACCAAAAAAUUUGCAACCAAAAUAUUACAAAAAAAAACUUUAACAUCAUAAAUAUUCUUACCACCUCUAGUGCAUUCACCCUCAUAAAAUAAUUCAAGACCCUACUGUCAUAAAAUGACUGAUCAACUCCUGUAAACCUAAUUUGACAACAUUUAAAUGGAGAACUUUAGCUAAAAGAAUUAUGGUCAAGCUAAAGAAAAAACCAGUUAUUUUCCAACAUAUGCAAUCAUUGAUCAGGGAAAAAAAAAAGAAGCAAAAAGACAUCUUCAAUCAUUUAAUAGCUUACAGGGCAAAUUAACCCCUAAGCGAAAACUGGUUGCUCUAGAAUCAAAAUUUUACUUUAGUUACCCAGGCAACUUUUUUUGUUGCCUUUUCUUUUUCUUUUUUGGGUAUAUAUAUAGCUCCAGUUUUGCCCCCUCUGUCAAGCUUAUAUAAUUAUUAAGAUAAUAAAAGUGCCUUUAAUAGUAUUAAUAUAUCCAUUGACUUGAGCUGUCAUCGAUCGGUUUGGGCUACUUCGAUUCCAUGAGAACAAAUGGUAAUAAAAGUACUCAGAAAAUGGGGAGUCAUGAAACCCUUUUGUUCUAUUCAUUGCUAAGAUGCUUUUCUCUAUAAAGACACUUCCUAACGAAAAUACUUUGUAGAUUUCUUUACUCCAAGUGGUGCAUGGAAAAUUAAUAUUUUCAAUUAUCAAAUAAAAUUCCCUUUUUUCGGUGUAGAUUUCAUCCAUUCAGCUGUUAACACUCCGAAUUGACUAAUCUUUUCGUUUCCAUUUUCCAACUUGCGAAUACGGCAUCUUACAUAUUGUCUGCUGAAUAUGAAUACAUAUCCCUUUUCUGAGCAGGUGCAGAGUCAUUAUCAUUUUUAUUCCCACCUAACAAAUUAGUUAAUAAUCUUUUAAAGAACAUGUUAAAUUAAUUUAUUGGUAUGAAUAGUAGUCAAAGAAGUAUGUUAAAGUUAGUAAUCUUUAAAAUAAUAUGUUAAAAUUAUUCGUACAAAUUAGCCAGAGAAGUAGCAUAAACACCGCGAUGCAAUUAAUACUUUCAAUCUCAAGGUCUCUAUUAUGGAAAUUUGCAUCGGUCAACAUACACAAAGCAUUAUUGUAUGCACGUCUCUCUAUUAUGGAAAUUUGCAUAGGUCAAUAUACACUUGGCAUAGUUGCAUGCACGUCCAAUUUUUUUUUAUUUUUAUUUUUGGUAUUUUACUUCCUGCCUUAAGUUGCCUGCAGAUGUUUGUAUUACAAAUAUAUGGUAUACUAAAUAUAUAGUAUGCACAUUAAUUUCUUUGGGUUGCUUAAGGGUAUAUUGUUAAUAAUAGGGGGUUUAACCAUAAAUUAUAACAAUGAUGAAGUAAUAUAUAUUAGAAAAUUAACACAAUUAUGAUUUUUUUUUUUGUAAAAUUCAAAUUUUAUUAAUAAGAAAUGAAAUAGGCAGUAAGCAUUUACAAACCGAAAACAAAAUCCUACAACAACUCUAGGACUCUACACCUUAUUAAAAAAAAACAUUUUGAUAGCGUUUUUCCAAAAGCAGAAGAUGGAAAAUUGCCCAUUUGUACUGGGGAGUUCGUGAUCUUUUCCUCAUUCUAGUCUACUUACAAUUCUUGGAAAAAGGAAUACUCACAUCUCAAACAACAGCCUGUUCAUCUGCAGUGUCCUGCCGAAUUCUAGAAAGUUUGGUGGCAAUGUUAAUUACAUUUCAAAAUUGACUGCUGCGAUAACUAAUUCGAUGGCUUACUACAUGGUCAACGUUUGGAUCUCUUCCUGUCCUUUUUGGAUGCACAUUUUUUUUCUCUAGGUAAUAUAUAAUCUCCCAACUCAUUUCUUUACAAAUGCACCUUUAAUCACCACCAAAAGGUGUGGACAUGAUCUUUACCCUAGAAAACUAUUCACCGACAGGCAAAUUGACGUCAGAAAUACUAAGAGGAAUUCUAGUUUCCUUCGGGUUAAUGCCAUUUUGUACCCUUCAACUGUAACUCAAUUUCUAAGCUGUAAUUUGUGACAUUAUAGUCCUUAAACUAUGAAACCCUUUCUUAUUUAAUUACAAUGGUUAAUACAAUGCCCGUGACUAGACAAGUAUGAAGCAACCAUAACAAAAAAAAAAUCCAAAAUUAGAGAAAAGAAAGAAGUUGCGACCAAAGUAUGUAUCAAGGCAUAGUAUAGAAAUAAAAGUGUCAAAAUUAAGAGUUUAGGGAUAAAAAAGAAUCAAAAUAUAGUUUAGGAAUUGAUUUGUCUCAAUUAGAGUUUAGAUGUCAACUAAGAAGAGAGAUAUAGUUGAAGGGUAGAAUAUAGAUAUAACAGUUCAAUGAUUGAUAUCAACGAGACAAUGACAACUUUGGAUUAUUACCAACCUCUUCUUGAUGGAAAAGGAAAUAGAGAAGAAAGUCGGGCCUGGUCUAAGCCUGUUUCGGAGGCAAAACAACAUUAUGAAAUCACCGGCAUUCACACAAAUAUGUCAAAGUCACCGGCAUGCUAAGUUGCAAAAUUUAUACAAACACUGAAUAUUAUAUUCUUCUCAAAAUUUUUGUUUAAGAUUUAACAAUUAGAGCACGGUACACGAAUUAGCAAUAUUAAAUAAUGAAUGUUCACGAUUGAUAAAGUUAUCAAAGUACAGUUUGAGGACAACCCAUUCCAACGUGUACAAGAUGUUUAGCCUUUGAAAAGUUAAUUAGAGAAGGUGACGAGAUUUUACUAGGCUUACAACUUCUAGGCCUUGGGAGUAAAAAGUGAAGACACUGAGUGCUAUAAAAAGGGGGCUAGAUGUUGCCUAGAAGCAUAUCAGCCUCGGACCACAUUUUGUAGCAAUGGGGAGCAAAGCAAAAGCAAUGGGGUCUAGGCUGACUCCUCUUUUUACCACCGUUUUAGUGGUAUUUGUUGCACUUGGCUUGCCUUCAGAAACUGCAGCUGAUUACGACAAGUAUUCACCUCCUCCUCCUCCUUACCAUUAUUACUCACCACCACCUCUUGUGCAUUCACCUCCACCACCGCCAGUUUAUAAGUCACCCCCACCACCUUAUCACUACUUCUCACCACCACCUCCAGUGUAUCCAUCUCCACCACCAUCUGUUUACAAGUCACCUCCACCACCUUCGCCAGUAUACAAGUCCCCACCACCACCUUAUCAAUAUUCCUCACCACCACCUCCAGUGCAUUCACCUCCACCACCACCGAUUUAUAAGUCACCUCCACCACCUCCUCCAGUUUACAAGUCCCCGCCACCACCUUACCAUUAUUCCGCACCAUCACCUCCAGUGCAUUCACCUCCACCACCACCGAUUUACAAGUCACCUCCACCACCUCCUCCAGUUUACAAGUCUCCAUCACCACCUUACCAUUAUUCCUCACCACCACCUCCAGUGCAUUCACCCCUACCACCACCGGUUUACAAGUCUCUGCCACCACCUUACCAUUAUUCCUCACCACCACCUCCUAUGCAUGCACCUCCACCACCAAUAUACAAGUCACCUCCACCACCUCCUCCAGUUUACAAGUCUCCACCACCACCUUACCAUUAUUCCUCACCACCACCUCCAGUGCAUUCACCCCUACCACCACCAGUUUACAAGUCUCCGCCACCACCUUACCAUUAUUCCUCACCACCACCUCCUGUGCAUGCACUGCCACCACCAAUUUACAAGUCACCUCCACCACCUCCUCCAGUUUACAAGUCCCCACCACCACCUUACCAUUAUUCCUCACCACUACCUCCAGUGCAUUCACCUCCACCACCACCGAUUUACAAGUCACCUUCACCACCUCCUCCAGUUUACAAGUCUUCACCACCACCUUACCAUUAUUCCUCACCACCACCACUCUUCAAUUUGGAUGUAAUUCAAUUUUCCUUGUAAUCGGUGGCCCUCCUUCGGAAUCCAAAUAGUCAUUGAGUGCAGCCUUCUUUCUUUAUUUUUUACUCAUUUUCACCUCAUAAAUUGCUUUCAUCCCCUAAAACUUGUUCGCUGGAAUUUUGAAUUUACCCAUACAACUAAACUCAGAAAAUUCUUACACAAAGGGAUUAGUAGCAUGAAUAGCAAACACAGAAUAAGAGAUAACAGUAUGUUUUAUUGUAUUAAAAAUAUUAAAGUGGAUUAUUUCUCCAUCGAAUUCCAUUGUGAGAGUAUCGUUACUAACAUCAAUCUUAGUUUGAGCAGUACUCAAGAAUGACCUUCCUAAUAUAAUGGGUGAUGGAUUUGGGACACUUUCAUCAUCCAUAUAAAACACAUAAAAAUCAACAGAAAAAAUUAAUCCAUCUACUUGAACUAAAAACAUCCUCAACUACCCCAUUUAGAUAAGCAAAUAUACGAUCAGCCAAUUGAAUUAUUAUCCCUAUUUCUUUUAAAUGUUCUAAAUUUAGGGAAUCAUAAAUUGAUUUAGACAUCACAUUAAUAGAAAUCUUUAAAUCUAUCAUGGCAUUUUUUAUAUUAGAAUGUCCAAUCUUACAUGAGAUAGUAAACAUACCUAGAUUCUCGCAUUUAGGUGGUAGUUUCCUUUGUAAAAUUGCUGAAACGUUCUCAUCUACCACAAUAUGCUUGUCCUCCUCAAUUUCUUCUUGUUGACACACAAGUUUUUCAAGCAUUUAACGUAUUUUGGAACUUAUUUGAUUUGCGUCCAACAAAGGGAUAUUGAUUGCCACCUUGCGAAAAUCUCUAAAAUCUCCUUUUCUUUAUCUUGUUUCUUUGAUUUCUCUAACCUGCUUGGAAAAGGUGGUGAGUUAGUUCCAACUCUAAUUAUAGAAUCAACAAUUACCUUUGGAUUCACAUUUCUCAUUCCUUCCUCCUCAAGCUCUUUGUCGAUUCGAUCUUCAUUUUUAUCCUUUGGAAUCACAACUUCGGAUCCCUGAAUUUUCUUCUCGCUCCUUAAGGUCAUUACACUUACAUUCUUCAGGUUCAGUUCAGGUUGAGACGACAAUUUUUCAUAGAUUUGGGAUUCCAGGCGGUUGAUUGCUAUUACCAUCUGACUCAUCUGACUCUGCAGUGCUUGCACCUGUCCCAAUUGAUUCCUCAUACUUUGCAAGUCAAAAUCCAUCUUUUGUUGAUUAGCAAUUAAUUGCUUCAUUAUCUCUUCUAUAGAUGGACUUGAGUUUGAAAGAGGUGGUGGCGGGCGAGACUGAUACUGUUAUUGAUACCCUUGCUAUCUAUUUGGUGCAAAAUCUGGCUACCUAUUUCCUCCAUAGCUGAGGUUGGGAUGAUCUCUCCAACCAAUAUUGUACGUAUUCGUGUACGAGUCGUAUGGUUUUCUUGGCACGGCGCGUGACCAGCCAUGUUCACUUGCUCCGUACUUUUCUCUUGAAUCAUUGAGCACAUCUCUGUAGAAUGACCCAUAGCAGUGCAGAUCCCACACAUCUUGACUCGUGAUGCAUUUCCUAUAGCUAAUUGCCUAACAAAGGAUGUUAAUUCGGUCAACUGCUGUUGGAUAGAAUAUGUUUCUACCUCAUUUACUUUGCGUGUUGGGGCAUCCUCCCUCGUACCAAACUGUUGCGAAUUUUCCGCCAUUCCUUCAACUAGCUCCCACGCUUCUCGAGAAGUCUUGUUCACCAAUGCCCUUCUACUUGCAGCAUCAAUUAUACUCCUGUCUCUAAAACGCAGCCCCUCGCAAAAAUAUUGGAUGAGCAAUUGCUCACUUAUUUGGUGUUGAGGGAACUUGAUGCAUAACUUCUUGAAUCGCUCCCAAUAAUCAUAAAGCGACUCUCCUGGAUGCUACUUGAUACCGUAUAUCUCCUUCCUUAGACUUGCAGCUCGAGAUGCAAGAAAAUAUUUGUCCAAGAACUUUUUCUUCAGCUGAUCCCACGUGGUGAUGCUACCUGGUGGUAGAUAGCACAGCCAGUCUUUUGCGGAGUCCUUCAAGGAGAAGGGAAAUGCCCUCAUUUUUAUCUAUUUUUCUGUAAUUCUCGGAGGUUUUAUGCUGUUGCAAACGACAUCAAACUCUUGCAAGUGCUUAUACGGUUCCUCACCUGGUAAACCAUAGAAAGAUGGCAAGAGAUGAAUUAGACCAGAUUUUAACUCAAAUGAAGUGUUAUCAUUUAAAAAUAGAAAAGUAACUGAGAUGCAGCACUGGAAUGUUCUUCUCGAAAUUGUCUGGUCUCUUUCUUUGUUCUACGCGUAGUCUUCUCUACCUUAGGAUCAAAAAUUAAUUUACCUGUACGAGAAGAACGAGGCAUACACUAGAAAAACACUAGAAAAUUAGAACAAAAAUGAACAUAAAAAGAAACAAAUAAACCAACGUCAGUCCCCAGCAACGGCGCUAAAAAUUGACAAGUUGUCGAUGCCUGUGCAAUAAUAAAAAUAAACCUAGUUACCAAUUAAAAUAAUCAGAGCCUAAUUCUGAGUACUAGAGCAGGGACUAUAGGUGUGCAAUGGGUUACUUGAUUCACCCUAUUCCUGAAGUUUGCUUAACCCGAUAUACCAGAAUGAGAUUGCUUAUUCAAAAGGAAUUAUUGAUUUGUAAACAGGGCAAGUAGGGUCGUAUCAUCAGGGAUUGAAAAAAUUUGUUUCUUUUCAAAUCCACAGUAACAAGGGGAUGUUUUUGUAUAAAUGAUAACAAUCUAAGGAGUGCAAAUAGAAAUAAAUAGAUAACUAGAAAUUAAAUGACAAUUCACUAAAAUUAGAGUAAUAAUAAUUAAAGGUCUAGCUAAGAAAUAACUUCAGCAAUGGUUCACCUAAUUGAUCAUCGACGCAAAGGCAAUUCCAAUUAUUUACUAAUAAAUAGGUUAUAACUGCAAAACAAGCAAUGACAGUCAACCCCUCCUUACUGUCGGUCGGUGAUUAAGGUACGCCCAAUCACUGCUCUAGUUGAGAAAUAAUUUUAGGGACGCUCGUAAGAUUUAAUUUUCCAAUUGCCUUACGUAUUAGAGGAGCCAUAAUCUAACCAAAUAACGCUACCAGGAUUAUUUUAAAUUAACCCGUGUAUUCCCUUGAUACAAAUUCAAUCAUGUCAGUUGUCACUAUUUCAAGGUAAUGAAACAAUUACGGAUUUAAUAUCCUAAUUGACAAUAGGUUACUAAAUCAAUUCACUAUUUCGAUCCAAGAUAAUCAAUCAAUUUAACAACUAAUAGCACUGCAAUCGGAGAAUAUGUAAAUACCAAUAAAUAAGAGGAAAAGAUAAAAUUAAAUCGAUCUCACAAUUUUUAAACAAAUCAAAGUAUCCGUUGUUUCUUGACUAGAAAAGAAAAUUUAGUUCAUUCCUAAUGUGAAAGACCCACGUGAGAAUUCAAAAAUAAUAUUCACGGAUAUUGUCUUGAUUCAAUAGAUUCAAUUGCGUUGGAAUAAGGAUAAAAAGCCAAACUAUAGAGAGUGAUUCAAUGUUUUGUUUCGUUUGCAUUUUUUCUACACAUAUGGAAGAAGAAAAACAACUAAAGGACGAAAAAAAAAAGUCAAAGAAAGGCACCCAAAGUAGUGCUUGGUCUCUACCAUCCUAUUUCCUAUCUAAUUACUACUUCCCUUCUGCGGCUGCCUAGAGGAAGAAAGAGAAAGCAGACUUCAGGUCUUGUUCCAUCUCCUCCCUUUUCGGCAAUUCCCCAAAAGUAGAAAAGUUCCUCCGUUUACCAAAAUGCCCCUGGAAUGAGGACUGCUACUUGAACUCAUUUUCUUGAUAACUGUCAAAUUAGCACUUGUUAUGGUAUUUGCGUCUACUUCCUGUAAUAAAUGUAAAUUGCCAAAAGUGAGUAAACUGAUAAUUAAUUUACAUCAGGUCAGGUAAUAGGAAAAAUUAAUUAUAAAAUAAAUGAUAAAAUUGCAACCUAUCACUUAGAAUAACCAGAAAUAAAACAAAACAAGAAAUGAAAGAAAUAAGAGGGUAGCAUAGACAUUUUGGAUUUUUCUGUUAAUUUGGAUGAUUUCCACCUACGGUCUAAUUUAAUCCAAAACACAAAUGGAUUAUGUGGAGAUUUUUAAACAAUGAGGGAGUAUCGUGACCGAAUCCCAAACCACAAAGGGGAUUUACUAUAUUUUACUCUUAAAUUUUGGUUUCAUCUCAUAGCAUACAAGAGUACUAUUUCACUGUCUGUCGACCAGGGAGGAGGGUUGGGUUGGGUGGUACGGGGGAGGGAGUCUAAGUAAGAGGUCUCAGGUUCGAAUCCUCCUGUUUAUACUAAAAAAAAAAAUUUACUAUCUGUCGACAAAGAUUUUCUAUGGUUGAUGUACCAUAGGAAAAAUCUGCCUAUACAAUUAUUUGGAAAAAUUAUCCAUCCAAACAUAGUCACGAUAGCAUUUUUUCAAAAACACUAGAUGCAAAAUUGUCCCCUUAAACGUGGAAAUUCAUGAUCUUUCCUCGACUAGUCUACUUGUCAAUUUUUGAAAAAAGAAUACUCACGCCAAAAACACGGCCUCUUCAUCUGCAGAAUUCUAAAAAGUUACGUAAACUCUAUAAACAAGUUGAUAGGUACAAUCGUACCCAAGAUCAAGUACAGAUAGUUGUACAUUCACUGCUGCAAUAACUAAUCUGAUGACUUACAAACACAUCAUGGUCAAUCGUUGAAUGGUAAUGAGUCUUUUGUUAUGCAUUAGUAUUAGUGUGUACACUCUAAUAGAUUGAUACUUAUACUCUUUAAAUUAUCAUAAUAAUACCCUUAAUUAACUUUAACCCUUAAAAAGAAUACGUGUUAAUACACGAGAGUGUGUAACCUGAAUUGUUACUUAUACAUUAGUGUGUAAUAGAACGGCAAGCAUUAUGGUGGUCAUUGAGCAACUUAUAGGAGAAAUAGUCCUAUAAGCUGUUCAAUGACCAAUCACAACUUGCUAAUUGGAUGACUAAUAUAGCUCUAGCUGUAAUGUUUUAAUUAAAUUCCACACUAACGUUGGGAUGACUUUUUAAUCAAAAAAAAAAAAGCCUUAGUUCAAGCUUUUCCCCUUAUUGUGCAUUUUUUAAAACAUUUGAUAGGCACUGCAAAUCUGUCAUUUUGGACAUUUUAUUAUUAACUAACAAUGAAAGCCGUGGACAUCAACCCAUAUCCAACAAAAUAUUAAAUUAAUAUUAGAAAAAUUAUUAAGUAAUUGGAAAAAAAAAAGAAGAGGCUAAUUUUCAUUGAAACCCACCGACAAACUAUCCGUGUCCAUAGCUUUUGAAUAGUGCAUUCAACGUUUAAUUGUAUGGUCCAGUUCAUUGCCGAUUACAUGGAGUAAAGAUUGUGCUCUUUCCUUUUUCACCCCUUUUGGAAUCGAUACUGUGGAGAAUUGGGUUUUUCCCUCCUUUUUUUCUUUUCUUUCCUUCUGUGCUUUGCAAAACAUACGUAAAAAUAUGAAAUCCGAAGCAUUCUUUAAUUGGGAUUAAGUAUUGUUGUUGAAAUUAAAAAGAAGAAAGAAAGAACAACAAAAAUCCCAAUCUGGGUUGAUUGUUGAGCUCUAGAUUGGCUGCAUCGUGCUUCCAUAGAAGUUCUCUUAGUGUGAUACGCUGCUUUCAAUCAGUUUUAAUAUUUAAGUAGAGUGCAAAAUAACUUUACUAUUUAAUGGGUUAUAAUGCACCAUUUGGUACCUCUCACCCACCUAUGAUUUGAUUUACUACUGGCAUGGUAAUGGACAGAGUUGGGGGAGCAGGAGGAGGGAGAUGGCGGUACCAGUCCGUCAACCACAGCACACCCUCCCUCGGACUUUGCGUGGUAGCGAAGUGGAGGCAGAUCGAGCACACAUGCACUAACGCCUUAAGUAUGUACAAUAUAUGUAUGCCAAAAGCAUAGCCAAGCCUACCAGCGCAUUUCAAUAAUAUAACCCGGAAAUUAAGGGCAUUGAAUUAAGUACGAUGAAUCAUAUUGGUGCACAAUUACAGUUUGAAGCUACCGAUUCGAGUAAAUUUAAGCGUAAGCACAAUCAAUCGCCAGUCAAAUGCUGAAAUAUGCAUAUGCAUGGAUGAAUGUAUGGGUUUCUUAGUUCCAGACCAAAGGCCAACAAUAAGGGAAGGAAGGACAGUUCUCAUUUUUAGCACGGACAAGGAGAUGAAGAAAAGUGUAUGUAGCUUGAGACAGAACAAUGGCAUGUGACCGCUCCUGAGACCACAUAACGUGGGGUGGGGAUGGGACGGCCAAGAAUGAAGAUGCCUGUCGGUCUCUCCGUGCUGCUACCAUAUGAAUCCCCCGUUAACCAAUUCAAGAUAAGCCUGAAGUUCUUUUCAUCCCCAAACCCUGUCCCAUCUGUGUAAAUCCAACAUCAUCAUUUACGACCUGCAACUCAGGUUAAGCAUGUUCUAUUGAGAUUCAGACACCACCCUUCAAAAGAUAUACUACUGUGAAACCAGCAGCUUAAUAUCAUUGUAUAAAAAAAAAAAAAAAAGAAAGAAGAAAAGACAUGAAAAGCAAAUUUUGUGGGGAUAAUUUCAAAAUCUCUCCUAAAGUUUUUUACUAUUUUACUGGCCUCCUUUCAAAUUUUAAAAAUUACACCAGUCUUCCUUGAGAUUAUUUAUCUUGUAACAUUGAGGUCCAAUCAAUAAUUAAAAAAUGAUAUUAUGAGAGAGAAAAAAAAUAAACUUUAACAUCAUAAAUAUUCUUAUCAACAUAUUAAAGUUAGUUACUGAAAUUUUUAUGGUGUUAAACUUCACUCUUUGUAAUAUUUUAGUUACAGAUUUUUUGAUUACUUGUUGUUGAUUUUUUUUUUUUUAGUGUAAACAGGAGGACUCGAACCUAAGACCUCUCACUUACACUCCCUCCCCCCGUACCACCCCAACCCAACCCAACCCUCCCCUCGUUGUUGAUCAUGUUUGACAAUGGAUUUGUAAUUGAAAAGAACAAUUUGGAUCUUACAUUGAGUGAAAUAUAUAGAAUGAUAUACUAUUUUUUAUGGCAUAUGUGAUUCAAUCCUUGAUGAUAAAAGCAAAUUCAAGUGUUUUCUUUAAUGUUUGUGCUGAUAUUAGAUUAAUUAAAUAAUUUAGUAGAUGAAGGAAAAUGGUGAAAUCAUAUUAUCUUCUCUUUCCUAAUAUCACUAUUUAAUUAUUGAUUGAACUUAGAUAUUACAAAUAAUAAAUCUCAAGGGAGAUUAGUAUAAUUUUCAAAUUUUGGAGAGAAGCUAAUGAAAUAGUCAAAAACCUUAAGGGAGGUUUACAAAAUUAUCCCAAAUUUGUGGGAAUUAGAAUAAUUGUACUGGACGGCACUGCCGCAACAGAGGGAAAGAGGAGGAGGUGCAGUUAACUUUUUGUUGUUUGAAAUCCUUGGUGAAAUAUUACAGAAAGACAGAUAAAACAGUUAGUACAUAGAUGUAUAUGACAGGGAAAAUGGUACGUCUGUUAAUCACAUUUGAAACACUUUCAUUGGUGAAUGACGAAAACUAUCAGGCUUGCCCAAUAGUUGAUCAUUGACCAAGACAAAUCUUGCCAUGCUAGAGGUACCAUCUUUUCGUACCUCUUUAGUGCACAGGACAUUCCUUUGUUUCAUCUAGCUAAUAAUCUACCAACUCAUUUCUUUGCAAAUGCACCUUUUAUGGUCACGUCUACGAAAGCUUUACAGGAUCUUUACCCAAAAAAUCAAUUCACCGACUCGCAUUUGAUGUCAAAAUUUCUUUACUUUACUCCAAGAUUGACUGUUAAUAAUAAUGCCACUUUGAAUUAUCACACCAUCCUUCUUGAUAGGAUUUGUGCUAGAGGUAGGGAGGGAGUCGCUGCAGCCGGUCUUCUCUUCAUAGACAGUACAAUAUUGCGAAAUCGAUCGCAUUCACGCAAUAUUAUAUUUCCAAGUCGUUGCAUGGGUAAGCUGCCAAAAAGUACGAACACAUGUUAUUAUAUAGCUUAAGAUUCAAAACUUUCGAGCAUAACCCUCCACCUAACACAAUUGAAUAAUGGAUAUUCACGAUUGUCAAAUCUGUCAAAGUACAGUUUGAGGACAACCCAUUCCAACCUGCAAAAGGUUUUUUUACUUUUCUAAAGUUGUUGAGAGCUGUUAAAAGAUUUACCAUGCUUACAUCUUCCGAGCCUUGGGAGUUAAAAAUGAAGGCACUGAGUGCUAUAAAAAGGGAAUAGAGGCUGCCUAGAAGCAUACCAGCCUAAAACAAGGAUUUGUAGUUAUGAUGGGAAGCAAAGCAAAAGCAAUGGGGUCUGGGCUGACUCCUCUUCUUGCCACUGUUUUAGUGGUGUUUGUUGCUCUUGGCUUGCCCUCAGAAACUGCAGCUGAUGAUCACUACAAGUAUUCAUCUCCUCCUCCUCCUUACACUAUCCCUCACCACCACCUCCAGUGCAUAUACCUCCACCUCAUCCUGUUUACAAGUACAAAUCUCCACCACCCCCACCACCACACCCAGUUUACAAGUAUAAGUCACCACCACCACCUCCUCAUCCGGUACCACACCCAGUUCCUCAUCCGGUGCCACACCCAGUUCCUCAUCCGGUGCCACACCCAGUUUACAAGUAUAAGUCACCACCACCACCUCCUCAUCCGGUACCACACCCAGUUCCUCAUCCGGUACCCACACCCAGUUUACAAGUAUAAGUCACACCACCACCUCCUCAUCCGGUACCACACCCAGUUUACAAGUAUAAGUCACCACCACCACCUCCUCAUCCGGUAUACAAGUAUAAGUCUCUCCGCCACCAACACCCAGUUUACAAGUAUAAGUCACCACCACCACCUCCUCAUCCGGUGCCACACCCAGUUUACCACUACAAGUCACCACCACCACCUCCUCAUCCGGUACCACACCAGUUUACCAUACAAGUCACCACCAAUCCUCACCCAGUUUACAAAUACGAGUCUCCACCACCUCCAGUUUAUAAGUACAAGUCACCACCACCUCCUCCACCAGUUUACAAGUAUAAAUCUCCUCCACCACCACCACCAGUUUACCACUACAAGUCUCCACCACCUCCUCCCCCAGUUUACAAAUACAAGUCUCCACCACCUCCUCACCACUACUAAGCAAUUGCUUCUGAGGUAAUAACACUUGUUCAAUAUACCCACUUCUGCAUGAUAAAGCAUAUCUCUAUCAACACAAACUGUCAUGUCUAUCAUGCUAAGUGCCUUCACUUCAUCCACCAAAAUGACUGCUAGAAAAUUUUUUUUAUGUUACCAAAGAAAGGCAUCAUUUUUUCCCUCUGUUAUCAAGAACUUGUACAGUAUAUAGAUUAAAGAGUUUUUAUUUUAACUAGCUUAUCAACUUAGAAAUGCAUAUAGCUGAUAACCAGCUGAAUAUUUGCAGGCAAAGGAGAAGGAAACCAUGUUUGAGACCUUCUUGAAGAUGUAGAAGCAUAAGAAUAAAAGCCCAAUGUGAAGAUGAUGAUUUCAAGUUUUUCUACGUUACCAUUUCUUUAUCUAAAUUGGUUGUAGCGCCCAAGUUCCUUUGUUUAUGGGAUUUGUAUCGUUUUACGUACCAUGCAGUACAUGUCAUGUUUGUAAGGUUUUCUAUCCUGCCGGCAAACCGCAGGUUCCAUGUGAUAAAUGAAUACUAUUUAUGUUACGACA